UUGUGGGCAUGGGCGGGAUUGGUAAAACCACUCUUGCUCAGCUUAUCUACAACGAGGAAAGGGUAGAGCAGUGCUUUCAACUCAAAGCCUGGGUCUGGGCUUCUCAACAAUUUGAUGUUGCCAGGAUUAUUAAGGAUAUUCUUGAAAAGAUCAACGCAAGUACUUGCCGCACCAAAGAACCAGAUGAAUCUCUAAUGGAGGCAGUGAAAGGGAAAAAACUCCUACUUGUUCUAGAUGACGCGUGGAACAUCGAGUACAAUGAAUGGGAUAAGUUACUGCUACCUUUGCGGUAUGUGGAGCACGGAAGUAAGAUUGUCGUGACAACACGGGAAGAAGAUGUAGCAAAAGUCACGCAAACUGUCAUCCCCUCUCACCGCUUGAAUGUAAUAAGCGAUGAAUAUUGCUGGAAGUUGUUUGCAAGGGAUGCAUUUAGUGGUGUAAAUUCUGGAGCAGUCUCACACUUGGAAGCAUUUGGCAGAGAAAUAGCGAGAAAGUGCAAAGGUUUACCGCUGGCAGCGAAAACUCUUGGGGGUCUUUUGCACUCCGUAGGAGAUGUCAAGCAAUGGGAGAAGAUAUCCAAUAGCAGUAUGUGGGGUUCGUCGAAUGAAAACAUCCCUCCAGCUCUAACAUUGCGCUAUUAUUAUCUCCCUUCACACCUGAAACGUUGUUUUGCUUACUGCGCAAUAUUUCCUAAGGGUUAUGAAUUUCAUAAGGAUGAAUUGAUCACUGAAUGGAUGGCACAUGGUUUUCUAGUCCAGCCCAGAGGCGUUGAGGAGAUGGAAGAUAUAGGUGAAAAAUACUUUGAUGAUCUUGUCUCUAGGUCACUUUUCCAGCAAUCAACUCGUGAAUAUUCUUUUUUCAGCAUGCAUGACCUCAUAAGUGAUUUAGCUGAAUACGUGUCAGGAGAAUUUUGCUUUAAGCUUGGUAUUAAUGAAUCGGGCUCUGGGUUGGAGGGUGAACAUUCAUGCUCGCUUCCAGAAAGGACUCGUUAUUUAUCAAUCACUUCAGCGGCAGCAUAUGGCGGAGGACUUCGGAUAUUUCGUAGCAUUCAUGGAGUCCAACAUUUGCGCGCCUUGUUUCCACUGAAGUUUUUUGUGGAAGUUGAUAUUGAGGCGCUGAAUGACAUUUUGCCAAAUCUUAAGCGCUUGCGCAUGCUAUCUUUAUGUCAUCCAAAAGAUAUUUCUUCUCAGUUGCUCAAUUCCAUUGGCAACUUAAAACAUUUGCAUAUUUCUUCUCAGUUGCUCAAUUCCAUUGGCAACUUAAAACAUUUGCGGCACUUGGACCUUUCUUGCACCGCCAUUGAAAUGUUACCUAAAAGUGUGUGCACCUUGUACUAUUUGCAAAGCUUAUUGUUAAAGGAGUGCCGACAUCUCAUGGAGUUGCCAUCCAACCUUUCCAACUUGGUCGACUUACAACAUCUUGAUAUUGAAGGGACAAAUUUGAAAGAGAUGCCACCAAAAAUGGGGAAACUCACGAAGCUUCGAAUUUUGGAUUCUUACAUCGUGGGAAAAGAUAGCGGGUCUAGCAUGAAAGGGUUGGGGAAGCUCUCACAUAUAAGGAAAAAACUUUCUAUUCGGAAUCUCAGAGAUGUUGCAAAUGCUCAAGAUGCUUUGGAUGCCAAUUUGAAGGGUAAGAAGAAGAUUGAGGAGUUGGGGUUGACGUGGGAUGGCAGUACGGAUGACACACCACACGAGAGAGAUGUACUUGAGAAAUUGGAGCCUUCUGAAGAUGUGAAAGAGCUUGCCAUUAUUGGUUACGGGGGUACAACGUUUCCAGGCUGGCUUGGAAACUCUUCUUUCUCAAAUAUGGUAACGUUGCUUCUUUAUGGAUGUAAGAACUGCAUCCUCUUACCACCAUUGGGGCAGCUGCCAUCUCUUGAAGAGCUCCAUAUUGAAGGAAUUGAUGAUGUCGUCCCCAUUUAGUUCUGAGUUCUAUGGAAGUGGACCCUUGGAUUGUGAAGCCAUUUUAAAUCCCUCCAAAAUAUUAAACCUUUGCGGGGAUGAAAAAAUGGCAGGAAUGGAAAACGGAUGUAGAUGGUGCUUUUCCUCAUCUUGAAAAGCUCUUGAUAGCAGGUUGUCCCGAGUUAGCAAAUGCCUUGUGUUGUAACCCAAUUUUGGAUUCACCAAGAUUUUCUUGAAUGUUAUUUUAUUUCUAUUAUUAUUUAUAAAAAUCUAAAAAAAUUAAGAAAAAGUUUAAAAAUUCAAAAAAUAUAUUUUUCUCGAGUCAACCGCAUCUUUCCAUCAAAACCGAGUCUAUCGGGUCAAUACGGGUCAAACCAUGUCGACCAGGGUAAAAAAUGAGUUUCGGGCCGUUUCGGGUCAAAACCGUUAUUUUUGACCAAAACCGAGUUCACCAGGUCAAUACGGGUCAAACCAUGUCGACCAGGGUAAAAAAUGAGUUUCGGGCCGUUUCGGGUCAAAACCGUCAUUUUUUACAAAAACCGAGUUCACCAGGUCAAUACGGGUCAAACCAUGUCGACCAGGGUAAAAAAUGAGUUUCAUGCCGUUUUGGGUCAAACCUAUUAUUUUUUGGUCAAAACCCGGUCCACCGGGUUUAUAUCCAUUGAAAGUUUUUUUUUAUGUUUCAACAUAAUUUUCGGUAAUUAAAAUUGAUUUUUAGCGGUUGAAUCGGGCUUUUUCUAAUACUGAUUUAAGUUUUAAUUUUACCUGUAUAAAUAUAUAUUAUUAUAUAUAAUAAAACAAAAUUACAGUGCGCAGGACGAAGAAGAAAAGAAAAAAAAAGAAAGAAAAGAAUUGUAAAGUUUUUUUACUAUUUCUUCACGAGAGUAGGAUAUUGAUUUAAAAAAAAAACAAUAUGGAAAAUACCAAAUAUAUCCUAACCGUUAGAUCUAAUAGUGUUUAGAUCUGAACCGUUGAUUUAAGAGGAUACAAUAGGGCUUACCACACCAGAUUAAAACCCAAACACAUCUCAGCCCUUGAAAUAAUCUAAGCUUUGAUCCCGUUGUGCCACGUCACCCGGUGUACCGAGAUUUCGGUGCACCGCGUCACACAGGAUCAAACCUCUGUUCAUCCGGACCGUCCGAUCAACCUGCAGAUCGGGCCAAUCACAGCCGCACGAUCUUUCCAUCAGAGAUCCAACGGAUUACAGGCAUCAACGGCACCGGCGUACCGUGCUAGUGCUCUCACCGUAGCAUAGCCCAGAGCAUCUCUCUCCUCUCGCCGGCGACUCCCUCUCUCUCCUCCGAUCUCCCAUAUCCGGCCACUGCAAGCUUGAAACCCACCACAGAAAGGUCGCCUUCAUCAUAUAAAGCAAAACCCCUGCCGGUUUCAGCGUUUUCGCCGCUCUAUUUGGCCGGAAACGGGCCGCGAUUCGUCGGCUGCCACCGAAGCUUCAAGUCGUCGAUUCUCGCUCAUCAGCCAUCAACGACAGUCAAGACCACCACCAUAAGAAUCCUUGACAUCAGAUCUACCAGGAUCGACCAUCGGUUGGACAGAAAUCGCGCCGGAAAAUCUCUCCGCCGCCAACAGUAACCGCGCGUGUGCCACACGCGCCGCCAGUGGCAUUUUUGGAAUUUUUCAAGAAACCCGAGGGUAUUUCAGUCUUUUACCUAUACAGUGGCACUCAUGUAAUUUUUUGGGGUUUCUACUGGUAUUUUUGAUAUUUUUUUAUAUAUAUAAAUGCUUGUAAAUUUUCUUACAUGUUGUAAAAAAUACAAAAACCAAAGUCGACACGUCUCUUUUUUUAAAAGGACCGAUGUCAAAAAUGUAAAUACCAAAUAUGGAUUAUGUCCAUUAUUUCUUUUGGUAACCCAGACGUAAUUAUUCUUUUUAGGGACAAACGUCAAUAUUUUAGACGAGUCUCCUAAUUUUUAGGGACUGAUGUCAUUUUUAACGUGUCUCCUAUUUUUAGGGACCGACGUUAACCAUUUUAAAAAACAAAUUACCAAUAAACCCAAAAUAUAAUGGAUUAUAUCCAUUAUUUUUUUUGGUAAUUCAGACGAGUCUCCUAAUUUUUAGGGACUGAUGUCAUUUUUAACGUGUCUCCUAUUUUUAGGGACCGACGUUAAUCAUUAAAAAAAUUUACAAAUAAGCCCAAAAUAUAAUCGCAUUUGAAUCAAAUAAAAAACACACAAGUAAGGGUAACCUUUCUUUUGAAAGGAUGUUUUAAGGGUGGUGUCUACCUUCCCUUAAUCAUAACUAACCCCGUAUCCAAAUCUCUGGGACCAGUGUCUAAUUUGGGAUUUCUAGUUCCCUCAAAUUACUAGAUGGCGACUCCAGUAAAAUCUUUAUUUCCCCUAAUCAAAGAAAAAAACCCUUUUUGUUAAAUAAACAAAAAAGCGGGAGCCGUCGCCCGACGUCGUGUAUCGACAGAAUGGCUUAUUUGUAAAUUUAACAAAGAGGGGGGAACCGUGAUGAGAGCCGUGAUGACAGAACAAAGAAGGCUUUGGAAUGCAAACAAAGCCACCCCAUGACGAUGAAGCAUCAAAGAGGGGGGAACCUAUAUUUCAAAAACAGGUAAGAUGCAUUGCAUAUCAUCUAACUUCACGAGCAUUACAUAUUUGUUUUGCAGAUAUUUCGAGAAACAAAAUUCCCACUGGGAUCCAACGAGACUCACAUGAAUUGAAGUUCUUGUAAAUCACAUCAAAUAUGGCAAUUCCACAAAAGCAAAAUUCAUAAAUGAAGACAAGAAAGAUGGAUUUUUAUUCAUGGAAAAAGGGGUUUACAAGUACAAAUGUUAAACAGUGCGAGGACGAUCAGGGAUAUUUUCAUCUUGGUGGUUAAUCAUGCCUCGGAAUUCCUCAAAUUGUUUAUGCAUGCGCUCCAUCUCUUCCUCGAACUCGAGGUGUCGUGUGUUAACAUAGUCCCUCCAAAAGUCAACACGUGUAUUUAACUCUUGGUUUCUCCUCUCCAAGUUGUUUCUGUGACGUCUCUCAUCACGGAGUCUAUUCCUUAAAUUCUCAAUCUGAUGUUGGAGAUCAAGAACCUGAGUAUUCAACUCAAGUCUUCUGGCAUGAAGACGCUCUGCAACGUUCACCAAAGACGAAGUAGCUCUGAUACUGAGAGCAAGUGACUGAUUCACUGCUUCAAUAUCGGUCCUGGCUGCCAACAUUAUUUCAUCACGAGGAAGGAUCAUGUCUCUGGCCACGGCUACAGCAAUAUCUUCAUUGUCCAUUACAGUAUCCUCUAUUGUAACUGGACGACCAUUCACUUCAAAGGUAGUAUGCCAACCUGCAGGCUCUACUUCAGGAACAGGGUUUGGGUUCGCAUUGGAAGAAGAAGAAGACAUGGUUAGAGCUUCAAAGGUUAAGAACUUUGAGAGUAUUGAAAAUGCAAGAAGUUGAUGAUGUCUUUUGCCAAAUACUGCGUGAUUUAUAAGGAAUUUACUCCUACCAUCACUUUGAACGGCAGAAAUCCCAACCGUACAUACAAGACUUCCUUGAGAAGCUUUCCUCAUUUUUUGGGAUCCACAAAUCGAAUCCCAACCAUACAUACAGGACUUCCUUGCGAAGCUUUCCUCAUUUUUGGGAUCCACAAAUCAAAUCCCAACCGUACAUACAAGACUUCCUUGAGAAGCUUUCCUCAUUUUUUGGGAUCCACAAAUCGAAUCCCAACCGUACAUACAAGACUUCAUUGACAAGCUUUCUAUUAUUUCUAUGUAUUUCACAAAACCAAUGUUGAAAUCACUUUCAUGUAUUUCACAAGACUAAGAUUGAAAUCACUUUCAUGUAUUUCACAACAUUAAUCUGAAAUCACUUUCAUGUAUUCACAAGAUCAAUAUUGAAAACACUUUCAUGUUUAUCAUUUGGGCAGGUCGCCCAUAAGAAUUAGACCAACUGAAAAAUCGUUGUAUUUUUCAACACUUCCAUCGUUUUUCUUUACAAAACUUACUAUGCAAAAGUCAAAAGAAAAUGAAUUUUCCAAUGCCUUUGCACCGUAAGCAUUGUAAAGAGGGGGCAACUGUUGUAACCCAAUUUUGGAUCCACCAAGAUUUUCUCAAAUGUUAUUUUAUUUCUAUUAUUAUUUAUAAAAAUCCAAAAAAAUUAAGAAAAAGGAAAAUUCAAAAAUAUAUUUUUCUCGAUUCAACCGCAUCUUUCCGUCAAAACCGAGUCCACCAGGUCAAUACGGGUCAAACCAUGUCGACCAGGGUAAAAAAUGAGUUUCAUGCCGUUUUGGGUCAAACCUGUUAUUUUUUGGUCAAAACCCGGUCCAUCGAGUUUAUAUCCAUUGAAAGUUUUUUUUUAUGUUUCAACAUAAUUUUCGGUAAUUAAAAUUGAUUUUUAGCGGUUGAAUCGGGCUUUUUCUAAUACUGAUUUAAGUUUUAAUUUUACCUGUAUAAAUAUAUAUUAUUAUAUAUAAUAAAACAAAAUUAAUAAUACAGAAUUGUCAUAUUAGGCGGGGCAGUUACAUUUAUUGUAGGCGAGCAGUGGACGGAUACAUUGUUAUAAAGCGAGAUGCUUGCUGUCCCCUUUCAUUGGCUAUUCAGUUUUUUUUUUUACUAUUUCUGAUAUUGAUUUUUAUUAAAAACAAUAUGAAAAAUACCAAAUAUAUCCUAACCGUUAGAUCUAAUAGUGUUUAGAUCUGAACCGUUGAUUUAAGAGUAUACAAUAGGGCUUACCACACCAGAUUAAAACCCAAACACAUCUCAGCCCUUGAAAUAAUCUAAGCUUUGAUCCCGUUGCGCCACGUCACCCGGUGUACCGAGAUUUCAGUGUACCGCGUCACACCCGAUCAAAGCUCCGCUCAUCCAGACCGUCCGAUCAACCUGCAGAUCCAGCCAAUCACAGCCAUCCGAUCGUUUCAUCCGAGAUCCAACGGUUCACCGUGUUCAGCAGUACCGGUGUACCAUGCUUGCGUUCUCACCGUAGCAGAACCCAGAGCAUCUCUCUCCUCUCGCCGGCGACGCUCUCUCUCUCAUCCGAUCUCCACUUUCCGGCCAUCUCCAGCCUCCGCACCACCACAGAAAGGUCGCCUUCCUCAUAUAAAGCAAAACCUCGGCCGGUUUCAGCGUUUUCGCCGCUCUAUUUGGCCGGAAACGGGCCGCGAUUCGUCGGCUGCCACAGAAGCUUCAAGUCGUCGAUUCUCGCUCAUCAGCCAUCAACGACCGUCAAGACCACCACCAUAAGAAUCCUCGACAUCAGAUCUACCAGGAUCGACCAUCGGUUGGCCAGAAAUAUCGCCGGAAAAUCUCCCCGCCGCCAACAGUAGCCGCGCGUGUGCCACACGCACCGCCAGUGGCAUUUUCGUAAUUUUUCAAGAAACCCGAGGGUAUUUUAGUAUUUUACCUAUACAGUGGCACUCAGGUAAUUUUUCGGGGUUUUCUACUGGUAUUUUUGAUAUUUUUUAUAUAUAAAUGCUUGUAAAUUUUCUUGCAUGUUGUAAAAAAUACAAAAACCAAAGUCGACACGUCUCUUUUUUUUAAAAGGACCGAUAUCAAAAAUGUAAAUACCAAAUAUGGCUUAUGUCCAUUAUUUUUUUGGUAACCCAGACGUAAUUCUCCUUUUCUAGGGAUAAACGUCAAUAUUUUAGACGAAUCUCCUAAUUUUUAGGGACUGAUGUCAUUUUUAACGUGUCUCCUAUUUUUAGGGACCGACGUUAACCAUUUAAAAAAAAACAAAUUGCCAAUAAACCCAAAAUAUAAUGGAUUAUAUCCAUUAUUUCUUUUGGUAACUCAGACGAGUCUCCAAUUUUUAGGGACUGAUGUCAUUUUUAACGUGUCUCCUAUUUUUAGGGACCGACGUUAAUCAUUUACAAAAAUUUACAAAUAAGCCCAAAAUAUAAUCGCAUUUGAAUCAAAUAAAAACACACAAGUAAGGGUAACCUUUCUUUUGAAAUGAUGUUUUAAGGGUGGUGUCUACCUUCCCUUAAUCAUAACUAACCCCGUACCCGAAUCUCUGGGACCAGUGUCUAAUUUGGGAUUUCUAGUUCCCUCAAAUUACUAGAUGGCGACUCCAAUAAAAUCUUUGUUUCCCCCAAUCGAGAAAAAAAACCCUUUUUGUUAAAUAAACAAAAAAGACGGGAGCCGUCGCCCGACGUCGUGUAUCGACACCUUGCCUAGUCACCUUCCUUGUUUAUGGAGUCUUUAUAUUCAAGAAUGUCCGCAGCUUGUGGUUUCAAUUCCAGAGGCUCCCAUGCUCGACGUAAUCAAUGUAUCUGAGGGCGAUGAAAGCCGUAUAUCUGGGGUAUCAGAUCUACCGUGCCUUCAUUUUAGACGAGAUCCCCAGCUAAAGGGAAUGGAGCAAAUGAGUCAUUUGGAUCCCUCUUCUUUCACUGAAAUCAAAAUCGAGGAAUGUAGUUCAUUUAAGCGCUGCCAGCUAGACCUUUUACCCCGGGUAUCCACACUUACCAUCGAACACUGUCCCAAUCUCGAAUCCCUUUGUAUAGGCGAGGGACCUCUCCCUGCUCUCUGUCAUCUGACAAUCAGUCACUGUCCUAAUUUGGUGUCUUUCCCCAAAGGAGGACUAGCUGCCUCAGAUUUGACAAGGCUUGUGUUAGAGGGUUGCUCAUAUUUGAAGUCGUUGCCGGAAAACAUGCAUUCCCUCCUCCCUUCCCUACAGAAUUUGCAAUUGAUCUCACUUCCAGAAGUUGAUUCGUUUCCUGAAGGAGGUUUACCCUCCAAAUUACACACACUUUGCAUUGAAGAUUGUAUCAAACUCAAGGUAUGUGGUUUGCAAGCACUCCCUUCUCUUUCAUGCUUCAUAUUUACUGGGAACGAUGUGGAGUCUUUUGACGAGGAGACGUUGCCCUCUACUCUUACAACCCUUGUAAUCAAUCGUCUGGGAAACCUGAAGUCUCUGGACUAUAAGGGGCUUCAUCACCUCACCUCUCUUCAGGUAUUGGGUAUCGAGGGUUGCCAUAAGCUUGAGUCCAUAUCAGAGCAAGCGCUUCCCUCCUCCCUUGAAAACCUUGAUCUCAGAAAUCUAGAAUCUCUGGACUACAUGGGGCUUCAUCACCUCACAUCUCUUCAGAGAUUGUAUAUCGCGGGCUGCCCUAAGCUUGAGUCCAUAUCAGAGCUGGCGCUUCCCUCUUCCCUUAAAUACCUUUAUCUCAGAAAUCUAGAAUCUCUGGACUACAAGGGGCUUCAUCACCUCACCUCUCUUUACACAUUGAAGAUCAAGAGUUGCCCUAAAGUUGAGUUCAUAUCAGAACAGGUGCUGCCCUCCUCCCGUGAAUACCAGGGGCUUCAUCACCUUACUUCUCUUACAAAUUUGAGUAUCAAGAGUUACCCUAAACUUGAGUCCAUAUCAGAACGGGCGCUGCCCUCCUCCCUUGAAUACCUUCAUCUCUGUAAACUGGAAUCUCUGGACUACAUUGGGCUUCAGCACCUCACCUCUCUUCACAAAUUGAAGAUCGGGAGUUGUCCUAAACUUGAAUCGUUGCAGUGGCUGCCUUCCUCCCUUGAAUUCCUUCAGUUAUGGGAUCAGCAAGACCGGGACUACAAGGAGCUUCGGCACCUCACCUCUCUUCGCAAAAUGCAGAUAAGGAGGAGCCUUAAGCUUGAGUCCUUUCAAGAAGGCACACUUCCCUCCUCCCUUGAAGACCUUGAAAUCUGGGAUUUGGAAGAUCUGGAAUUUAAGGGGUUUCGGCACCUCACCUCUCUUCGUGAAUUACAUAUCUGUAGUUCUCCUAAGCUCGAGUCCGUGCCAGGAGAGAAGCUGCCCUCCUCCCUUGUAUCUCUUCAAAUAUCAGGUCUGAUAAAUCUGAAAUCUGUAAUGGGGCUUCAGCACCUCACCUCUCUUCGCAAAUUGAUUAUCUCGGAUUGUCCUCAGCUCGAGUCCGUGCCAAGAGAAUGGCUGCCCCUUUUCCGAUAUGAUGAUAUUAGACGUUGUCCUAAACUUAAUUUGGUUAUAGGAGACGGUCUCACUAUACCAUUUUCCUAGUUUUGUACCCGCGCUCCGCGGCCGAGCGGUUAUUUCUUUUAAGUAAACAAAAAUUAAUAAAUAGGUUUUACAACGCAUUCUUUAAUAUACAAUAUUUUUCUAUCAUAAAUAGAAAUGUCUAUAUAUAUAUUUAGUAAUUAGAUCAAUAGUUGAUAAAGAGAUAAUUAAGAAUAAAAUAUUUAAUCUUACAAUAUAAAUAAUUAAUAUAUUUAGUUAUGUUUAACAAUUAUAUUUUCUAAAGUUUUUUUUAUAUAUAAAACAAUUAUAUGUGCCAAUAAAAGGUUAAAAAAAAAUCAUAUCCAAUGUAAAAUGAAGAAAAUUAAAAAAAAAAUAUGUCAAACUGUAUAAAUAUGGUAACAUUGUGACAAUAGACACAUGAUUGAGAUAAUUUUAUAUAAAGAAAAAUGAAAUAAAAAGCACAAAUACCAAUUCUAAAAAAGUUAAAUGUUGAAGGAUGAAAUUGAAAAAACACAAGGAUAUUUGAUUUCGCAACAUGGUUCAUGCACUAAGCCGUGUUUAAUAGCUUUGUUUUUUAGAAUAUAUUUUUUAUUUAAUCAAACAAUUAUCUAUGCAAAUAAAAGAUAAAAAAAAAUCACAAAUAAAAGCAAAUUGAAUCAAAUCAUGAAGUCAAUUAUAAAAUAACUCAAUGUUGAAUGAUGAAAUUAAAAAAAUAAUAAUUAAGAAAAACAAAAAAAAUAUGGGUCAACCCUUAUUAAUCCGUUAACAUUGCGACCAUUGGUACAUAAUUGUGAUAAUCCCAUAAAAAAUAUGAAGACCAACUUUUAGAAAAAUUAAAUGUUGAAGGAUGAAAUUAAUAUAUAUAUAUAUAUAUAUAUAUAUAUAUAUAUUAAAAAAUGACUAAAAAAACUACUAGAGUCAACCCAUGUUAACAUUUGAAAUUUGUAAUUGUGAUCUUGAGACCAAGACUACUCACGCAUCAGUCAAACCCAAAAAAACAACAAAGUAAAUUUCUCAAUAAAAAAAUGUUGAGGCAUGAAAAUUUCAAUAAAAAAACAACAUGAAAAAAAUAUGAAUAAACCAGGGUUAACUCGCUAACCUCACGACCAUGGAAACAUGAUCAGGAUAACCCUAAUGAAAAGAAAGUGAUAAAGAAAAGCACAAAGAAUAACACUAAAAAAAAUAAAAGUUGAGGGGUGAAAUUAAAAAAACAAAAAAAACCAAAGUCAACCGUUGUUAACUUUCAAAACUCAUGAUUAUGCUGUUGGGACUGACCAUAUAAAAGGCAAACCCAAAACAAAACAAUAUAGCAAAAUUCUCAGUGAAAAAAAGUUGAGGCUUGAAACUCAGUAAAAAAAAGCAACAAAAAAUAUAUGAGUCAACCCAAGUCACCCAUUUGACUAUGGGCAUGUGAUUUAGAUAAUCUUAUGGAAAGGAAAGCAAAAAAAAAAAAACAAUAAAACCAAUUUUAUAAAAAUUAAAUAUUGAAGAAUAAAAUUAAAAAAAUUAAUUUUAUAAAAAAGACUUGAAGAAACCAAAAUCAACCCGUGCAAACCUUUAAAAGUCAUGAUUCAAUAAUAAUAAAAAAAAAGAAGCUAAGUGAUGAAAUCAUUAAAAAAACAAUAAAAAAAAAUUAUUCAAAACAUAAUAAACAUAAGUAAAAAAAGAAUAGAGAUCAAAUUCAACACUAAAAAAAUAAAAAUCAAAUAAUGAGAAAUAAAAUCAAAACAAUAUCUAAUUAGAUUAAGGAUUAAAAAGUGUCAAAAAAAAGUGUCAAAUUUGAUCUAAAAAUAAAAUAAAGUAAAAUAAUUAGAGAUAAAUAGUAAUAAAUACUAUUUUUAUAAAAUAAAAAGAAAAAAAUAAAAAAAAAAAUAAAAAUCAAAACACAAUAUAUAACAAAAAAAAAGUAAUAUAAAUGUUUAUGUCACAUAACAACCAUUGGUUCCAAACAAAACCUGAAAAUAAAAAAACAAGACACCUGCCGUCAUUAGGUCCGGAUUUGCCUGAAAGGCAGAACUGCACAUGCAUUUUCCAUAGCAUGCCAAAGCCAAAUCAAUCUUACCCAUAGCGAGAAUUAAAACAAAACAAAAUAGUAACAACACCAAAAACAUCCUUUAUUCAUUGUUAAAGGUCUUCUGAAAUAAGAUUGGUUUCAAUGGCAAGUGGAAAUCAUAAAGAGAGCAACGAAAGGACAAAAAUCGAUCAAAAAACCCUUACUGAAAGAAUAAACAACACACCUUCGCCUCGUGUGUUCUCCAUCAAUUUGUUCAAGAGAAAAAGGACAAGAACUGUAGUAUCACCACCUCCAUCCUCUCUCAGUAGCUUCUUCUUCUCCAAUGUGCAUACCUUUUUGGUUCUCACAUGCCUCCUCUCCCUCUUCUGAAUCAUGACUACAAUUGAAGAAAACAACUCUAAUCCCACCUAAGAACAAUGCUCUAAUAUCAAAUUUGAUACGAGACAAAAAAGAUUGAAGUUGAAGAAGAAAGAAAAGAAGAAGAAGCCCGAAAAAGAAGAAAAAGCUGAUCAAAUACUAAAACCAUAACUAGAAUAAAUAAUUAAGUUUAUAAUCCACUAAAUAAAAUACUAAAAAAUAAUUAAAUCAAAUCCAACAAAUAAUAUCUAAUUAAUAAAUUUCAACUAAAAGUUCAAAUAAAUAAAAUUAAAACAUAAGCUAAAGCUUAAUCGCUUAAUGAUUUGGACUACCCUCUAUCAUUUAUGAUUAUAUGAAUACAUGUUUCGAGUCAGUAUCCCCACAUUUUUUUUGUUUUUGGUGGAAACAAAAAGAGGUGCAUAUGUUUUUGUUAGGAAAAAAAUUUCUUGCCCUAAAAUAAGAAAAAAAAGUUGCACCUAGAGGUGAUCAUUUUCGGUUCGGUUCAGUUUUUAUCAAAAAAGUAACCAAAUGUACUACAUACUUUUUACCGAUCGAACCAAAUGUACUAUAUUAUCAGUAGUUGUAGCUACUUCUGAAACAGUUGGUGCGAUGGGUGCGAGUGAAGGUGCUGGCAUAGGAGCGGCAACACUAGUCAUACCUUCCACUACUGCUUUGAGUAGCUGGGCUAGGAGCAUCAAAUCAACAUAAGAAACAAAUGGCCUUCCAAGUGUAGUCUGUGGGGGCUCCUCUGCUCGUUCCGGUAGGGUUGACACGGUCGGCUGAACAUCCCCAGCUUGCCUCGGUACUUGUCUGACUUGAGGCCCCGUCGAUUCUUCAUGCCUUGCUUGCUUCGAUACUGCUGGUGCAUGUCAAGCAGUAUCUUCUAAAAGGCUCUCUUCUCGUCCCUCGUAAAAGUCUAUAUCUCUGUUCCCCUUCCCUAUAGAGGAUAGAUUUGUUCUAAUCUCUUGGCGAGUACGUACCAUCCUGCAAUAAAUUAAUAACAUCAUUACCCUUUGUUUCGAGUUUUUCCCAAAAUCCAUACGAGGGCUCUAAUACCAACUAUAACAAUCCCACCUUUUCAAUUUCGUCAACACUAAAAGAUCCCAAUAUAUACUCUUAAUUUGAGGGUAAAUUGUUUUUUUUCUUAUAUAUAUAUAUAUAUAUAUAUGAAAGUCUACCGAUAUUUUCACUGAAAUUUUGGCAAAGUUCCCUUUGUAUUUAGAACGUCCCAAGUUAUCGACUUCUUUCAAUUUACCCAUUCAAGCCAUCAAAACAAGGUCCCAUAAUUUUGAACUUUAUUUUACAUCAUUAAUACUCAACUCCUCAUACAAUUCAUGCACACAAUUUAUACACACACACACACACACACACACACCCUACGAAUAAGAUCAAUAUAAAUAUAGCCCAUAUAUCGUAUAAUAAAGUCUAGAAGAAAAAGGGAUACUAACAUGUAAUGAGAGAAUUUAAAACAUAACAUCAGUAUUCUUAAAAGUUUCAAAGGGUUAAAAACAAAGUAGCUAAGGAGUUCUUACUCAUACAUUAUAUCAAAGUUUACAUAAUUAACAUACUAUAUGCCGAGCCAAUAGUUUUGUAUACAUCAAGGUUUACACAAAAGCAUAUUGCGUAACCUAGCUAAUACUAUUAUGCUUGAGCUAAAUGUUUUUACAUAAGUUUAGCAAAGCAGAGUCCUAAAAACUAAUGAGCUCCCUGAGUAUUAGAUGGACCUGUUACAAUAACAACUUAAUAAGCAUACAAUUAUAUUGUCAACAGAAACAAAAAUGAUCAUAUAAUGAAUACAAAUAAAGCAUAAGUUUUCUAUUAGUUUCCCAAUAAUUUUAAUAAUCAACUUAUAAAUUCUUUCAUAUAUAUUUAAAAACUCAAUUAGACAUCAUUUACGUAUUCUUAAUUGAAUACUCUUAUUUUCUUGUAUGAACCUAGUACCUUUGCCUAAUUGGUUUUACUAAAUCUUUAACUUUGCAUAGUUCCACUUGGAUAGUUUAGGUAAUUAUACUUAUCAAUUCUCUCAGGUCAUCCAAACAUGGAUACCUUUUCCGAAUCGAGCCUUAUCGAUCAUUCCCAGGCAUCCUGACAUGGACGUCAUUAGCUGAAGCGAAUCUUGUAAUUCACUUCCCAGCAAUCCUAUCACGGAUGCCAUUAGCCUAAGAUAAUCUUGAGAUUCAUUUCCCGACAAUCCUAUUACGAAUGCAAUUAGCCGAAGCUAAUCUUGUAAUUCAUUUCCCGGUAAUCCUAUCAUGGAUGCUAUUAGCCGAAGCUAAUCUUGUUAAUACACCGGACUUUGUUUACAUUAAACAUAACUUAAUUGUCAUUGUCUUCAUCGGGAAGACUUUAAAUUACAUAAGAGUAAAGGAGAGGUAAAACCACGCACCUUCUCCGCCUGUCUCGUGACCUCCUUCAACAAAAGAUCCAAUCCUAGUCGCUCCGCCUAAAUCACAAAGAAGUCUUUGGUCAUGUUUCCUUUAAGCUAAAUGUUUAAGGAAAUCCAUAUUCAUUCAUUAUACAUAUGGUACUUUCCAUGCAUGUUCAUUUCCUCAUCAUAACAUACAUAUACAUAUCAAGUAUAUAUUUUCAAGGUUUUAUAUCAACGUGCAAGUGCCCCUACGACUAAGUUUGUUUUUGCAUCAACGUAAAUUAGUGACUUAUGACUCAUAACUGGAGUCUCAUAACUUUAAAUAAAGCAAACUUUGGUCAAUAAAAAGGUAACACAUUUAUCCAUAAUUUCAUUAAGGAUCAUGCAUGAAACUCUGUCAAUAUCAAAUCACAAACCAAAAAAGAAGUUAGACAGCAAAUUUGUCCAGCAGCUUCUAGCCUAACCUCCUCUCAGUAUUUUGCCUAUAUAUGGAGUUCUAUAACUCCUAAUAAAGUGAACUUUAUACCAAUUAAAAGGUAACACAUUUAUAUAUAACUACAUGGAGGAAAAUGCAUCAUACUCUAUCAAUAUAAAAUCCCAAACCGAACAAGAAGUUAGACAGCAAAUCUGUCCAGCAGCUUCCAGCCUAGCCUCCUCUAAGUAUUUUGCUUAUAUAUGGAGUUCUAUAACUCUAAAUAAAGUGAAAUUUAUGUCAAUUGAAAGGUAACACAUUUAUAAAUAUCCACAUGAAGGAAAAUGCAUGAUACUCUGUCAAUAUCAAAUCCCAAACUAAACAAGAAGUUAGACAGCAAAUCUAUCCAGCAGCUUCCAACCUAACCUUCUCUUAGUAUUUUGCUUGUAUAUGGAGUUUUAUAACUCUAAAUAAAGUGAAAUUUAUGUCAAUUGAAAGGUAAUACAUUUAUAGAUAUCCACAUAAAGGAAAAUGCAUGAUACUCUGUCAAUAUCAAAUCCCAAACUGAACAAGAAGUUAGACAACAAAUCUAUCCAGCAGCUUUCAGCCUAACCUCCACUUAGUAUUUUUCCUGUAUAUAGAGUUCUAUAACUCCAAAUAAAGUGAAAUUUAUGUCAAUUGAAAGGUAACACAUUUAUAGAUAUCCAUAUGAAGGAAAAUGCAUGAUACUCUAUCAAUAUCAAAUCCCAAACUGAACAAGAAGUUAGAUAGAAAAUCUAUCCAGCAGCUUCCAGCCUAACCUCCUUUUAGUAUUUUGCCUGUAUAUGGAGUUCUAUAACUCCAAAUAAAUGAAAUUUAUGUCAAUUGAAAGGUAAGACAUUUAUAGGUAUCCACAUGAAGGAAAAUACAUGAUACCAUGUCAAUAUCAAAUCCCAAACUGAACAAGAAGUUAGACAACAAAUCUAUCCAGUAGCUUCCAGCCUAACCUUGUCUUAGUAUUUUGCCUGUAUAUGGAGUUCUAUAACUCCAAAUAAAGUGAAAUUUAUGUCAAUUGAAAGGUAAUACGUUUAUAGAUAUCCACAUGAAGGAAAAUGCAUGAUACUUUGUCAAUAUCAAAUCCCAAACUGAAUAAAAAGUUAGAUAGAAAAUCUAUCCAGCAGCUUCCAGCCUAACCUCCUCUUAGUAUUUUGCCUGUAUAUGGAGUUCUAUAACUCCAAACAAAGUGAGAUUUAUGUCAAUUGAAAGGUAACACAUUUAUAGAUAUCCACAUGAAGGAAAAUUCAUGAUACUCUGUCAAUAUCAAAUCCCAAACCAAACAAGAAGUUAGACAACAAAUCUGUCCAGCAGCUUAACCUCCUCUCGGUAGUUUGCCUAUAUAUGGAGUUCUAUAAUUCCAAAUGAGGUAAGACCAGUGCCAAAAGUUAGCUAACUCAUUUAUCUACAACUUUCAUAUGUAAUGUUAUAACAAUUUCAAUCGACUUCUAUGCCUAACAUUAGCAUAAUUUCUAUACUUACAUAUUUGUAAUGGAAGUAACAUACAAACAUGUUUAAGUUUCUGUUUCAGCCCUUGAUUUAGCCUUAGGAUAACUAUGUAAGGUCAUAAUUAGCAGAGAUUAGUAUCAAAUUUCUAUUCUCUUUCUUUCUACUUUCAUGGUCGUCCCUAAAGAGGAUUUGUUCCACUAAUUUCUAUCAUUUUCUUUUGUCAUAGAAGCUGAAAAUGUUUAACUUCUCAUCUCAACCUUUUAAUUUCAUCAUUUGUUUUUUUUUUGUCAAAAUCAUGAAGUUCUAGGAACCCUAAAUUAUUUAUAUUGGGGUUUUUUCCCCCUUUGGAUUCAAAACAAAUCAAAUUAACAAUAGAAUAGCAAGGGCUUAUCCUUACCUCACGAUUUUAUCUAAAGAUGGAAGGUGUUUUCUUGAUGGUUUUCUUCUUCUCCUCUUUAUCACUGUUUCAGCCGGCCCUUGUGCCCUCCAAACCUCAAGAUUUUAUGGAUCUACACUUCCUAAUUACUCUCCUCUCUCACGUAGGUUCAUGCAAGGUGUUUUGGGUGAGAAAUGUGUGCAAUAAAAGGGAGCCAAUCUUCUCUCUUCAACUUGUUCUAAUUGAAAGUGAGAGGAAAGGUCAGGAAUUCUUUUUUUUUUUUUAAUGUAUUUAUACUCCCUUAUAUAUGCCUUAGGUCUUGUUUGGUAGUUUGGUCAAAUUUGUUCCUAACAUUACUUUUCUCCUUGUUGUGUGCUUUAGUUCUUCAUUUCACAAUUUGUUUAACAUCUCUCCCUCAUCCUUCCCUUCACACAUUUUAAUCCUUAGACAUUUGUUAGUUUUUAUACCCAUAUUUUUGUAAAAUAUUUGACUUCGUAAUUUAUUUUCUUAUUUUGAAUUCACCCUAUAAGUAUUGAAACAUUUUUAUUUUCUAAAAAUUUCAACUUGGGGUUUACAUAACCUUUAAGAAGAAGUGAAAAGAAAAGGUUGAAGCAGACAUCAUGAUUAUCCAAAAUGCAAUAUUUGAUCCCUGGUCCCAACAACAAAUCCAUAGUUAUCACAAAGAUCUAGUCCAUUUCUUUUGCCUUCCUUCUCUUACUUUUCUAGCUAUUUUUUCCUACUUUCUACUAUCCAUUCUAGAGCUUCAGAUUCUUAUAUUGUACAUAGAAUUUGAGUCUAGUUUUUUAACAGUUCAUAAACCUCGAUCCAUCAUACAAUUUCUCAAGAUGAUGCUGUUAUAAUUUAAAAAAACUAUUUAUAGAAGAUUUAUCUUCAAGGACAAGAGUUGAAUCCUUAAUAGCACAUUUAUACUCCCUACUUUUCAUCUAAAUUUCUUUAACAAGUAAGUCAUAUUUACUUUGUCAUUAUAUUUAUGUCAUCUAGAUUAAUACUAGUUAGAUGGUCUGCGCUAUACCGUGAGCCAACGUUUUAUUUUCAUAAAAAAUAUCAAAAAAAUAUAAGACCCAAGAGCGUUGAGUCUAACUGUAACACUGGAUCUAAAAGCAUUGAGUCUGACUGUAACACUAGAUCUAAAAGUAUUGAGUCUGGUUGCAACACCAAACUCAACAAUAAUAUUUAUAAUAUAAAUAAUAAUAUUUAACUUGUCUGCCUAUAUUGUUAUAUUUUUAAAUCUUUAAAAAAAAAUUAUGAUUUUUCUUCAAUAGUAAUAAUAGUAUUAUUUUAAAUUUAUUAAUAAUAAUGAUAAUAAUAAUAAUAAUAAUUUUUAAUUUUACCUUUUAAAUCAAAUCUAUGGUGGUUUUUCAAUAUUGAUAAUAAUGUUUUUCAAAUUUAUUAAUAAUAUUAAUUAUAAUAAAAAUAAUAACAUUUAUAAUACAAAUAAUAAUAUUUUUAAUAUUAAUACUAUUAAUUAUAAUAAAAAUAAUAAUAUUUAUAACACAAAUAAUAAUAUUUUUAUAAUAAUAUUUUUAAGUAUAAUAAAAAUAACAAUAUUUAUAACACAAAUAAUAAUAUUUAGAAACCUAAAACACAUUAGUGUUGGAACUUGACGCCGGACCCAAGAGAAUUAGAUCCUAACACAGGUCUUAGGAGAAUUGGGUUCUAAAACAAGACCCAUUACCCUUGGAUCCUGAUGCUGGCCCCAAGAGAAUUGGGUUGUAAUGCAAGUGAGUUGGGUCCUAACGCAUGACCCAUCAGCCUUGAGUUUUGAAGCCGAACCCAAGAUAAUUGGGUCCUGAUGCAAUUCCCAAGAGAGUUAGGUCCUGACGUCGGACUGAAGAGAAUUAAGUCCUGACGCAGGACCCACUACUUAUGGGUCCAAACGCUGGAUCCAAGUGUAAACCCCAAUUGAAAAUUAGUCUGAAAAGCAAUUUAAAUGCUUAUAGAAUAGAUUUAUCAGAAGUACCAAAUAAGCAUUAGAACAAACCAUGUAAAAUAAAAAACAGAAAAGUGAAUAAAAUAUUACUAAGAGUGAAUUACCUAGAAAUAAAAUUAUCAAUAUGUAACUAAAUGAAAAUCGAAUUCACCCGGAUAAAAAGUUUAUACAGAGAAAUACUAGGAUCCAAGAAUUUUAUCUCAUGAACAAGAAAUUUACUAUUUAGGAUAUAGAGGGAAUUUGGUAAAAAGUUUAUAUAUAUAUAUAUAUAAGUGUGCAUGUGUGUGGGCAAGAAGAAAAAAGAGAGAAAAAGAAAUAGAGAGAAAUAGGGGAAACUAUCAUUUACAUGUGAGAGAGAAAACAAAAUGAUAAAAACAUAAAAUCUUAAGAGGAGAUCUUGAGGGAACAUUAACCAAACUUAGUGAGCAUUAAUUGGAAGGAAGAAAAACCUAGAAAAAAAGGAGGGAAGUUCAACCAAGAUUAAAGAAAAGAGGAGUUGGAAGCUUGAAUUGGGUAGUGUUUAGAGUCUUAUUAUUUGCUUGGUAGGGCAUUCUAAAGACUUUUAAUUUGAUUUUUAAUGGCUUAAAGUCUUUAAUUGAUUGAAUUUUUGAAAUUUGGAAAGUUAGGGUUCUUGAAUGAAUUUGGAAGAAAUAAAACUUUACUGUAAAUUAUCAUGGGGAAUAAUGUGAAAGUUAGAGUAAAGUAAUUAAAUUAUUGUAGUUGAAGUAAAAAAUUUUGAUAAUUAAAUAGGGCUAGUGGUUAACCAAUGAUGAGAGUUUUUCAAUCUUAUUUUAUGCUACUCUGUUAGUGCUUUAUACUCCAUGAUGUGAAUUGAUGAACAAUGUAGGCAAUAGAACUAUUUUUUUGAAUAUCUCUUUACAACUUCUUAAAUUUCAUGGAGAUGUCUGAUGAGGAAUAUAGUUGAUUGUUGGUCCUUAUUAGAUUUUGUAUGUAAUGGAGUUAUGAGACGUUAAUAAUUCAUUAGAGAUGUUAAUUUGAUGGCUAAAAUCCAUGAAAUUCAACGGGACUAUUACAAAAGGUGAGAUAUUUAAGACAGUAACAAAUCAAACAUUAACAGUUGAGGUUUAAGACAGUAACAGAUCAAAUAGUAACGGUUGAGGUCUAAGACAGUAACAGAUCAAAUAGUAAUAGUUGAGGUCUAAAACAGUAACAGAUCAAACAUUAACAGUUGAGGUCUAAGACAGUAACAGAUCAAAUAGUAAUAGUUGAGAUCUAAAACAGUAACAGAUCAAGCAAUAACAGUUGAGGUGUAAGACAGUAACAGAUCAAGUAGUAAUGGUUGAGGUCUAAGACAGUAACAGAUCAAACAUAUAUAUAUAUAUAUAUAUAUAUAUAUAUAUAUAUAUAUAUAUAUAUAUAUAUGAGAACUGAGUUGUGUGGACACUUGCACGUUGAGAUACUGACUCUGAAAAUAUAUAUGAUAUGUGUAUAUAUGUUAUGAUGAAGAAAUAAACAUGCAUAAAAAGUAACAUAUGUGUAAUGAAUGAAUAUGGAUUCAGGAGGAGUGACCAUGAUUGGAUCUUCUGUUGGGGGAGGUCACGAGACAGGCGAAGCAGGUGCGUGAUUUUCCCUCCUCUUUGCACUUAUGCAAUUUAAAUAUAUUUUUUUGGUGAAUGCAAUUACAAUAAAUGUCAUGUUCAAUGUAAAUAAAAUCUAGCAUAUUUACAAAAUUAGCUUCGGCUAAUAGCAUCUGUGAUAGAAUUGCUAGGAGAUGAACUACAAGAUUAACUUUGACUAAUGUUGUCCGCGUUGGGACGCCCGAGAACGAUUGAUAAGACUCGAUUUGUAAAGGGUAUCCGUGUUUGAAUGAUCUAGGGGAAAUUGAUAAAUAUAAUUGCCUAAAAAUGUCUAAGUUGGACUAUACAAAGUCACCCGGUUCAUGCAAGUAAAUAAGAGUAUUUAAAUUAAGGAUAUGCAAAUGAGUUUUAAUUGGGUUUAAAUGAUUUACAAGCAAAUUAUAAGUUGAUUGUUAGAAUUCCUAUGGAUUCGAUAGAAAAUUUAUACUUCAUUCGUAUACAUUACAUGAUCAUAUAUAUUUCUUUUAUCAACAUAAUGGUAUGCUUACUUAGUUGUUUGUGUAACAUGUCCAUCAACUGUCCAGGGAGAUCAUUAGUUUGGGACUCCACUUUGUUAAGCUUAUGUAAAUAUUUAACUUAAGCAUAAGGGAAUUAACAUGAUUAUACAAUAUGUUUUUGUGUAAAUCUUGAUGUAUAUAUAAAAGUCUUAGCUCAACAUAUAGUACAUUAGUUAUCUUGUAAUUAACUCUUUUGAAAUGUUUAAAAAUACUUAUUAUAUUUUAAAUUUUCUCUUUACAUGUUAGUAUCCCUUUUUCCUUUUAAAUAUUAUAAUAUGAUUUGUGGGAUAUAUAUAUAUAUAUAUAUAUAUAUAUAUAUAUAUAUAUAUAUAUAUAUAUAUAUAUAUAUAUUGUGUGGAUUGUAUGAGGUGUUGAAUAUUGAUGAUUGAAAUAAAGUCUGAAAUUAUAGGACCUUAUGAUGAUGGGUUGAUUGAGUAAAUUGAUAGUAGUCGAUAACUUGGGAUAUCCUAAAUACAAACGAAACUCUACCAAAAUUUUGGUAGAAAUCUUUACAAAAACAAUUACCCUCAAAUUAAGAGCAUAUGAUGGGGUCUUUUAGCGUUGAUCAAAUUGUACAGUUGAGUCUGUUACAGUUGGUAUUAGAGCCCUGGUAUGGAUUCUAGGAAGAAUUCAAAAGAGGUUAUUGAUGUUUGUUAAUUUAUUGCAGGAUGGUACGUACCCACCAAGAGAUUAGAUCAGAUCUAUCUUCAACAGGGAGGGGGAAUAAAGAUAUAGACUUUUACGUUGGGCAAGAAGAGAACCUUUUGAAAGAUACUGCUUCACAUGCACCAGCAGUAUCGACUAAAGCAGGGCAUGAAGAAUCGAUGGGGCCUCAAGUCCGACAGGCACCAAGACAAAGGACCCAUUAGCCUUGGAUCCUAAUGCCGAACUUAAGAGAAUUAGGUUCUGAUAGAGGACCCAUUACAUUUGGGUCCUAACGUCAGAUCCAAGAAAAUUGAGUGUUGACGCAAGACCCAUUAGCUUUGGAUCUUGACACUGAACCAAAGAGAAUUGAGUUCUGACACGGGACCCAUUAGCUUAUGGUUCUAAUGCAGGACUCAAGAGAGUUUGAUCCUAACACCAAAUCCAAGAGAAUUGGGUGUUAACGCCGAAUCCAAGAGAAUUGGGUUAUGACACAGGACUCAUUAGCUUGGGUCUGGACACGGAUACAUUACCAAUGGGUCUAGACGCCGGACACAACAACCUUUGGUACGAUACGAACCCCAGAGUGGGCUAGAUAGGGCUGCAAGACCCAAGUGAUUUGGGUCUGCUCUUUUGCCAAACCCAAGUAACUUGGGUGAGGCACCCCUUUCCAGCCCCAGGAUUUUUAGGUCUGGAAAGGGAUGCCUAACCCAAGUUAAUAACAAUAAUAUUAUAUUUUACCUUUAAAAUCAAAUUUAUGUUUUUUUAUAGUAAUAAUAUUUAUUUUAAUUUUAAUAAUAUUAAUUAAUUGAAUAAUAUUUAUAAUAAUAUUUAACUUAUCUGUCAAAGUUCUUAUAUUUUUUAAUCUCUUAAAAAAAACAUUAUAGUUUUUUUUCGAUGAUAAUAAUAUUUUUUUAAAAUUUACUAAUGAUAACAACAACAACAACAAUAAUAUUUAAUUUUACAUUUUAAAUCAAAUCUAUUAUUAUUUUUUAAUAAUAGUUUUUAUAAAUUUAUUAAUUAUUAUAUUAAUAAUAAUCAAAAUAAUAAGAUGUUAUGUGGGAGGGUCUGCACCCAUCACGGUUCUGGAGACCCAGGUAAUAUCACAUUAAUAGUGAAAGAUCUACUCAACCAUGAUUUUAAAAGUUUUCCUUGACGAACAUGCGACGUUUUUUAGCCAAGAAAAUACGAUGUCGUAGGGCAAUCUUUAAAAAUUAUUUUUAUUUAAUUCUGUGGUAAUUAAGAUAAAUACGUGUAGGAAUUCUGAUAAUUUAAAUUAUGGAGAAUAAACUUAUUCAUUGUUCAAUAAACACUGUGAUUUGUGAGUGUAUGCACAGUGUUGUUUUAUGUACAGAAAGAAAAGGGAGCCAUGUUUUAGUUUAUAGUGUUAGUGUUACUAUUUCAUGAGAAGCUAAUCCUGUAUUAGUUUUUGGUAGUUCAGAAAUUAAUGUGAUUUACUUAGCUAAUCCAGUUCCCAUGAGAAGCAAAAGAUCCUGUAUAAAGUUUUCUAUAAUGACAUUUUGUAUUUAAUUUUUUUGUUUUAAAAGAAGUUAAAUUUUUAUAAUUUUUUUCAAAAUAAUUUUUUAUUUUUUUAUAUUAUUUGAAUAUGCUGAUUUUAAAACUAAAUUCUAAAUAAUAAUAAAAAAUUAUUUAAAUAUAUUUUUAAAAAACAACUGAAUUUUUGCAGAAAACCCAGCUAUAAAUUAACAUCUUUAGCCCGUGACGGUAACCGGCAGUUCUACCCAUGACGGUGGCGGUGAGUCCUCCCAAUUGUACAUGUCGGAUCCUUCUUGCCCGGGACGGUGAUGGGCAAUCCCGCCUGUCAUUUCAGUGUGGCCCCAGGUGAAAUGAUUUUAAAAUAUAAAAAAAUUAGCUUUUAAUAAUUAAAUAAUUUUAAUUUAAAUUGAGGAAAAAAGACUUCUUAACAAAAUAAAACUUACGAUAUUACAGUAACAAACAUGCUAAAAAACAUCUUCUUUUUCAAAGCAUGCAACUACAGGACCAGCCAUAUUAAGCUGCUUGUGAUAUUACUCCUCAUACAACCAAAUCAAUCCAUAACCUACGAGAUUUAUUGCAACUCUUGCUUACUUUUCAAUUCCAUAACCUAUGCUUGCUUUCAAAUAUAUAUAUAUACUAACUUUGAACGACAAACAUGUUUGUAAAUUAAGAGUGAAAGGAAAGUUGAAAAUCACAGGGAGAGCCUUAUAUAUAUAUAUAUAUAUUACUCCUCAUAGAAUUUCAUGAAGCAUUGAGGUUCUGGGCGAGAAGUUGACCACUCCUGAUAUUCUGGGCUUCUUCAAAAGCCACAAGCUCAAUGAUCGAUGGUCUUCUGGGAAAGUUGAAAGAAACACUGAAUACCCUCAACGGACUUCUCGACGACGCGGAGGAGAAGUAGAUUACCAAGCCUGCUGUGCAGAAGUGGCUUAAUGAUGCUAGACAUGCUGUGUAUGAAGCUGAGGACUUAAUGGAGGUGAUUGAAUAUCAACAUCUACGAUCCAAGGAUAUUAAAGCUGCCUCUCGACGAGUUAGGAAUCGGGUAAGCAUAUGGUUUUGCUCUUGUAGACCUUGCUUUCUCGUAUAAUGUUAUUAUCGAUCCCUCUGAUUUUUACAAGCACAAUUCGAAAUUGUAAGAUAUCAGAAAAUUUCAUAUCUUUUCUUGAAAUAUUUCAUGCAAACAACACCCCUCAAUUAUGCUAAUUUAUCUCAUGCAACCAAUCCUAUGAUACUAUCCUGCAACCACUACUCAUUAUUAUUCCAACAAAUUCCAACCACUUUUUAAUAGCCCAGCCUGGCCAAGCUGUCAACUUAAUUAAAACAUGUUCAAUCUAGAAUUUGAAUUAAAUUGUUUUUUUUAAAACAAAAAUCAAAGUUGACCCAUUAAUUUUUAAAAAAACAUUAGCACUAAAUGUUAAAUAUUGGUGUCAUAACACCUUUGAAAAAAAAAUUAGUGGAAUAGCUUAUUUUCACAUUUUUAAUAGCAAUAUUUAGUAAAUAUUAUUUUUUUGAAGUGCAACAAAGUGAAAGUCCAAUUAUUUGACUUAAUUAGUUAGUUGAUUGAAUUUAAUUGUAUUAACUAGUCGAUUAUUUCACAUAAAAACCAUAAUUUUAUGAAUUUUUUCUUUCAAAUAUAAAUUAUGAGUCAAAAUAUACAUGUGUCUAACAUCUAGACUAAAAAAUAGAUUUCAAUUAAAGUUUUAAAAAAAUUAUUAUUUACAUAGUAGUUGUUAUCUAUUUUUCAAUGUCAAUUAAUGAUGUAGAAAAGCUUGUGACAGUAAGUGAUUCUAAGUUGUCAGAUGUUUGUUUAUCAUAACUAUAUAAGGAUUGUCCUAAAUAAAUUAAAUGUAUGACCUAACAAAUAUAUUUAUAGACCAAUAAAAUAGUUUGAAGCUUAAGAGGAGAUUUGAUCCCACAAAGCCAGAAUAAUAAGAAAAAAAACCAUAAUUUUUUAUUUGACUAUUGAAUUGCACUCAAAUUUUUAUAGGAGUUUUUAAAAACCACAUUCUCUAUUGUAGUCACUGCAUUGCUAUGUAGACUGUUAAAUCUUUAGAUAUAAAAAAUCUCGUCAAAACCCCUUGAUUUUGGUAUUUUUAAGAUUUUUAUUAUUAUUUUCGGAAUUAAUUGACUAAUUUCAUUAACUAUUAUGAACAAGUCAAUUAAUUAAGUCAAAUGAUUAAAAUUUUACCUUAUCAGAACCUUAUUAGAAACAUAACAUUUAUUAAAUGUCACUAUUCGAAAAAACGACAAUUAUUUUGUGAUGCUUAGGAAUAGUAACAUUUAAUAAAGUUUCCAUUUCUAAAUCCAGCUAGUAGAAGGAUGAAAGAGAUGGGAGCAGAGUUACAAAAGAUCCAUGAGAAGCUUGAACGUUUUACUUAUACACAAGGGUGAUCUGCGCCAUAUAGAAGUUACUGGUGGACGCAGACCAUUGUCAGAGAAAACAACUCCACUGGUUAAUGAAUCUAAUGUAUAUGGAAGGGACGCUGAUAAGGAAGCCAUAAUGGAGCACUUGUUGACACAACACACCACAGAUGGCUCAAAUUUACGUGCGGUCCCUAUUGUGGGCAUGGGCGGGAUUGGUAAAACCACUCUUGCUCUGCUUAUCUACAAAGACGAAAGGGUACAGCAACGCUUCCAACUCAAGGCCUGGGUCUGGGCUUCUCAACAAUUUGAUGUUGCCAGGAUUAUUAAGGAUAUUCUUGAUCAACGCAAGAACUUGCCGCACCAAAGAACCAGAUGAAUCUCUAAUGGAGGCAGCGAAAGGGAAAAAACUUCUUCUUGUUCUAGAUGACGCGUGGAACAUCGAGUACAAUGAAUGGGAUAAACUACUGCUACCUUUGCGGUAUGUGGAGCAAGGAAGUAAGAUUGUCGUGACAACACGGGAUCAAGAUGUAGCAAAAGUCACGCAAACUGUCAUCACCCCUCACUGCUUGAAAGGAAUAAGCGAUGAAUAUUGCUGGAAGUUGUUUGCAAGGGAUGCAUUUAGUGGUCUAAAUUCUGAAGCAGUCUCACACUUGGAAGCAUUUGGCAGAAAAAUAGUGAGAAAGUGCAAAUGUUUGCCGCUGGCAGCGAAAACUCUUGGUGGUCUUUUGCACUCCGUAGAAGAUGUCAAGCAAUGGGAGAAGAUAUCCAAUAGCAGUUUGUGGGGUUCGUCGAAUGAAAACAUCCCUCCAGCUUUAAAAUUGAGCUAUUAUUAUCUCCCUUCACACCUGAAACGUUGUUUUGCUUAUUGUGCAAUAUUUCUCAAAGGUUAUGUAUUCAAGAAGGAUGGAUUAAUCACUGAAUGGAUGGCACAUGGUUUUUUAUUCCAGCCAGAGGUGUUGAGGAGAUGGAAGAUAUAGGUGAAAAAUACUUUGAUGAUCUUGUCUCCAGGUCAUUUUUCCGGCAAUCACUUUAUGCUCCAUCAUAUUUCAGCAUGCAUGACAUCAUAAGUGAUUUAGUUGAAUACGUGUCAGGAGAAUUUUGCUUUAAGCUUGGUAUUAAUGAAUCGGGAUCUGGGUUGGAGGGUGAACAUUCAUGCUCGCUUCCAGAAAGGACUCGUUAUUUAUCAAUCACUUCAGCGGCAGUUCGGACAUUUCGUAGCAUUCAUGGAGUCCAACAUUUGCGCGCCUUGUUUCCACUAUAUAUUUUCGGGGAAGAUGAUAGUGAGGCACUGAAUGACAUCUGGCUAAAUCUUAAGCGCUUGCGAAGGCUAUCUUUAUGUCAUCUAAAAGAUAUUUCUUCUCAGUUGCUCAAUUCCAUUGGCAACUUAAAACAUUUGCGGCACUUGGACCUUUCUCGCACCGCCAUUAAAAGGUUACCUAAAAGUGUGUGCACUUUGUACUAUUUGCAAAGCUUAUUGUUAAAGAAGAGCCGACAUCUCAUGCAGUUGCCAUCCAACCUUUUCAACUUGGUCGCCUUACAACAUCUUGAUAUUGAGGGGACAAAUCUGAAAAAGAUGCCACCGAAAAUGGGGAAACUCACAAGGCUUCGAACUUUGCAAUAUUACGUAGUGGGAAAAGAGAGGGGGUCUAGCAUGAAAGAGCUGGGGAAGCUCUCACAUUUAAGGAAAAAACUUUCUAUUCGGAAUCUCAGAGAUGUUGCAAAUGCUCAAGAUGCUUUGGAUGCCAAUUUGAAGGGUAAGAAGAAGAUUGAGGAGUUGAGGUUGAUAUGGGAUGGCAAUACAGAUGACACCCAACAGGAGAGAGAAGUACUUGAGAAAUUGGAGCCUUCUGAAAUUGUGAAACAGCUUGCCAUUAAGGGUUACGGGGGUACAAUGUUUCCAGACUGGCUUGGAAACUCUUCUUUCUUAAAUAUGGUAGCGUUGACUCUUUCUGGAUGUAAGAACUGCAUCUCCUUACCACCAUUGGGGCAGCUGCCAUCUCUUGAAGAGCUCCAUAUUGAAGGAUUUGAUGAUGUCGUGGCAGUUAGUUCUGAGUUCUAUGGAAGCGACCCUUCGAUGGAGAAGCCAUUUAAAUCCCUCAAAAUAUUAAAGUUUGAGGGGAUGCGAAACUGGCAGGAAUGGAAAACAGAUGUAGCUGGUGCUUUCCCUCAUCUUGCAAAUCUCUUGAUAGCAGGUUGUCCCGAGUUAACAAAUGGCUUGCCUAAUUACCUUCCUUCUUUAUUGAUACUUGAGAUUCAAGCGUGUCCACAGCUUGUGGUUUCAAUUCCAGAGGCUCCCCUGCUCACCGAAAUCAAUGUAAAAGUCACUAAAACUUUCAUCCCCUCUCACCGCUGGAAUGCACUAAGCGAUGAAGAUUGCUAGCAGGUUCUUCUUGCAAGGUAUGCAUUUUAGGGAGAGGAUAUCCAAUAGCAGUAUGUUACUAAAAAAAUAUUUUUAAACUGUAUAUAUAUAUUUUUUAAAAUACACUAGGUAUAUUAAGUUUGUAAAGCAAUGGGAGGAGAUAUAUUAAGUUACUAAAACAAGGUGUUUAUCAUUUUGUUUGGUUGUCCAUAAGGUUUUGUUACGCAACUAUAUAAAAAUAAAAAUCAUAAUUUGUCGACAUUACGGCACAGAAUUGUGAAAUUCAUCCUCUCUUGCCAUCGAAACCUGAGAGUGUUUUGACUUUUGGAGUGGAGGGCAGAAAUAAAAUUGUAGUUAUAUUAAGUUAUAAAAAAAAUAGUUUUAAACUGUAUUUAAAAAAAAUACAUUAGGUAUAUUAAGUUACUAAAUUUUUUUAUUAAACUGUAUUUUUUUUUAAAAUACAUUAGGUAUAUUAAGUUUGUCAAGCAAUGAGAGAAGAUAUAUUAAGUUACUAAAAAAAUAUGUUUAUCACUUUAUUUUUAUUUCUCGUAAAAGUCGGUUACGCAAUCGAAUCGGGGAUGAUUGGUUGAAUGAUUGUUUGGUUACUUAUAUCGAAAAAAAUAUAUUUGAAAGUGUUGAUAAUGGAAAGAUUCUAUAACGUUUUCAGCAUAUGAAGUCUUGCAGGGAUUUCACGGAGCAUCUUUUUAUAAUAUAUGUGAAUUUUUAAAUUUUAUAUUAGAAGCUUAAAAUUUUUAGAUUUUUUAGAUCUUAAUUAAUUUAGUUAUAUUAUUUUGCUAUCUAUGAAAACUCGAUCUGGAUCCGUCCUUUAUCAAAUGAAGUAUAUAUCAUGUUGAAACCGGUAAUGAGUUUCGAUUGAUAGAAGAAUCAGGAAAAAAAAAUUAAAAUAGAUGUGCUUUGAGAGUGAUAAAAUAAUUUCAAGGAAUCAUAGUAAAAUAACUUAUAUGGUUCUAGCAAUAUUGAAAAAGAAAAUUUGGAUUUAGACAUAAAAUUAUAUAUUGACUAGUUUUACGCUAUUGAGCAUGACUCUCAAUUCGAUCUUUCGAUUGAGUUGAAAGUCCACAAGAAGACUUCUGAUAUAUUGCUCUAUCUUGGGUUAAAAGUUUAGGGUAGGCCAUCAUAGAAUAUCAACAGUCGAACUAAAAAUAACAUGUAGAUUCAUUAAUGAUAUUUUCAUAAAUAAGCUAGAAAAACUAAAAAUUUAGUUUCUUCUUCCCCUCUAAACUACCGGCUAGUGCUAAAACAACUAUAAUAGAAAAAACAAAUUGAGAGCUUACUCAUUGGAACCCUUGAAUCAAGAUUUAAGGCAAGAUAGGUGAGGGAAUAAAUAUUAAACACAUCUCGACUAAGUGCCAUCCUAUAAAUUUGUUUUCAAUUUGCAUUUGAUGAAAAAUAUACAAGGAAUCAUAAAUGAAUUAACUUAAGCAUUGCGAAGGAAAUAUCAAGAUAUCAUAAAUGUGUUGACAAGUUAAAAAGUUUUGAAACAACAAAUUUAAAUGAUAAGGGAUGAAGGAUGAAAAUAUUUAGUUGAUGAGAUUUUUUUUUGGUGUGAAAGACAUAGCAUUGAUAUUUCAAAAAUAAAUGAUGUGUUUGUCAUUUGCAGCCGAUCAAGGUGUAAUACCCAACAAUUAAUAAACUUGUAUCAUUAACAGGCCGAGCUGUUCUAUACAACAAUUGACAUGCAACUUCACGAGCUUAACAAUUGUUUUAUCAAGAUACACAUGGAGUUGCUUCCUUGCAUUGCAUGUUUGAAACUCAAUCUCUAUAAUAUUAUAAAUAGGUUAGCAUUGCAAUAACAAAAAAAAAAUAUGAUAACCAUGACAAUAAUAAUAAUAAUAAUAUGAAUAUGUAUAUUUUUAUUAGUUGAUGGAUCAAUUUGAAAGCAUCAAAGUACUUUUUUGUAAAAAUAAACUAAUAAAUGGUACACCCGAGGCAAAAUUAUAGCCAAUAUAGCUUGUUGGCCAAGGGAAAGUGUCACGGGGGUAUUUUUCGCUACGCGAAUAAACCCGUGCGGCAGCCUAGUCCUUCGCUAGACUCAGCCUUCCCUCACCAAUCUCACUCGUGUUUGCCUAAUAACUAAGCAAGCGGAAUACACAAGCAAGGAUAAGAAUCAUAGUGCACAACAAGCUUUACAGGAACUCUUUCCCAACCUUUAUUAAUCUCAUACACAAAGGAAACUAUACACAAAUCCGUAUGUGUGCUAUGCACAAAGAUUACAUGCUACACUAAGCUACCUCUAACUAGUGUUCUACACAUGUUCUUGCAUGCCCCUACAUGCUGGACAUUCCCAACCGAAUGCCCUUACAAUCUGAACAUUCCCACCUGAAUGCUCUCCCACAACCAAGAGCUACAUCUUGUAUUUAUAGACAAGCAAAGGAGCUGCAAAGGCUCCUCCCCAUUAUCCCCCAUUUUCAGGACCUAGUGGAGCACUACCUCUCUCCCAUGAUCCCAUGUUUUCAGGACAUGGUGGAGCACUACCUCUCACCCAUGAUCCCAUGUUCUGCCUCCCAUGAAGCUGCCACUCUCCUUAUUUUCUGGCUGUCUACUUGGCAGCCCCAGCUGCCAGCUUCUGCUGCGUCAGCUGCUGACUUAGAAGGUCCAUCAUCUAAGCCCCCACGUCCAUGUCAAGUCGCAAGCUCAAAGACUCGCAUAGACCAUUGCAUGCUGCCUGCCGAAUUCAUCUCUGCCUAUGCAAGGCUGCCGCGAUCCAUCGCUGCCGAAUUCUAAGCAGAGUGCCUUCGUUGGCGCGUCCCAGCGCCUAGAGCUCUUAGCCCAUGCCUUGGACAGUCCUUCGCCCAAGUUUUAGAUCGUGCCAAGUCGAGCCCCUGACUUGCACAAGUUUGCUGCGCGCUGCCGAGUCCGCAUCUGCAGGCAAGCUGCCAAUGCGCUGCCGAAUUCGCAUAUGCGUGCUGCCAAUCUCUGCGCUGCCGAAUUCGCAUCUGCGUGCAGGCUGCCCCUGUCUACGCUGCCGAAUUCUGCGAUAGUCCCAAUUCUCGUCAGCCUAUCCUCCUGACGAGGCUUGGACAGUCCCUCGUCCAGCCCAUGUUCGUCAACAAUCUGCGCUGCCGAUUUUCCCUUUGACGAACCUACAGCCGCAUAAAUCUGCGCUGACGAUUUCUCCCACUGAUGGCAUGGCUGCCAGCACCCUUCGGCCUUGUUUUGGCCAGCCUGCCGAAGCGUGCACCUCGUGCACAUUUGACACUGUGACAGAAAGAGUCUUUUCGUUUGUAGUUUUGGAGUAGCAAAUAAUGGCUUAUGAUAAGCAAACGUUGAUUCAUCUUGCUUAAUUCUAUCUAUCUAUUUUCUUCAUAGUUGAGCUUGCAGCACUUAUAAUCAACUGGAAACUUAUAUUCUUGACAUGAGAUCCUGUGAAGAAUUUCCAAAGCUAAAAGAAAUCAAUUAUUCUGCUAAAAAAUUGGUAAAGACAAACUAUUUCAUUAGAAAAUAAAAUAUUUUCAGCGAUGAAAUUGAUUAAAAAUUGAUUACGCAAUCGAAUCAGAGAUGAUUAAUUAAAUGAUUGUUUGAUUAUGAUUACUUAUAUCGAAAAAGAUAUAUUGAGAAGUGAUAAUAAUAAGAAAAUCCUAUAUUUCAACAUAUAAAAUCUUGCAAGGAACAAUUAUAAAUUAUAUAAAAAAGAAUUUCAUGAAUCAUCUUUAUAUAUAUAUAUAUUACAAAUUUAUAAUUUUAAGAUUUUUUAAAUCUUAAUUAAUUUAAUUAUAUACUUAUAUUAUUUUAUACGUUAAAACUGGAGUCCAUCCUUCAUCUUAAUGGCAUAGAUGAAAUAUCUUAUUUAUGCCCAUUUGAAGAUAAUUAAUCCAGACUUAAUCCACUUGAUGAUGCCUUAAUCAUGCUGAUAAAAAAAGAUUAAUACAUUAAGCACAAGUGUUGAUAUAAUCAGUGGCAGAGCCCCGGGGCUGGCAGGACCCGGCCUUGUAAGAAAAUGUUCUUGUCAAUAUUUUUUUAAUAAUAUUUAUAGUUUCAGCUCAAAUAAUAAAAUAACUGAAAUCUUUGCCUUCUAAAAUAUUUUUUUUAAUUUUAUUUUGUGACCCAGCCCUAAAUAUAAUAUAAAUAAUUUAAUAUUGUUAGGAAGUUUUAAACCGGCUUCCAUGAAUUUAAUAUUGCCUAUCAUUUCAGCGUGUCCCGAGGUGAAAACAUUUGGCCUUUUUUUUUAAUUACUGAAAACUUAACAUGUCAUGUGCUAAAUUCUUUUUUUUAUUAUUUACGUGGGGUGUCCGGGCCAGCUUACGCGCACCACGACUAUUCCCCACAGCCCGCUGGACAUCCUGCAAGCCCAGGAGCAGGUAAGGCACCGCGGAGGUGACAGGCGUGCACAUAGAGGGUCGAACCCGGGACGGGAGCGGAACAAGUCACACGAUUGACCACAACAGCUAGACCCUCAAGUGCAUCAUGUGCUAAAUUCUUGAAGAACCCAGUGAAUGCCAAAAUUAAAGAUUCAUUUUGAAAAUUAAUUUGAAAUAAAAAUGAAAAAAUAUAAUUUUUUUUCAAAAAUACUUUUACAUCCAGAAACAAAAAUGACCUUAUGUAAGGGACAUGCACGUAUCCACUUAGAUAUAAAACCCCAGCCAAGAAACCAAAGAAGAGAAGUAGAGAACGGUAGCUCAGGGGAGCGUUUGGCAUGGAAAAAUGAAAGGGCACGGUCGUAUAUAUUCUUUGGAUUUCCACAUUGGUAAUAUAUACAUGAAUUUGUUUUUAUAUUAAGAAUUAUGUUUUAUGAUUGUUUUAAAUAAAAUUUGCUUUAAAUUAAUAUUGUUUUAGUAUUGUUAAAUUAUUUUAAUGUAAUAAUAUAAAAAAUAAUUUUUUAUUUUUUUAAAUAAAAAAUAAUUAUUACCAUACUCACCAUCAAAACUUAACAAGUACGGUAGGUAUGCAUCAAAGAAAAACCAAAGGACGGUAGGUAUGCAUCAAUGCCAUAAAUAGAGUUUGUCUUGUUCAGAAGACUUUGAAAGUGGCUUCGUUGACUCUGCAGACACGAAGAAUAGUCAAAAGUCCUAAAAUUAACUCAUCUUUGCUAUCCACGGCGGCGCAUCAUUAGUGGGUUUGGAAAUUAACAUGGUGCUUCCGAUGAGCCAAGCUAUGUGUUCACAGUGAUUAAUUCGAAUGUGUAAGCAAUAUCGUUGCUAUCACCAUUUGCUUUGAAGGGCUAUUUAAAAAUAUAAUAGUAGUUAUUUCUUUAAAAUAUAUAUUAAAUAUAUAUAUUUUUUUAUUUUUUAAAAAUUAUUUUUGAUAUUAAUACAUCAAAUCAAAACAAAACAAAAAAUAUAAAAAAAUUAAUAUAAAAAAUUUAAUUUUAAAAAAACAUGAUUUUAAAUGCGAUCCCAUACAAUAGAUUAGAUAGAAAAAAAAAGGAAACUGGAAAAAAAACAUUAAUUAAAAUGAUAAAUAGAUAUAAAUAAAUUAUUUUUUCUUCAAAUUAGAAUCGUUAUUUUCUAUACACUAUUGUCGCUAAAAUUAUAAAAUCAUUUUAUAAUUUAUAAUCAUUUUCUAUAUAUUAUUGUUGCUUUUUUUCAUAUAUAUAUAUAUAUAUAAUCCUCACUAUGAAAUUCUGAAAGAGAGAACGGCGGCUAAAAGCAACAACAUUUUAGCUAGAUAAAUAAAGUUUAAUGACUUGAUAUGUUCUUAUAUUAUAAAAUAUUUCUUUGAUCUAUUUCUAUAUAUCUAAUUAAGUUAAUUUUAUUCUUUAAUAUAUAUUAAAUUUAUAAUUUAUCAUUCUUCUCAUGUAAACUCACUCCAAUUUGUCAUGUGUCUGUUACAUGCAAAACUAGAAGAUUAUAUUUAAAAUUUAACAUAUAUUUUAAAUAAAAUUGACUUAAAUAAAGAUAUAAUAGGUCAAUGAUAGAUAAAUAGCCCACUAUCGAAGGAUAUACUACGUUACUAAAAAAAAACCUGUUUAUCAAUUUGUGUGGUUGUCCACUAGGUUUUGUUCUCUCCAUUGAUAUUAAUUAUCAUCAGUAUCUGAAUGGCAUAGCAUAGGUUAAAAACUUAUUAUUAAUAUUUUAUGGAUGUACACAAGAAGAUAAUUAAUCCAUAAUAAUUUUUACGGUUUAACUGUCUAUAUAUUUUUAAAUUUUAUUAUUCGAUUAACAAAUUUAUUUAUACAUACCGCUUCCACGAGUUUUCUUGUCUCUUCCUUUCCUUUAAAGUCCCCGAAUUCCCAUCAUGGCUUAUUAGCUUUCUACUACUAUCAUUCUCUCUCUCACCCUUUCGCAAAAAUCGACAACUUCAUGACUCAGAAAUCUUGACCCCAUCUCCUAACAAUUCAUAGACAGGUAGGGUUCAGCAUUGCACCAUUCUUUUCAAGAACUGGUGGGAUGUCACAGAUUUCAAAUAGAUGGUAGGAAUGGACCUCUCGAUGAUAAGUAGGGCCCAAAUUGCCGCCCAAAGGCCAUUGUAGAUUCACGUUCAGAGAACAUCAGAUGCGAUGCUUAGCCGACAGUAGAGAAGAAUGAUUACUUCUGAAGAGAAUAUCAUUACAAAAUGAUCCCCGGCAAACAGUCAGGGAUGCCAGCACGGCCGGCUUACAUUGUUAAGCUUGUAACAAUCUAUAAUCAACUCGAAACUUAUAUUCUUAACCUGAGAUCUUGUGAAGAAUUUCCAAAGAUAAAAAGGAAUCAAUGAUCUUGCUCAGAAAUUAGUGGAGGCCAAGAAGGUUGUGGUUAGUAAUUUUACCUCGUGUGAAUAUAAUAUAAAUAAUUUAAUAUUGUUAGGAAGUUUAAAACCGGCUUCCAUGAAUCUUCUUGUCUUUUCUUUUCCUUUAAAAGUCUAUAUGGUUGUUCUCUUAAUGCAAUUCAUUGGAUUCUGCUUUCUACGGCCUUCUCUCUCACACCGUCCGCGAAGAUCCACCAUGGCUUCUGCUAUUGUCCUUUUUUUUUCUCUCCCGUCCUUUUGAUACUGUCGUCCUUCCGCAAAAAUCCACCAUGGCUCUGGGGUUGAGUAGAGGUUAAUUAUCUGUGCUGUCAUUGAGGUUUUGGUCGACAGGCUGUCCUCUCCUGAGGUUCUAGGCUUUUUCAAAAGACAAGCUCAAUCAAUGGAAAAGUUGAAGUUAAACAUUAAAUUAUUCUCCUUUUUUAUUUUUUUUCACAAGUAUUUAACCGUUCAAUUUGUAAGAACAUCAGUCUUUUUUAUAAGCCAACAAUUACACUUUUUAAAUUUGCUAUUAUAAUAAUUAUUUAUUUAUGUGAUAAUUUCACCAAUGUUUUUUUGGCCUUGUACCAAAUACCUUCUAAGAGUAAUACCAGAUGAAAUUUUUUAAAAUAUUUUUGAACCUCAUAGUUUCAUAUAUCUAUAUUUUAACCGUUAACUUCAUUUCUCACACGUUUCACUCUUUGACUAUUGAGUUUUGAUCCUUGCAAUUCUCAUAAAAGUACAUUUUGGUUCCUUAAGUUUUUAUUUUUAUUUUUGAUCCUUAUAAUUUCAGGUAUUUAUAUUUAAUUCUAAAAUUUUAUUUUCCUUACAUUUCAAUUCCUUUAUGUUGCGAUUAUAGAGAGAAAGUCGCUAGAAAAAAGAGAGGAAAGAGAAGUAUUUUGGUGAGUUGUAUUUCAAGAACAAAAAAUGUUGAUUUUGGAGAGUUGUAUUUUGAAUGAAACAGACCCAACCAAGGCCCCGAGUUACCCGGGUCCUGGGUUGACCCGUCAAGCGGGGCUGAGUUUGAUAACUAUGAUAACAACCAUGUCAGACCCAAGAUGUUAGGUAUAUCCUUGGAUCUAACGGCCAUAUCAGACCCAAUAGCCUUGGAUCUUACAUGACUACCAGACCUAGGGUCUGGUGAUUGGGUCUCGCAAUCAUGCCAGACCCCAACAUCUUGGACCUGGCUGCCAUGACUAAACUGAAAAAAAAAAAACAAAAUUUUGCAUAGUAACAAAUACAUAGUGAAAAUCCAACGUAUUUUAGUAUAUAAGUAAUAAAUUUAAUAAUUAACAUAUAAUGCAUGAUAAAAUUAGCAUUAAUUUUACCAGUGGCUACUGCAACAAUAAAGAAAAUAUUUUUAGCAUUCAAAUUGGUUAAAAAUCGAUUACAUGAUCAAAUUAGGGGUGAUUUGUUGAAUGAUUGUGUGGUUACUUAUAUCAAUAAAGAUAUAUUUAAAAGUGUUGAUAAUGAAAAGAUCCUACAAUGUUUUCACUAUAUGAAGUCUUGCAAUGAGCGAUUGUGAAUUUUAUAUAUAUAUAUAUAUGCAAUAUAUAUAUAUAUAUAUAUAUAUAUAUAUAUAUAUAGAAUUUUAUGAAAUAUCUUUUUAUAAUAUAUGUAAAUUUUUUAACUUUAUAUUAAAAAAUUAUAAUUUUUGGAUUUUUUAGAUCUUAAUUAAUUAAUGGAAAAGUUGAAGUUAAUUAUUAAAUUAUUCUCUCUUUUUUUCACAACUAUUUAACUAUUUAAUUUGUAAAUACAUCAGUCAUUUUAAAAAACCAACAUUUACACUUUUUAAAUUUGCUCUUAUAAUAAUAAUAAUUAUUUAUGUGAUAAUUUCAACCAUAUUUUUAAGCCUUAUACCAAAUACCUUCUAAGAGUAAUACCAAAUGAAGUUUUUUUUAACAAAACAUAUUUUUGAACCUAGUAGUUUUAUGUGUUUACAUUUUAACCGUAAACUUCAUUUCCCACUCGUUUCACUAUCUGAAUAUUGAGUUUUGGUCCUUGAAAUUCUCAUAAAAGUUCAUUUGGGUUCCUAAAAUUUUUUCUUUUAUCCUCGUAGUUUUAGCUAUUUAUUUAAUUCUAAAACUUUAUUUUCCUCACAUUUUAAUUCCUUGAUGUUACGAGUAUAAAGAGAAAGUCGUUAGAUAAAAAGAAAAGUAUUUUGGUGAGUUGUAUUUCAAGAACAAAAAAUACUGAUCUUAGUGUCCAUAAAUUUUUCUUUAAACACAUAACAAAAAAAAUUAAUAUUUUUUAAAAGUGGCCCUAAACAAAAUAAAAAAGAGGAGGUUUUAUCUAUUUUUUUGGUUUUUUAACCAGUCACAUUACUUUAUUUCUUUUCAAUUGCAUUCUUUAAAGCUAUAUUUUCAUGGCAACCAUAGCUAUCAAACCCAGCCUAGGAGUUAACCCGACUAAUGGGCUAAGUCCUGGUUUACACGAGUUGACUCGGGUCAACCAAGAAAAAUUUUAAAAAAAUAUUUGAGAUUUUAAUAUUUUAUAUGAAAAAAUAAGAAAUAAUCCAUAUGGAUAUAUGCUAUACAUGUUGUAAACAAUUAAAUUUAAAAGAUUAUUUCAAAAUGUUUUUUAUUCCACAUUGAAAAGAUACUAUCUUAUUCUUUUAAGUUAAAGUAUUUAAAUAAAAAAGGUUUUCUAUCCUACAUUGAAUAACCAUUAACUUUUUUAUUGUGAAUAUAGAAUAAAUAUAUAGACACAUACACACACUAAAAGACUUCAAAUUUUACAUUACAAAAAUAAAAUAUUUUUCUAAUAUUUAUAUACUGAACUUGAAAUGAGUUAGAAAAAAACUGAAAAUAUAUAAAAAAAAUCUCUAAAUAAAAGAAAAACACAUUUAAUAAAAACAGAAUCUCUAUCAAGUUUUUAUUGGGCCACCCGAGUUCCAGGUUUACCCAACAUGUUAACCAGUUUACUCCAGGCCACUUACACGUCCAAAUAUUGAAUGAAACAGACCACCAAGGCUUAUCAUUCUCUCUCACAUAAUCACUCUAUCACCCUUUCGCAAAAAUCCACCAAGGCUCCUGCUUUCCACUACUCCUUUUCUCUCACAUAUUCCGACCCUCACCCCUUCUGCAAAAAUCCACCAUGGCUCUGGAGUUGAUCGGAGGAUCAAUUCUCUCUGCUCUCGUUGAGGUACUGGUCGACAGGUUGGCCUCUCGUGAGGUUCUGGACUCCUUCAAAAGCCACAAACUCGAUGAUGGUCUUCUGGAAAAGCUGAAUGAAACACUGAAUACUGUCAACGGACUACUCGACGAUGCGGAGGAGAAGCAGAUUACAAAGCGUGCUGUGAAGAACUGGCUUAAUGAUGUUAAACACGCUGUGUAUGAAGCUGAGGACAUAUUGGAUGAGAUUAAUUAUGAAUAUCUACGAUCCAAGGACAUUGAUACCCCUCGACCUGACAGCAAUUGGGUAAGCAUAAGUUCUUGCACCUAUAGACCUUGCUUCCUCAUAAAAUGUUUUUUUUUUUUUUUUAACUUUCAUGUAUGCUCUCAAGUCUGUAAACGAGGAAAAAAUAAUUUUAGGGAUGGUUGUUGUCUUUCUGUGAGUUUUAAUUAAAGAGUAUUCAUUGUUAUGCAUGCAACUAAUAUCAUUGGCUUUUGGUGUCUAUGGCGUAAUUAUGCUUGCAAAUUCUCAUUUAUUAAUUAGUUUUCUAGACAUUUAAUCACUAUCUUUUUAAAACUUGAAUUUUACUGCGUGCAUUAAGUUAGCAUCAACAAUUGUAAAUUCUUGAAAAAGAUCUGUAGAAAGAAAACUUAUUAAUUCUCUAGAUGUAAAAAUCUUAAUGUUUAUGUUUUGAUAUUAAAAAAUUAUAAUGUUAUCCUGAAUUCUAUCUCAUAUAUUUAGUCCACCAUUGCAGGCAAGGAAUCUGGUUCCAUUUCUAAAUCCAGCUAAUAGAAGGAUGAAAGAGAUUGGAGCAGAGUUACAAAAGAUCUAUGAGAAGCUUGAACGUUUACUUAAACACAAGGGUGAUCUGCGCCACAUAGAAGGUACUGGUGGAUGGAGACCAUUGUCAGAGAAAACAACUCCACUGGUUAAUGAACCUGAUGUAUAUGGAAGGGACGCUGAUAAGGAAGCCAUAAUGGAGCACUUGCUGACACAACACAAGACAGAUGGCCCAAAUUUAGUUGUGGUUCCUAUUGUGGGCAUGGGCGGGAUUGGUAAAACCACUCUUGCUCAGCUUAUCUACAACGACGAAAAGGUAGAUCAGUUCUUCCAACUCAAGGCCUGGGUCUGGGCUUCUCAACAAUUUGACGUCACCAGGAUUAUUGAGGAUAUUAUUAAGAAGAUCAAAGCAAGGACUUGCCCCACCAAAGAACCAGAUGAAUCCAAAGAACCAAAUGAAUCUCUAAUGGAGGCAGUGAAAGGGAAAAAACUUCUACUUGUUCUAGAUGACGCGUGGAACAUCGAGUACAAUGAAUGGGAUAAAUUACUGCUACCUUUGCGGUAUGUGGAGCACGGAAGUAAGAUUGUCGUGACAACACGGGAAGAAGAUGUAGCAAAAGUCACGCAGACUGUCAUCCCCUCUCACCGCUUGAAUGUAAUAAGCGAUGAAGAUUGCUGGAAGUUGUUUGCAAGGGAUGCAUUUAGUGGUGUAAAUUCUGGAGCAGUCUCACACUUGGAAGAAUUUGGCAGAGUAAUAGUGAGAAAGUGCAAAGGUUUACCGCUGGCAGCGAAAACUCUUGGGGGUCUUUUGCACUCCGUAGGAGAUGUCAAGCAAUGGGAGAAGAUAUCCAAUAGCAGUAUGUGGGGUUCGUCGAAUGAAAACAUCCCUCCAGCUCUAACAUUGAGCUAUUAUUAUCUCCCUUCACACCUGAAACGUUGUUUUGCUUAUUGUGCAAUAUUUCCCAAGGAUUAUGUAUUCAAGAAGGAUAGAUUAAUCACUGAAUGGAUGGCACAUGGUUUUCUAGUCCAGCCCAGAGGCGUUGAGGAGAUGGAAGAUAUAGGUGAAAAAUACUUUAAUGAUCUUGUCUCCAGGUCACUUUUCCAGCAAUCCACUGGUGAUUCUUUUUUCAGCAUGCAUGACCUCAUAAGUGAUUUAGCUGAAUACGUGUCAGGAGAAUUUUGCUUCAAGCUUGGUAUUAAUGAAUCGGGCUCUGGGUUGGAGAGUGAACAUUCAUGCUCGCUUCCAGAAAGGACUCGUUAUUUAUCAAUCACUUCAGCGGCAGCAUAUGGCGGAGGACUUCGGAUUUUUCGUAGCAUUCAUGGAGUCCAACAUUUGCGCGCCUUGUUUCCACUGAAGUUUUUUGUGGAAGUUGAUAUUGAGGCACUGAAUGACAUUUUGCCAAAUCUUAAGCGCUUGCGAAUGCUAUCUUUAUGUCAUCCAAAAGAUAUUUCUUCUCAGUUGCUCAAUUCCAUUGGCAACUUAAAACAUUUGCGGCACUUGGACCUUUCUCAGACAGUAUUUAAACGGUUGCCCGAAAGUGUGUGCACCUUGUACUAUUUGCAAAGCUUAUUGUUAAAGGAGUGCCGACUUCUCAUGGAGUUGCCAUCCAACCUUUCCAACUUGGUCGACUUACAACAUCUUGAUAUUGAAGGGACAAAUUUGAAAGAGAUGCCACCAAAAAUGGGGAAACUCACGAAGCUUCGAAUUUUGGAAUCUUACAUCGUGGGAAAAGAUAGCGGGUCUAGCAUGAAAGAGUUGGGGAAGCUCUCACACAUAAGGAAAAAACUUUCUAUUCGGAAUCUCAGAGAUGUUGCAAAUGCUCAAGAUGCUUUGGAUGCCAAUUUGAAGGGUAAGAAGAAGAUUGAGGAGUUGGGGUUGACGUGGGAUGGCAGUACGGAUGACACACCACACGAGAGAGAUGUACUUGAGAAAUUGGAGCCUUCUGAAGAUGUGAAAGAGCUUGCCAUUAUUGGUUACGGGGGUACAACGUUUCCAGGCUGGCUUGGAAACUCUUCUUUCUCAAAUAUGGUAACGUUGCUUCUUUCUGGAUGUACGAACUGCAUCCUCUUACCACCAUUGGGGCAGCUGCCAUCUCUAGAAGAGCUCGAAAUUGAAGGAUUUGAUGAAGUCGUGGCAGUUGGUUCUGAGUUCUAUGGAAGUGACCCUCCAAUGGAGAAGCCAUUUAAAUCCCUCAUAACAUUAAAGUUUGAGGGGAUGAAGAAAUGGCAGGAAUGGAAUACAGAUGUAGCUGGUGCUUUCCCUCAUCUUGAAAAUCUCUUGAUAGCAGGUUGUCCAGAGUUAACAAAUGGCUUGCCUAAUCACCUUCCUUCUUUAUUGAUACUUGAGAUUCGAGCGUGUCCGCAGCUUGUGGUUUCAAUUCCAGAGGCUCCCCUGCUCAGAGAAAUCAAUGUAUCUGAGGGAGAUGAAAGUCGUAUAACUGGUCGUACGUCGUCCUAUUAUUGCUACUACUUACCAGAUCAACCACCCAAGUGCCUUCAUUUUAGACGAGAUCCCCAGCUAACGGGAAUGGAGCAAAUGAGUCAUUUGGAUCCCCGUCUUUUCACUGAUAUCAAAAUCGAGGAAUGUAGUUCAUUUAAGUGCUGCCAGCUAGACCUUUUACCCCAGGUCACCACACUUACCAUUGAACAUUGUCUCAAUCUGGAAUCCCUAUGUAUAGGCGAGAGACCUGUCCCUGCUCUCUGUCGUCUGACAAUCAGUCACUGUCCUAAUUUGGUGUCUUUCCCCAAAGGAGGACUAGCUGCCCCGGAUUUGACAAGCCUUGUGUUAGAGGGUUGCUUAUAUUUGAAGUCGUUGCCGGAAAACAUGCGUUCCCUCCUACCUUCCCUACAGGAUUUGCAAUUGAUCUCACUUCCAGAAGUUGAUUCGUUUCCUGAAGGAGGUUUACCCUCCAAUUUAAACACACUUUGCAUUGAAGAUUGUAUCAAACUCAAGGUAUGUGGUUUGCAAGCACUCUCUUCUCUUUCAUACUUCGAAUUUAGUGGGAACGAUGUGGAGUCUUUUGACGAGGAGACGUUGCCCUCUACUCUCACAACCCUUAAAAUCAAACGUCUGGGAAACCUGAAGUCUCUGGACUAUAAGGGGCUUCAUCACCUCACCUCUCUUCAGGGAUUGGGUAUCGAGGGUUGCCCUAAGCUUGAGUCCAUAUCAGAGCAGGCGCUUCCCUCCUCCCUUGAAUACCUUUAUCUCAGAAAUCUAGAAUCUCUGGACUACGUGGGGCUUCAUCACCUCACCUCUCUUGACACAUUGAAGAUCAAGAGUUGCCCUAAACUUGAGUUCGUAUCAGAACAGGUGCUGCCCUCCUCCCUUGAAUACCAGGGGCUUCAUCACCUCACCUCUCUUAGAAAUUUGAGUAUCGAGAGUUACCCUAAACUUGAGCACAUAUCAGAACAGGGGCUGCCCUCCUCCCUUGAAUGCCUUCAUCUCUGUAAACUGGAAUCUUUGGACUACAUUGGGCUUCAGCACCUCACCUCUCUUCACAAAAUGAAGAUCGGGAGUUGUCCUAAACUUGAAUCGUUGCAGGGGCUGCCUUCCUCCCUUGAAUUCCUUCAGUUAUGGGAUCAGCAAGACCGGGACUAUAAGGAACUUCGGCACCUCACCUCUCUUCGCAAAAUGAAUAUAAGAAGGAGCCUUAAGCUUGAGUACCUUCAAGAAGGCACACUUCCCUCCUCCCUUAAAGACCUUGAAAUCCAGGAUUUGGAAGAUCUGGAUUAUAAGGGGUUUCGGCACCUCAGCUCUCUUCGUAAAUUACAUAUCUGUAAUUCUCCUAAGCUCGAGUUCGUGCCAGGAGAGGAGCUGCCCUCCUCCCUUGUAUCUCUUAAAAUAUCAGGUCUGAUAAAUCUGAAAUCUGUAAUGAGGCUUCAGCACCUCACCUCUCUUCGCAAAUUGAUUAUCCGGGAUUGUCCUAAGCUUGAGUACUUGCCAACAGAAGAGCUGUCCUUACCCCUAGUUCCUGAUAUUAGUGGUUGUCCUUUUGUAGAACCGAGUUGUUGCAUUAGUUAGACCAUGUAUCUUACCCGCGCUCCGCGGCCGAGCGAUUAGUUAUAUAAUUAAAUUUAAUAAAUAGGUUUUACAAUACAUUUUUAAUAUAAAAUAUUUUUCAAUAAUAAAUAGAAAUAUCUUUACAUACAUUAGUAAUUAGAUCAAUAUUUCAUAAAAAAAUAAUUAAAAUUGAGAUAUUUAAUCUUAUAAUAUGAAUCAUGCAUUUAGUUGUGUUUAACAAUUAUAUUUCCUAGAUUUUUUUUUUUAAAAAAUACAUGGGUCAAACUAUAUAAAUAUAAUAACCUUGUGACAUGAUUGAGAUAAUUUUAUAGAAAAAAAAGUAAAAAAAAAAGAAGCACAAAUACCAAUUCCAAAAAAAAUUACAUGUUGAAGGAUGAAAUUAAAAUAACACAAGAAUACUUGAUUUCACAUCAGGUUCAUGCAUUCAGCUAUGUUUAAUAACUUUGUUUUUUAGAAUAUUUUUUUAUUUAAUCAAACAAUUAUCUAUGCAAAUAAAAGGUAAAAAAAAUCACAAAUGAAAGCAAAUAAAAUCAAAUCAUGAAGCUUAAUUAUAAAACAACUCAAUGUUGAAUGAUGAAUUUUUUAAAAAAAUAAUUAAGAAAAACAAAAAAAAUAUGAGUCAACCCUCGUUAAUCCGCUAACAUUGCGACCAUUGGCAUAUGAUUGGAAUAAACCCAUAGAGAUGAAAGUGAAAGAAAAUAAAUACAAAGACCAACUCUCAGAAAAAUUAAAUGUUGAAGGAUGAAAUUAAAAAAAAAAUACUAGAGUCAAAUCAUGUUAAUAUUUGAAACUUGUAAUUGUGAUCAUGAGACCAAGACUACUCAUGUAUGAGUCAAACCCAAAAAAACAACAAAACAAAUUUCUCAAUAAAAAAAUAUCGAGGCAUGAAACUUUCAAUAAAAAAAAAACAUGAAAACAAUAUGAAUCAACCAGGGUUAACUCGCUAACCCCGUGACCAUGGAAACAGAUCGGGAUAACCUUAUUGAAAGUAAAGUGACAGAGAAAAGCACAAAGAACAACUAUAUAAAAAAUAAACGUUGAAGGGUGAAAUUAAAAAAAAAAGAUCAUUAACCUUUAAAACUCAUGAUCAUGAUGUUGGGACUAACCAUAUAAAAAACAACAUAACAAAAUUCUCUGUAUAAAAAAGUUGAGGCAAGAAACUUAGUAAAAAAAGCAACAUAAAAUAUCUGAGUCAACUAUGUAACCACGAGUAUAUAAUUUAAAUAAUCUUAUAGAAAGGAAAGAAAAAACAAAACAUGAAAACCAAUUUCAUAAAAAUUAAAUAUUGAAGAAUAAAAUUGAAAAAAAUAAAUUUCUAUCAUUAAGAAACCAAAAUCAACCCGUGCAAACCUUUAAAAGCCAUGUCAAAAAAAAAAGCUAAGUGAUGAAAUCUUUAAAAAAAACCAAUAAAAAAAAUUCAAAACAUAAUAAAUAUAAGUAAAAAAAAAUAGAGAUCAAAUUCGAUACUAAAAAUUAAAAAUCAAAUAAAGAGGAAUAAAAUCGAAACAAUAUCUAAUUAGUUGAAGGAUUUAAAAAUAUCAAAAGAAAUAGUGCUAAGUUUUAUAUAAAAAUAAAAUAAAAUAAAAUGAUUAGAGAUAAAUAGCAAUGAAUACUAUUUUUAUAAAAUAAAAAUUAAAAAAACUGUAGAAAAACACAAUAAAAAUAUAAAAACUAUAUGUAAUAUAAGUGUUAACCGCACGUAUCAAACAUUGGUUCCAAACAAAACUAGAAAAUAAAAAAACUAGACACCUGCAUCAUCACGUCCAAACCUGCCUAAAAGGCAGAAAAAACUGCACAUGCAUUUGCAAUACCAUGCCACAACCAAAUCAAUCUUACCAAAAACAUCCUUUAUUCAUCAUUAAAGGUCCUCUUGUGAACAAAACAUAAAAACAUAGUGAAAACAAAAAGAUUGGUUUCAAUGGCAAAUGCAUAAGCAAAAAAUAUUCAAAUCAAUGUAGAAAUCAUAAAGAGAGCAACGGAAGGACAAAAAUCGAUCAAAAAACCCUCACUGACAGAAGAAACAACACACUUUCACCUCAUGUGUUCUCCAUCGGUUUGUUUAAGAAAAAAAAGACGAGCUGCAGCAUCACCACCUCCAUCCUCUCUCAUAAGCUUCUUCUUCUCCAAUGUGCAUACCUUUUUGGUUCACACAUGUUCUAUGCCUCCUCUCCCUCUUCUAAAUCAUGACUACAAGUGAAGAAAACAACUCUAAUCCCACCCAAAAACAAUGUUCUAAUACCAAAUUUGAUAUGAGACAAAAGAGAUUUAAAGUUAAAGAAGAGAAAAAAAAAGUCAAAGAAAGAGAAAAAAAACUGAUAAAGACUAAAACCCUGAUUAUAACAUAUAAUUAAACUUAUAGCCCACUAAAUAAAAUAGUAAAAACAAUAAUUAAAUCAAAUCCAAAAAAUAAUGUAUGAUUAAUAAAUUUCAACUAAAAAAUUAAAUAAAUUAAACUAAAAUAUAAGUUGAAGCUCCAUCUCUUAAUGAUUUGAGCUACCCUCCAUCAUUUAUAAUCAUACAAAUACGUAAAUAGUGUUCUUUCGAGUCCGUCCCUACCACUUAUAUAUAUAUAUAUAUACAGAGAAUUUAAGUCUAGUAUUUGAACGGUUCAUAAACCUCGAUCCAUCAUGCGAUUUCUCAAGAUGACGUUGUUAUAAUUUCAAAAAACUAUUUACAGAAGAUUUAUCUUCAAGGACAAGAGUUGAAUCCUUAAUAUUUUACUUGUCAUAACUUAAUUUUGGCCCUUUGGUUUUUAAUUUAAUUUUUACAGGGUUUAAAAUGAAAAUUUAAAAGAUCAGAGAUUUAUUUCGAUGAAAAGUGUGAUUUGUCAAACUUCCGUGAAAAUUAAGGAUUACAAUGUGUUUUUGUCAUUCUAUCUUUAUCUUCAAGAUAAUCCCUAUCUUCAAGAUAAUCUUUAUCUUCGAGAUAAUCCUUGUUUUUAAGAUAAUGAUAGUUAUCCGAUUUCAAAUUUGAUUCUUAAUCAAAUUCAAACUUCAAAGAAGAGAAUGAGUUUGAUUGAAACUUGGUUUCUCACACGCGAAAGGACUCUGACACUAUAAAUACAGAUUUCAGGGUAUGAAAAAAAGAAGAGAGGAUGAUUAGGGAGAGACCCUAAAGAAACAGGGAAAAAACCCAGGAAAAGGCCAUUGUAAAAGAGAUUUAAAGUUAAAGAAGAGAAAAAAAAAUCAAAGAAAGAGAAAAAAAACUGAUAAAGACUAAAACCCUGAUUAUAACAUAUAAUUAAACUUAUAGCCCACUAAAUAAAAUAGUAAAAACAAUAAUUAAAUCAAAUCCAAAAAAUAAUGUAUGAUUAAUAAAUUUCAACUAAAAAAUUAAAUAAAUUAAACUAAAAUAUAAGUUGAAGCUCAAUCUCUUAAUGAUUUGAGUUACCCUCUAUCAUUUAUAAUCAUACAAAUACGUAAAUAGUGUUCUUUCGAGUCCAUCCCUACCACUUAUAUAUAUAUAUAUACAGAGAAUUUAAGUCUAGUAUUUGAACGGUUCAUAAACCUCGAUCCAUCAUGCGAUUUCUCAAGAUGACGUUGUUAUAAUUUCAAAAAACUAUUUACAGAAGAUUUAUCUUCAAGGACAAGAGUUGAAUCCUUAAUAUUUUAAUUUUCAUAACUCAAUUUUGGCCCUUUGGUUUUUAAUUUAAUUUUUACAGGGUUUAAAAUGAAAAUUUAAAAGAUCAGAGAUUUAUUUCGAUGAAAAGUGUGAUUUGUCAAACUUCCGUGAAAAUUAAGGAUUACAAUGUGUUUUUGUCAUUCUAUCUUUAUCUUCAAGAUAAUCCCUAUCUUCAAGAUAAUCUUUAUCUUCGAGAUAAUCCUUGUUUUUAAGAUAAUGAUCGUUAUCCGAUUUCAAAUUUGAUUCUUAAUCAAAUUCAAACUUCAAAGAAGAGAAUGAGUUUGAUUGAAACUUGAUUUCUCACACGCGAAAGGACUCUGACACUAUAAAUACAGAUUUCAGGGUAUGAAAAAAAGAAGAGAGGAUGAUUAGGGAGAGACCCUAAAGAAACAGGGAAAAAACCCAGGAAAAGGCCAUUGUAGAAACCCUAUAAAAAAAAAUAAAAAAAACAUUUAUAAAAAAAAAAAGAGCGCGGCCGAAUCCUUAACUAGCCGCCGCACCCUCCCCCCAGCUUUUUCCUCUCUUCUUCCCUGGUCCCAAACCAGCUAUUAAACGCUCCUAUUCAUUGAUUUUCUUUCCGCCAAUCUCAACGCCAAGGAGCUGCAACUCCUCAUAAAAAUAAAAAUAAAAAGUCUUUCUCCCUCCCAGUCACCGACCUUCAGCCUCUCUUCCCCGCUCUCACUCUCCCCGUUAACCACCAUCCUUCAUCUCAGCCUCCUCACCGAGAACACAAGCCUCCACCCAUCAAUCCUCAGCCACAGGGAAACCGAAGGAAACCAUACACAGACAGCCCUUUCACUUCCUUUUUCUGCGACCGAUCGAUCCCUCAAACUGACCACACACGGUCUUCUUCCCCCAUCCGCAAUAUUUCUCUUUCUUCCCUAGCCGACUACCAUGAGCAACGGAGAAGCAGCACCCGAAGACCCAAUGGUUCCAGCCACAGGCAGCUGCAAAAACAGAGAAGAGUUUUCCUCAGAACUCAGCUGCAGCAGCAAAAGUCGUGUGGUGUAGUUUUUUUUCCUUCCUCCAGCGGUGCAGUUUCUUCAUGCACAAGAACCGUGAGGCUCCAGCAUGGCAGCCAUGGACUGUCUAGCCUCCAUUGAAGUAACGCUUAGAAGCACUCUUCUCGCCAGCCUUUGCACCAGCAGUGAACAUCAGCAGUUUUUUAGCUCCAACAGCCACUCCUCUCUCCCCACCGUGCUCUUCCUGCCAGCGUCCACUAGUUCCUCGAUCGGGAGAAGAUCCUGCUCCACCGGGGUCAGCUUCCUCUUUUCUCUUCCGGCCGUGGCUCUAGCCAUCGCUAGUGUCAGUGAGUCGCUUCCCCUCCUGUAUUACAAUUCACGUUAGUAGCUGUGAAUUAUAGUUCACUUGCUACUGUAGCAACUGAACUAUAAUUCACUUGCCUCAACCGGGUCACUGGCUUAGGCCAGUGACCAGACCGGGGAGGUUGGGUCUACACAGCCAUGCAGGCUGGGUCAGACCCACCCAAAAUAAAUAAAUAAAAAAACAUAAUAAAAAAAUAGUUUUUUUUAUUCAGAUUUUUGUGGGUUUAUUCACUGGCGUCAGAGUCAGGAAUUAUACCGUAUUUUGUGGAUUGCACAAUAUUUAUCAACGCCAGAGUUGGAAAUAUUCAUAGUUCACUGGCGCCAGAGUCAGGGAUUAUACCGUAUUUUGUGGAUUGCACAAUAUUUACCAACUCCAGAGUUGGAAAUAUUCAUAGUUCACUGGCGUCAGAGUCAGAAAUUAUACCGUAUUUUGUGGAUUGCACAAUAUUUACCAACGCCAGAGUUGGAAAUAUUCAUAGGUAAAUAUUCAAUGAUGUCAGAGUUGGGGAUAUUAUAGGAUGACCAUAAGAACAGAACACAAACAAACCUUUAGCAAUUUUAGACAAAAUCAGCAAUGCAGCCUGCCUCAGGCAGGACGCUUAAGGGGUGAUAGCAUCUUCCCUUUCGCGUAACCAAUCCCGGAUCAUAAAAUCUCUAUUGACCAGUUAGGGUUCCUAGUGACCAUAAUACUAGGUGGUGACUCCUUAAACAAGACCUUUCCCCCUAAAAGAACAAGAUGUCAGAUAUCUGUUCUUAUUCCAUUUGUGAUUAAUUUUUAAUCAGUCGUCGCGAUGUCCGGGUGUGACAUUACUGUCAGUUCUAUUUAUGUGCUUGAUAAAGUUAAUUAAUUUAGUUAUAUAAUUAUCUUUAUCCUAUAUAUUUAUUAGUUUGUAUACAUGAAGUAUAUCUUAAUCACGUCACAUUAAAUCAAACGUUAGCAUUUAUAUGCCAACAUUAAUAGUGAUAAAGUUAAUUAAUUCGAAGCUUUUACAUACAAAAUAUACUUUGAAAAUCACUUUAUAAAUCUCAUAAUGGUAAUAUCACAUUAAUAGUGAAAGAUCUACGUACUCAACCAUGCAUGAUGUCAAAAGUUUUCCUUGACGAACAUGCCACGUCACUUUUUCAUUUACUUAGCUAAUCUAUUUCCAUAAGAAGCAAAAGAUUCUGUAUAAAAUUUUUCUAUAAAUACAUUUUGUAUUUUAAUUUUUUGUUUUAAAAGUGUUUUUAAAAGAAAUUAAAAUUUUUUAAUUUUUUUAAAAGAACUUUUUAUAUUUUUAUAUUGUUGAAUAUGCUGAUUUUAAAAAUAAAUUCUAAAAAUUAAAAAAUAUAUUAUUUAAAUAUAUUUUGAAAAAACAACUGUAUUUUUGCAGGAAAAACACCUAUAAAUUAACAUUUUUAGCCCGUGACGGUGACAUGCAGUUCUACCCAUGACGGUGGCGGGGAGUCCUGCCAAUUGUACAUGUCGGAUCCUUCUUGCCCGUGACGGUGACGGGCAAUCUCGCCGGUCAUUUCAGUAUGGCCCCAGGUGAAAACAUUUGGCUUUUUUUAAUUACAGAAAAUUUAACCAUGUAUAUAUUUAUUUAUAUUUGCGUUCAUGUGCUAAAUUCUUGAAGAACUCAAUGGAUGCUGAAAUUAAAGAUUCUUGGCGUUACAAAUUUUCACUUGAAAGUGCAAAACUAUAAAAUCCUCCAUUGCUUUUGAAUUACAAAUCGUAACCAAUAUUUUCCAAAACCAAACCUCAAUUAAAAAAUUAAAAUGAAAUGAGUUUAUUUUUUUAAAAAAGUAUUUUUUAUUUAAAAAUAUAUCAAAAUUUAUUUUUAAAAUUUUUAUUUUAUUUUUAAUAUCAACACAUUAAAACAAUAAAAAAAUACUAAAAAAAAAUAUUAAUUUAAUACUUUUCAAGUUAAAUAUAAUUUUAAAAUAUACCCAAAUACAAUUUCAACCACAAUAUCCAACCGUCACAAACCCCUUAACUUAACCUAGAAAUUUUUUAGCAGUUAAUUAUUCUAAAAUAAUAUAUAUUAACUGAUUGAUCCUCACACUAAUAUGAAAUAUGAAUAUCUAUUGCUUUGGGCCACUCAUUUUAAAAAACAAAUAGCAAGCAGGGGUAGCAGUUUGAGAAUAGUAGGGAAGGAGGUUCUCUUUUGUAUCGGUUGAAAGUAGUGUAUAAUGAUUAUUUUUUAAUUUUUUUUUUUAAAAUAUUUUAAAAUAAUAUUUUUUUAUUUUUUAAAAUUUAUUUUUAAUAUUAAUAUUUCAAAAAAAACUGAAAACAUAAAAAAAUUAGUUUAAAGUAAAAAAAUAAAAAAAUAAUUUAUUUUAAAAAUAUAAAAAACUAGCUUUUAAUAAUUAAAAUUAGUGUUGUGCCCGCGUGAUAUGCUGCGGGAUGAAUUAAAAUGUUAUUUUCAAUGCUAAAAGGGAUGUAGUCGUCAAUAACAUAUUUUCACCCAUUUAUCAUUUGACAUGUAUUCUUAGGUAGCAUAGAUUUAAAAUUAAAUAUUUUUAAUUGAAGGAAAGUUUUUUCAUUAAAGAUUCUGAUAAGCUGAUGUACAAGAAAUAAAUAUUUCAGAGAAGAAAAAUGUCAAAAUAUUAUGAUUUAUUAUUUAUUUAAUUAUAUAAUAAAAAAAAUAAACAUGUGCAUGAGAGAUAAAUAAUAAAAUAAGAAAAACAUGAAGAACUACAUAAAAGAAGAGCUUGUUUAUGUUAUAAAUAAAUGCCACAAUCUUAAUAAAAAUAGAGUAAAAACCAAACAUUAUAUGAAAAAAUAAUAUCCUGAAUAUGUUUUUAGUAGUUUAAUUCUAAGGAAUUUAAAUUUAAAUUGAGGGAAAAAAAACUUCUUAACAAAAUAAAACUUAUGAUGUUAGUUGUUACACCAACAUUAAACAUGCUCGAAAACAACUUCUUUUUCAAAGCAUGCAAUUAUAUGGAACCAAAUUAAUUUAUAAUUUUUUUAUUUAAAAAAAAUAAUUAAAAAUUUGUAUUAAUAUACUGAUAUCAAAAAUAAUUUUUUUUUUAAAAAAAAUAUUUUAAUAUAUUUCUUACUAAAAAAUACUUUAAACUAUUAUCGCUAUUAUAAUUCCAAACAGUUAAUCAAGCUGAUUGUUAUAUUACUCCUCAUGGAACCAAAUCAAUCCAUAACUUACGAGAUUUAUUGCAACUCUUGCUUACUUUUGUAUUCCAUAACCUAUGCUUGCUUUCAAAUGUGUGUGUGUGUGUGUGUGUGUGUGUCAAAGGCUCUCCCUGUGAUUUUCAACUUUCCUUUCACUCUUAAUUUACAAACAUGUUUGUCGUUCAGAGUAAGUAUCUCAGCUCACUAUUUUCGAGUUCUGGUUCUGCAUAACAGAGGAGCAUGAGAUUCUUAACGCCAGCGUCCAACGUUAACCGAGCAUAGAUAAUUGGGUUUCCGGGACAAAUGAAACGACAAGUCGACGUCAAAAAAUUGUGCUAAUAAAUUUUGCUCUUCUUUUUUAAAUCCUUUUCCUUCAGAAGAUUUGAGGAACGACUUGGUAGAGUGAUGCUUGGAGGAGCAAUAUAAUUCUUUUUUAAAUCCUUCUCCGUCAUAGAUCUAAGACAUGGAGAAAUUAAAAUUAAUACUUGAAUCCAAGGUUGUUAAAAAUGUUUUUUUAACACCAUACGAAAUAUAUAAUAUAAACUCGGAUGGUAAAAUUAUAAAUAAAAUAUUUUAACUAAUUAUAUAUUAACAAUUCCAAUCAAGUAGUAAAUAAUAAUAUAACACAAUUAAAAUAAAAGUGAAAUAAACAAUACAAAUAUUCAAACAUCUUAAAAUACAUGAUUCAAAUAAAAAUUCAUACAUGGUUUAAAUAACUUAACAAUACAAUAUAACACAAUUAUGUCCAUAGAAUUUCAUUAACAAACCUAAAACAAACAAUUUGUUGGUGUGUCUUGUAACUAAACACAACCUCAUUACCUUUAUUUUCCUCAUGAUUCCUAAAAUAUUCAUUAAAAUAAUUACUAUCUAAAAAAUUAUUAUUACUACUACUAAUAUCAGCAUCGAUAUUGUGAACAUUAAUGCUACUACUACUAAUAUAAAAAAUUGAUGAUGAUCUAUCUCUUCUUUUAUUUUCUAUAAAACACUUAUUUAUAUUUAAAUUCAACUUGAUUUUACCGGUCAAUCCAAUAACUUAUUUAUUCAUAUCAUAAUUUAUAUCAAGUCUUAUAUUAAAUUAGAUGAGAGUUAAUUAUAUAUUAGCCAAAAUAAAUAAAAAAUUUAGGAUACCGAAUGUUGAAAUGACAUUUAAAGAAUUAAAUUAAAUCAUCAUAAUUAAUAAUUAUUUUUUUAAAAUAAAACUAUAUAAAUUGAAGGCGAAGUGGCCUUGGUAUAAAAGGAAAGCAAAACAUAAGGCCUCACUGUUUUCAGCCUUUUUCUUACCAAAAUAUCCUCUUCUUCAUUUCCUUUCUCUAACCCCUCUCUCUCUCCCUCCCUCUCUCUCUCUCUCUCAUUUGGGAUCCAAAUAAUAAGAAUUGGCUCCUCCCAGAAGGCGAAUGGUACAACGGGAAAACCCUGCGUAGCAAAGCCAAGCUUGGAAAAACCACCUAAAGCUAAGACUGCUUUUUGGGUGUUGCUCUUGAGAGAGAGAUUAACAUAGUGUGGAAGACUGGAAGUUGUGGUGUUGCUACGGCAAAAGAGGAAGGGGAAAGGGGAGCAGGGACUCGGGAGGGACUCAAGGAGAAUACAGUACACUGUAUUUUGUAAAUUGUAACUUUUGUUAAACUCGUAAACUCGUUCUGAGUUGACCGAGUUAAUCGAGUUUAACCGAGUUUGACCGAGUUAGCUCAUUUUCAAGUUUUGAAUCCAAUUCUACAUGUUAUAUAUGAGUUGACUCGUAAAAUCAUACGAUUUUAUGAGUCAACUCGCGAGUUUAAUAACAUUGCAUGGGUCCUUGAGGUCAAGUUUCCCAGCUGUCUCCCUUGAUUGGUGUUGCAAGGGGCGGAGCUAGAAUUAUUUAUUAGAAGGGUUAAAAUUAAUAUAAUAAAAUAUAAUAUUUAUUUUAAUUUAUUGUACAUGAGUUGUAAAACAAAAUCUGUAUAAUUUAGUUUUAUUCAAAUAACUUACUACAAACAUAUAAUGACCUUAUUAUAAUGUAAAAGGUUUGGAGCAAUACCAAAUUGAGUCAAAGUAAUGAAGUUAAUUUCAUCUUCAAUAUAUCCAUCACUUUAAUGUUGUUAGUCUUUAUAUCUAUCAAAUAUAAACAUACAAAGUAUAUAAGAAACAUUAGCUAAAGCGAAGCAUUAUUUAUGUUUGAUAAACUUUGAAAUAAAAUAAAAAAUAAUAAAGAAUAAUUCUUAUAUAUUUAUUUUAAUUGUGCUUGUCGUUCUUUCAUAAAAUAGAAAUCAUCGAUUAUCAUAUCAAUUGUGAAUCUUUCAACAAUUGCUUUUUCUAUAUAGACAAUCAAAUAGUUUACAAGAAAAUCAUCCUCCAUCCGAUUGUGAAAUCUUGUUUUAACAAUCUUUAUCGCUGAAAAAGCUCAUUUAGUAGUUGUUGUCGAAACAUGAAGAGUCAAAAUAAGUCGAAUCAACCUGUCAACUAGCGGAUAAAUUGUUGAUUUUUCUGUUUCAACCAAUCUUCGACAUAAAUCAACAAUCAAUGACAUGUUCUUUAACUUUGGAUGAUUGGGUACAUGAUUGGAUGACAUGUUCUAAAAUCAAAACUUAUAUCAUGAGAAAAAAUUGAUAAUUUUGAUGGCUUUGCUUAAAACAAAACAUAAAAAAAAUCUAAGUAUAAUCAAAACAAAACAAUAAAAUAUAUCUAAUUAAUUAGAAAAAAAUCACCAUAACAAGAAUUCAAAAAACAAUUGGUAGAACUGGCAGAUUUGAGGAAAAAAAUUAGCAAAAAUGGUAGAAUUAUAUAAAAAAACCUCAUCAAAUUAUUAACAAACAUCUCAAAAUAAAACAAAAAUAGAUUUUAAAUUUAGGUUACCUUAUUUUAUUUGAUGAAAGAUAAAUUAAUUGGUAACUCUGCUUCAAUUUUUUUGUAGAAAAAUUUUACUCAUAAUUUGUGUUUUUAUCGGCUGCAAGAUUUAUAUUAGGGCUACACAAGAUAAUGACUUUAUAUUUUUUUUAAGAGUAAAUAAAAAAUCAAAAGUAAAGUUACAUUUAAUUACUGGUAAUAAGAACACCUGUUUAAAAUAAAAAAAUUCUAUUAAUUAAAUUUUGUAAAAAUAAAGUAAAAUUAUUAUAAAUAACUUGGAAAAUAAUUUAUGUGUGUAUCUUGUUCAAUGAAAGGAACCAUACAUGAAAUGCAACCACCUAGAAGACAGAACAAGCACAAAAAUAAAAUUUAAAAGGAAAACCUGUUUGGCAAGAUUACAAGCACGAUCUAUCUUGGGGGCCCCGGGCCCUGCUCCCCCCUGCCUGCACUGCUGCCUCUACAAAUUCCCGUGGGCUUCCUAUUAAUUAGAUCGAUCUAUUGAAGAACUCCACUCUCCUGUCAUUGCUCGUGACGUAGACCUCUGACGAAAGGUUGAAUGAAGACAAAAAAUGAGCUAGAAAUGCGUGGAAAGUUUAAAGUGUUUUGAUAUUAAAACUUACUAUUAAUAUUUUAUGGAUGUCCACUUGAAGAUAAUUAAUAUAGUCUUAAUUCUUCACUUGAUAAUAUCUUAAUCCUAUUAAUUAAAAUAAAGUCUUAACACCGACUGUAAAUAUAAUAAUAUAAUUAAUUUAAUAUUGCAAGGAGGAAGGCUUCCAUUAUUUUGCGUUUCUUUCUUUGUUUUUUCCUUUGAACCCUACGUGCUCUCUUAUUCUCUCCUUCACGCAAUUAAAAGGAAUUUUGACCAAAAAAAUAUAUAUAUUCCUCGUUACUUUGAAUGAUUAGAAUUCUUGAGAAUAUUGAUUUUAAUUAGUUUAAAAAAAAUAUGAGAUGAAGAUUUUGACAAAAAAAAUAUUUUUUUAAUAAAAUUUAAAUAAUUCAAACUCUUUUAAAUAUUUAUUUUAAAAAUUAAUUAUAAAAACGGUCGAGCUGCCUUUGUCUAUUUUCUCUAUUCUAAUAUUUAAUGCAUCCAUAUUAUCGUUAAUUUAAAUAACUCUUAAUUUUCAGUAUGCAUUUAACACAUUUCUGUAUGCAUUUAUCUUUUGUUUUUUUAUUAGAAAAACCAACUUUUUAAUUUUAACAUCCAUAAUAAUUUUAUCGGUUUAACUGUUUAUAUACUUUUAACUUUAUUGUAUUAAACACAAAAAUUAUCUUUUUAUUAAUGAUUAACAAAUUUAUUUAUACAUAUCGGUUCCUUAAUCGUGGAGCGCUGAUAAAAUAUAAUAUAAUUAAUAUAAUAUUGUUAUUAAUAUAAUAUAAUGAUUAACAUUUUGAAGUUUUUGGGAACGCGGUUUGCACCGCGUUCCCAAACGGUUUCUCCAGCUUCCACGAGUUAUCAUGCAAUUCAGUGGCUUAUUAGCAUUCUACUACCAUCAUUCUCUCUCACAGAAUCACCCUCACCCUCUCGCAAAAAUCCACCAAGGCUCCUGCUUUCCACUUCUCUUUUUCUCUCACGUAUUCCCACCCUCACCCUUUCUGCAAAAAUCCACCAUGGCUCUGGAGUUGAUCGGAGGAUCAUUUCUCUCUCCUGUCAUUCAGGUUUUGGUCGACAGGUUGGCCUCUCGUCAGGUUCUGGGCUUCUUCAAAAGCCAAAAACUCGACGAUGGUCUUCUGGAAAAGCUGAAUGAAACACUGAAUACUGUCAACGGACUACUCGACGAUGCGGAGGAGAAGCAGAUUACAAAUCGUGCUGUGAAGAACUGGCUUAAUGAUGUUAAACAUGCUGUCUAUGAAGCCGAGGACAUAUUGGAGGAGAUUGAUUAUGAAUAUCUACGAUCCAAGGACAUUGAUGCCCCUCGACCUGACAGCAAUUGGGUAAGCAUAGUUCUUGCACUUGUAGACCUUGCUUCCUCAUAAAAUGUCUGUAAAUGAGGAAAAGAUAAUUUUAGGCAUGACUGUUGUCUUUCUGUGAGUUUUAAUUAAAGAGUAUUCAUUGUAUAUUAUAUAUGCAACUAAUAUUAUUGGCUUUUCGUGUGUGUGCUGAAAUUACGCUUGCAAAUUCUCAUUUAUUAACUAGUUUUCUAAACAUUGGCUUUGGAUUUUUAAAAUCUGAAUUAUUUAUAUAAAUUUUGUCAAUUUUAAUUAAAUUAUAUUUUUAUUUGAGACAAAAAUUAAUUUCAUUAUAUUUAUAAAAAUAAUAUAAUAUGAUAUGAUAAGGGCUGUGAAAAUCACUAAUGACAUUUAAUCAAUAUCUUUUUAAAACUUGAAUUUUACAAUUGUAAAUUCUUGAAAAGAUCUGUAGAAAGAAAAUGUUUAUAUUAAGUUAGCAUCAACGAUUUAAUGGCGUUAACUUAUUGCAGGUAAGGAAUCUGGUUCCACUUCUAAAUCCAGCUAAUAGAAGGAUGAAAGGGAUGGAAGCAGAGUUACAAAGGAUCCUUGAGAAGCUUGAACGUUUACUUAAACGAAAAGGUGAUCUGCGCCACAUAGAAGGUACUGGUGGAUGGAGACCAUUGUCAGAGAAAACAACUCCACUGGUUAAUGAAUCUCAUGUAUAUGGAAGGGACGCUGAUAAGGAAGCCAUAAUGGAGUACUUGUUGACAAAAAACAAUAUAAAUGGCGCAAAUGUAGGUGUGAUUCCUAUUGUGGGCAUGGGAGGGGUUGGUAAAACCACUCUUGCUCAGCUUAUCUACAAAGACAGAAGGGUAGAGGAGUGCUUCGAGCUCAAAGCCUGGGUCUGGACUUCUCAACAAUUUGAUGUUGCCAGGAUUAUUAAGGAUAUUAUUAAGAAGAUCAAAGCAAGGACUUGCCCCACCAAAGAACCAGACGAAUCUCUAAUGGAGGCAGUGAAAGGGAAAAAACUUCUACUUGUUCUAGAUGACGCGUGGAACAUCGAGUACAAUGAAUGGGAUAAAUUACUGCUACCUUUGCGGUAUGUGGAGCACGGAAGUAAGAUUGUCGUGACGACACGGGAUGAAGAUGUAGCAAAAGUCACGCAAACUGUCAUCCCCUCUCACCGCUUGAAUGUAAUAAGCGAUGAAGAUUGCUGGAAGUUGUUUGCAAGGGAUGCAUUUAGUGGUGUAAAUUCUGGAGCAGUCUCACACUUGGAAGCAUUUGGCAGAGAAAUAGUGAGAAAGUGCAAAGGUUUGCCGCUGGCAGCGAAAACUCUUGGGGGUCUUUUGCACUCCGUGGGAGAUGUCAAGCAAUGGGAGAAGAUAUCCAAGAGCAGGAUGUGGGGUUUGUCGAAUGAAAACAUCCCUCCAGCUCUAACAUUGAGCUAUUAUUAUCUCCCUUCACACCUCAAACGUUGUUUUGCUUAUUGUGCAAUAUUUUCCAAGGGUUAUAAAUUCGAGAAGGAUGGAUUAAUCACUGAAUGGAUGGCACAAGGUUUUUUAGUUCAGUCCAGAGGCGUCGAGGAGAUGGAAGAUAUAGGUGAAAAAUACUUUGAUGAUCUUGUCUCCAGGUCAUUUUUCCAGCAAUCACUUUAUGCUCAAUCAGAUUUCAGCAUGCAUGACAUCAUAAGUGAUUUAGCUGAAUACGCGUCAGGAGAAUUUUGCUUUAAGCUUGGUAUUAAUGAAUCGGGCUCUGGGUUCGAGGGUGAACAUUCAUGCACGCUUCCAGAAAGGACUCGUUAUUUAUCAAUCACUUCAGCGGAAGCAUAUGACGAAGGACCUUGGAUAUUUCGUAGUAUUCAUGGAGUCCAACAUUUGCGCGCCUUGUUUCCGCAGAAUAUUUUUGGGGAAGUUGAUACUGAGGCACCGAAUGACAUCUUGCCAAAUUCUAAGCGUUUGCGAAUGAUAUCUUUAUGUCAUCUAGAACAUAUUUCUUCUCAGUUGCUCAAUUCCAUUGGCAACUUAAAACAUUUGCGGCACCUGGACCUUUCUCAGACAUUAAUUAAACGGUUGCCCGAAAGUGUGUGCACCUUGUACUAUUUGCAAACUUUAUUGUUAACAGAAUGUCAACAUCUCAUUGAGUUGCCAGCCAACAUUUCCAACUUGGUCGACUUACAACAUCUUGAUAUUGAAGGGACAAAUUUGAAAGGGAUGCCACCAAAAAUGGGGAAACUCACAAAGCUUCGAACUUUGCAAUAUUACGUCGUGGGAAAAGAGAGUGGGUCUGGUAUGAAAGAGCUGGGGAAGCUCUCUCAUAUAAGGAAAGAACUUUCUAUUCGGAAUCUCAGAGAUGUUGCAAAUACUCAAGAUGCUUUGGAUGCCAAUUUGAAGGGUAAGAAGAAGAUUGAGGAGUUGAGGUUGAUAUGGGAUGGCAAUACGGAUGACACACAACACGAGAGAGAAGUACUUGAGAGAUUGGAGCCUUCUGAAAAUGUGAAACAGCUUGUCAUUACUGGUUACGGGGGUACAAGGCUUCCAGGCUGGCUUGGAAAGUCUUCCUUCUCAAAUAUGGUAGCGUUGACACUUUCUGGAUGUAAGAACUGCAUCCGCUUACCAUCAUUGGGGCAGCUGCCAUCUUUAGAAGAGCUCCAAAUUGAAGGAUUUGAUGGAGUCGUGGAAGUCAGCUCUGAGUUCUAUGGAAGUGACUCUUCGAUGGAGAAGCCAUUUAAAUCCCUCAAAAAAUUAAAGUUUGAGGGGAUGAAAAAUUGGCAGAAAUGGAAUACAGAUGUAGAUGGUGCUUUCCCUCAUCUUGCAGAGCUCUGCAUAAGACAUUGCCCCAAGUUAACAAAUGCCUUGCCUAGUCACCUUCGUUGUUUAUUGAAACUUUUUAUUCGAGAAUGUCCGCAGCCUGUAUCUGAGGGCGAUGAAAGUCGUAUAAUUGGGAUAUCAGAAACAUCCAGUCACAGGCGGUGCCUUCAUUUUAGACGAGAUCCCCAGCUAAAGGGAAUGGAGCAAAUGAGUCAUUUGGGUCCCUCUUCUUGUUUCACUGAUAUCAAAAUCGAGGGAUGUAGUUCAUUUAAGUGCUGCCAGCUAGACCUUUUACCCCAGGUAUCCACACUUACCAUUGAACAUUGUCUCAAUCUCGAUUCCCUUUGUAUAGGCGAGAGACCUCUCGCUGCUCUCUGUCAUCUGACAAUCAGUCACUGUCGUAAUUUGGUGUCUUUCCCCAAAGGAGGACUAGCUGCCCCAGAUUUGACAAGCCUUGUGUUAGAGGGUUGCUCAUCUUUGAAGUCGUUGCCGGAAAACAUGCAUUCCCUCCUCCCUUCCCUACAGAAUUUGCAAUUGAUCUCACUUCCAGAAGUUGAUUCGUUUCCUGAAGGAGGUUUACCCUCCAAUUUAAACACACUUUGGAUUGUGGAUUGUAUCAAACUCAAGGUUUGUGGUUUGCAAGCACUCCCUUCUCUUUCAUACUUCAGAUUUACUGGGAACGAGGUGGAGUCUUUUGACGAGGAGACGUUGCCCUCUACUCUUACAACCCUUGAAAUCAAUCGUCUGGAAAACCUAAAAUCUCUAGACUAUAAGGAGCUUCAUCACCUCACAUCUCUUCAGAAAUUGAGUAUCGAGGGAUGCCCUAAGCUUGAGUCCAUAUCAGAGCAAGCGCUUCCCUCCUCCCUUGAAUUCCUUUAUCUCAGAAAUCUGGAAUCUCUGGACUACAUGGGGCUUCAUCACCUCACCUCUCUUUACACAUUGAAGAUCAAGAGUUGCCCUAAACUUAAGUUCAUAUCAGAACAGAUGCUGCGCUCCUCCCAUGAAUACCAGGGGCUUCAUCACCUCAUCUCUCUUAGAAAUUUGAGGAUCGAGAGUUUCCCUAAACUUGAGUCCAUAUCAGAACUGGCGCUGCCCUCCUCCCUUGAAUACCUUCAUCUCUGUAAACUGGAAUCUCUGGACUACAUUGGGCUUCAGCACCUCACCUCUCUUCACAGAUUGAAGAUUGAGAGUUGUCCUAAACUUGAAUCGUUGCUAGGGCUGCCUUCCUCCCUUGAAUUCCUUCAGUUAUUGGAUCAGCAAGAACGGGACUGCAAGAAGCGUUGGUGCUUCACCUCUCAUGGCAAGAUGAAGAUAAGAAGGAGCCUCAAGCUUGAGUCCUUUCAAGAAGGCACAUUUCCCUGCUCCCUUGUAGACCUUGAAAUCUGGGUUUUGGAAGAUAUGGAAUAUAGUUCUCCUAAGCUUGAGUCCGUGCCAGGAGAGGGGCUGCCCUUCUCCCUUGUAUCUUUUAAAAUAUCAGCUCGGAUAAAUCUGAAAUCUCUAACGGGGCUUCUGCACCCCCCCUCUCUUCGCGAAUUGAUUGUCCGGAGCUUAUGUACUUGCCCGGAAAAGCGCUGUCCUAACCUUCUACUGGAUAUCCGUUAGAGAUGGGAGAAGAAUUUUACAUGUAAAUAUAUUUAAUUAUUAAUAAAAGUUUAUUUAUUUAUAAUAUUUAAUUAAUUUAAAAUAACAAGAAAAUGCUAGUAACAAAAAUUUUGUAAUAAAAAUUAUAAAACUCUUAUAAUUAGAUAAUUUUUAUUGUAUUAAAAUAUUAUUUUUAAAUAUUUAUAGUUAAUGUUUUAUUAAGAUUGAAUAUUAAUUAAAGUUGCUGAGACUGAUACAUAUUAUUUUUUAUAAAAUGAAACAAUCGUUCUCAUAAGCUGAGUUAUAAGAGAUAUCUAGAACUAAUAUAUAGGUACUUGUCAAAUGACAUAUACAUUGAACUGGCCCACAUAAAAAAUUUAUAUAGAAAGAUUACAUUUGUCUAUAGAAAGUCUUAUAUGAUGGUUCUUUAAGUUAUUAUUAGACUAGAGAUCACUAAGUUAUCUUAUAUAGAAAAUGUUAUGUUUCGAUCGUGUUACAUGUUGUCAUAAUAAAAGGUAACAAACGAGCAUAUAUUGGAUAUAACAUGAACUAUAUGAAGGCAUUUGAGUAAUAAAAAAAAAUUCAUCACCCUAUGUGAAAAAAAAAUAUUUCAUUUAUUUUUAAAUAGUAUUGAUUGUAAAUCCUUUCGCAAUGUGAAAUAAGACUUGUAAAGAGUUUCAAAUCUUAUUCAAAUAAUCAAUAACUAUGAUGUUGAGAAUAAAUAUAAUUUGACAGAGUAAACACACUUCAUAUUAUAAUGUCUAAAUUGAAAUAUUGUUGAUGAAAGAAUAAUAAUUAUACUAAGAAAAUAACUAUGGAAAGUUAAGUCAAACCACUUUUGACUUUUCUAAUAUUUGGGGGGUCAUGAAACAUUGUUAUUAUUUUAUACUUGAUCUUCAAAUAUAAAUCAAUUAAUUAUUGAAUUGAUAAUAAAUUAAUUAAUUUAAUCUUAUUUUAUUUAGAAAUGUGAUUUUUUUUUGUCAACUUAUUAAAGAACCUAAUGGGUCACACACAUAAAAAUCAUUGGUUAGAAAUUAAACUGUGAUGAUUAAUCAAGUGUAACUUGAUUGUAAACAAGUUUUAGAAAUGAAGGACUAGAAUGUAAUUUAUAUAUAGAAUCAUAAUUAUGGACCUAGAAAAAAAUCAAGUAUGGUCUUGAUUGAAUAAAUUUCUAAAAUUAUCCUGAAGUAAUAUAUGUGAUAUUAUUUAGGGAGUAAAUUAAUAUUUUGUCAUUUAUACACUACCAGAAAUUCGCUUAAUACCAACAGAAUAAUUCUGUCGGUAAUUUGAGGUCGCCAUUACCAACCGAAUUUAAUCCAUCGGUACUCUCGUCGGUAUAUACCGACGACCAAAUUCCAUCGGUAUAUACCAACGGGAUUACAGACAAAAUGUUGAGAAUAAAAAAAACGGCGGUUCGCUGACGUGGAGGUUAUUGCAGGUAUUUUUUACCGAUGAAAUCACCGAGGGAUUCAAAACGUCAGCUCCAUACAGCGACAUGACCGAUUCAUCGAUGAAAAUGCCGACGGAAUCAUCGAGGGAUUCAAAACGUAGCUCCGUACGGUGACUUGCCCUGUUUACCGUCAGACCAGACGACGAAAUCACAGAUGGAAUACUUCCGUCGGUGAAUCCGUUGGCAAAAGUUAAUUUAUCCCCACUCUACCGACCCUCUCCUCCCCUAUUUCUCCUUCUUCUUUCCCAUCCCAACUCUCCCCAACUGCAAACAACCAGCCCCCCCAAAAAAAAAUCUCCCUUUUCUCAGCACAACAAGUCAUAUUUCUUGAAGUCUUCUCGUCACAACAUCCGUGUUCUAAUUUACCGACGGAUUUUUAUCAGUUUUUGUAUGUAAUUAUAUCUUUUUAAAUUUUAACAUUUAAAUGUCAAUUUUAUUAUUUUUUUAGUAGAUGUACAUGUUUUAUUGUUAUUUCUCAAACAAACUUGUAGUAUAUGAAUGUAUAAUUUUAUACUAGUUGUGGUUUGUUUUAGAUUUUGUAAGAUUGUAUUUGUUUGUAAAUUGUUGAAACUUUUUUGAAUUAUCGAAUUACAUAUGUUGUUUUGAAAUAAUUAAUAGCUUGUUUAAUGGGUCCGUUUUAAUUUUUAUCAAUGGUAUUGCGGAGUCGUAAUUUCUGUAAAUUUAUAUAUAUUUAUUAAUUUGUAUGGACGUUGAUAAUUGAUAAUGAAUAUUUAAUAUUUAUGAGAAGUUGUAAUUGGUUUAUUGGAUAAUCUUGAGGUAAACCAAUAUUUUUGCAAAUUUAUUUACCUAACAUAGUUAAUUAAUACAUGUUGUUAUCAUAAUUUUAUAGAGGUUCGAUAGAAGUCAUAAAUGAUCGUUCAUGGAUGUAUCGAGAUUCACCCCAAGGAUUGCGGAGGAUGGAUGAUUGUAAAGGGGUUCAGGGUUUUAUUAAUUUCACAACAUCUAUUCCCAGAAAUUUUACUGGAGGUGGUAUUAGGUGUCCAUGUAGGAAGUGUCAAAAUAAAAAGUAUCUGCAUCCAGAUGUUGUAACGAUGUGUCUUUUACACAAAGGGUUUAUAAAGAAUUACCAGUGUUGGUACGCACAUGAAGAAAUAUUUGUUAGUAAAAGGAGAAUGGGAGAAAUGGUGGUUGGGUCAACUUCUAGUGCUAGCAAAGUGCAUGAAGCGGCAAAUGACAACACUAAUCCUUACAGGAAUAUGGUUAUGGAUAUAAUAAGAAUGAAUCAAGGUAAUGUUAGUCAAUGUCCAAUUAUAAAAAAAAGAACCUAAUGCAGAUGCAGCUAGGUUUUUUGAUUUGUUGAAAGAUUCUGACGAACCAUUAUGGGAUGGCUGCACGAACCACAAUAAAUUAUCGGGCGUAGCACAGUGUUCACCAUCAAGUCAGAUUAAGGGUUGAGUGAGGCCGGGUAUGACAAGAUUAUUGAAUAGGCAAUAAGCAUUUUACCUGAAGGGAACAGGCUAAAAGAGAACUUCUAUGCUGCGAAGUCCGUGACGAAACCCCUCGGUUUAGGAUACCAGAAAAUUGACAUGUGCCCUAACUUCUACAUGUUAUACUACCUUGAAAAUGCUGAGAUGAUCGAGUGCAUGAUAUGCGGCGGGCAUUCUCGUUACAAACCUAGAACUGGUAGGGGAAAGACUCUAGUGGCAUAUAAAAAACUUCGAUACUUCCCAAUCACAUCUAGACUGCAGAGGUUAUUCAUGUCACCAAGGAUUGCUGAGCACAUGACAUGGCACCAAUCACAUGAUGCGGUUGAUAGAGUGAUGGUGCAUCCUUUUAACGGCGAAGCGUAGAAACACUUUAACAGUGUGUAUCCUCACUUUUCAGAUGAAUCAAGGAACGUGCGUCUUGGGUUGUGUACAGACGGAUUCAAUCCAUUCGGGUCAUUUGCUGCUCCUUAUUCUUGUUGGCCGGUCAUACUGACGGUUUAUAACUUGCCACUAGGGAUGUGUAUGAGGUUGGAGUUCAUGUUUUUAUCUAUGGUCAUACCAGGUCCGAGCAGCCCGGGCCGGAAUAUAGAUGUUUGUCUUCAACCGUUAAUUGAUGAGUUGGCGUAGUUGUGGUCCUCCGAAGCAUGGUAGAAAGAUAUACAACAGCGGUGUUUGUGUUAAGGGAUCGACUAGUAGUGAGUUAGAAGUUGACUACUAUGGUAGAUUAGUAGAGGUCGUCGAACUGCAAUAUCAUAGCGAGCAGAAUAUAGUGCUUUUAUUCAAAUGUUGUUGGUAUGACACGACUGACAGAGGAAUCAGAGUUGAUCCGCACUUCGGUCUGGUCGAAAUCAACUCAAAAGCUAUACUCUGCAACGCAAAUGAUGUCUUUGUUUUCGCAAUGCAAUGUCAACAAGUUUAUUACACAUACACCCCUUCUUUUAGAAAGGAUCGAUCAAGAGUGGAUUAGUUGUCCAUUUUAAAAACGAAACCUAGGGGUCGUGUCGAGCUUGUUCAGGAUGAGAACGAAGACACAAGUGUGUGAGAUGAAGUCUUUCAAGUUAGUGAGUUGGUUGAACCAUAUUGAGUUGCUCAUUCGAUUGACUUGGAAGAAAAUUCAAAUUUUCAUGUUUUCGAUGAUAGUCUUGAUAAUGUUGACGCAGAGGAGUUGAAUGUUGUUUUGAGCUCUACCGAACAAGCAAAUGUCGAUGAAGAUGAUGACCAUAUUGAGAUUGCAAUGAAGGUGAUGACUAUUCAAUUGAUGAUGAAGAAGAAGAAAAUUCUGACUAACUAUCAGAAUGAAGCCCUAUGUAUAACCCUUUUUUAAUGUAAUAUAGAUUAUGGAUGAUAUAUUUUGUAACAUGAAAUAUGUAUUGUUUAAGCAUUGUUGUUAUUGUUUUGUGCGAUGGACAGUUUAUCAUUUAAGUGUUUGCAAGAAGGUAAAUAGAAAAAUAAUUACUUGAAAUGCCACAAUUACCAACAUCCAUACCGACGGAUAAAAAUCCGUCGGCAUUUCACAGAGAGUUCGAAAAUAAUUACAUGAAAAUGCCACAAUUAUCGAUGCCACUAUCGAUGGAUAAUAGUCUGUUGGCAUUUCACAUAAAGUUCAAAAAUAAUUACUUGAAAAUGCCACAAUUACCGACGCCAAUACCGACGGAUAAUAGUCCGUCGGCAUUUCACAGAGAGUUCAAAAAUAAUUACUUGAAAAUGCCACAAUUACCGACGCCACUACGACGGAUAAUAGUCUGUCGGCAUUUCACAGAGAGUUCAAAAAUAAUUACUUGAAAUGCCACAAUCACCGACGACGGUACCGACGGAAUAAACUCCGUCGGUAAGUUGUUGACGGGUAAUAUUACCGAAAAAAUCACCGACGAACUGUGCAAAUUCCAAGGGGCGGUGCACUAAAUGCAUCUCUGACCGCGUGAGGUUGCCGACGGAAUUACCGACGGAUAGUGAAAAAUAUGGAGGGUAAUUAAAAAUGUUGGUGCGAAAUUCAAAAAUUACCGAUGGAAUUUCGACACGUCACCGACAGAAUAAAUUAAAAUAAUAUUUUUUUAUAUCCAUCAGUGAAUCCGCGGUAAAACUGCCCUAUAAAUUCUACAGACCGCCCCUUCAGUUCAUUUUUUCAUCUCUUCCGUUCUUCACCUUCAAUUUUGAUUUUUUUCCUCUCAUUUCUUCAAGGCUUUCACCUACAAUCUCUAGCAAGUGUUCUUGUGAAUCUUCAUCAGAUUAAAAGGUAUGUGUUUCCUCUAUUUCAUUUUACUUUAAGGGUUUUUUUUGUUUUAGCUAUUUUUAUUUUUUUUAUGUUUUUUGUUUUGGUGUAUUUUUAUAAUGUAGAUAAAGUCUUGAAAUCAACACAUUAUUAAGGUAAGCAUGUUUCAUUCCUAAAGUCUAUAGUUUUUUUUUUUAAUUUAUUGAAUAUAUUUUAUUGUUGUAUAGGCAUAAUUAUUGAAUAAUUUGUUGAGUUAUAAUUGUUAAUAUUGAAUUUACCUUAGAAUAAGUAAUUGAAUAUGUUGGAAUAAUUAGUAAUUUUACUACUUUAUUGCAUGAUUUGUGUUUAAUUAUUUGCAUUAAUUUUAAUUGUUAGUCUAGAGUUUUUUUUGAAUUUUUUGAAUUUUUUGAAUAUUUUUUUAUUGUUUGUAUUUAUAUAAUGAUUGAAUAUGUUGUUAAUGUUGAAUUUACCUUGUAAUUAGUAUGAAUGUUAUAUGUAUAGAUGUUAUGUUAUAUACAAUAUUAGUAUAGAUGGAGUCAAUUGGUUAUGGCUUUUGUCAAUAUUUGCAGGUUUGUGGAUUUGGGUAGUAUCUAGUAUAAGGGAGGUGCUGUCGAAUUUUUUUUAACAUUCAAAUUUAAUUAUAUAAUUAUUCGUAUACAAUUGUGUAGAUGCGUAUAACGAAAACCACAGCUCUUUGCUCACGUAUAGUCGCAGCUACUUUUUCUAGCAACGAGGAUGACGUAUCCUUAGGUGCCUCUCAAGAAGAGGCACCUACGCCACCUGCACCGUUAACUGAUACUGCCUCUUCCAGCGCAGGAUCACAGCACAGAGGUGGUGUGCCUUAGCAGCGGAAUCAGUUCACCCGUAAGUACGAGGCACAGUGGAAGGACGACCUUUCAAUGUAAGUUUGUUAAGGUUUUAGUUUUUUCUUUUAAGUUAUAAUAUAAUUUAUGAACAACUGAUCAAUAUUUCAUGAUUUUUUUUUCAGGUUCACAAACAUUGAGGCCGCCUGAGUAAUAUCAUCGGCGUUUAAAUCGUCGAUGGAGAUUCCAUUAUUUCAAUGGAGUCAGGUAUCUAGACAUCCUGAAUGGAUACCUCAAAUCGAUUUAUGGUUUAACUGAUUUGAGGUUGGUGUUAAUUUCUAAUUUCCAGCUUAUUUCUAAUAAUUUAUUAAUAUAAUUGUAAAUAAAUUAUCAUUUUUAUUUAUCUAAUUAUUUAUAUAUAGCAAAAAUUCACCUGGUACAAGGCGCUUGACAAAGUUGUGAGGAGGGUGUGGAAAAAUCACGCGGCAACUAGGUAACAUCGAAAACAAUACAAGAUUUUUUUAGAAAAAAAAAUUAUGUUUCAACUUCUAAUUUCUCGCUAUGGAAGUAGGUUGCAUGAUUUUUGGUAUGAAGCACAAAAAAAGACAAAAAACUGUGAGAGAUAGGGGUCUUCAAGGUUAGAACGACGUGGCGGUUUGGAGGGAUUUCAAACCGAUAUACAUCCCGGAAGAUAUAUGGUCGCACUAUCUUAAGCACGUGACGUCUGAGCGGUUCACAUGACGCUCACAGUCCGGUGCUGGCAACCGGAAUCAGCCAAUUCAUGGCUCGGUGACAACGCACACCGGCGGCUCCGUUCUGCUCCACUACAGUCGCCUCGGAUGGUAAGAUUAAUUUAAAUGAAAUAUAUCGUUAAAUUAAUUUGUUGUUAAUUAAUCUUUUUUCAUUAUAGGCUACAUCUCUUAGACGUGAGACGAGCCCGGUGGAGCUGUUUGUGGAGACGCAUGUGCGGAGUCAAGACCGCCAAAAGGGGGCGCAAUAGUUCGUUGACAACCGUGCUCAACACUUCGUGGUAUGUUUGUUCAACCAUUUUAUUUUGUAAGUUAUUAUUUUUUUUGAAUUGAAUAUGAUGAUUACUUUUUUUAUUUUCAGGAGACCUAUAAUAGCCGGUUGAGAGAGAGAUAUGGGGACGAUCCUUUAACCCAUCCAAAAUUCGAUCCGGAUUUGUGGAUGGAGGUUGGAUCAUCUGGUGGACCCGAUAAAAAUCAGGUUUACGGGCUCUACAACACUACGGCCUAGAACUUGCGGGUGACCCGUAGUGUUUCAACCGUUAGGAGCUCCCAAUUAGUAUCGAGCACCCAAUCUAAGGAGUUCGUGGCCUAACAGCAACACACGGCUUAGCUCACCGAAAAAUACAACCACCUAUAAGCGGCGUAUACACAACUCAAAGCGGAGAAUGCACAACAAAAAGCGGACCAUGACCAGCUUCGCGAAUUUGUCAUGAACAUGGCAUCACAGAGUGGUGAUACAUGUGCGCCUCCUUCAUUUUGACCAUAUAACAAACAACCUCCUCCUCCUCCUCCUCCUCCUCCAGCUCCACCAUUAUGUUAAUUUGUAAUAAAUAUUAUUUAACUUUAAUAGUUAAUUUAAUAUUUUUUUUAAAACACAUUCAGUUUGUAAUGAAUAUUAUUUAACUUUAUUUCUUUUGUUUUUUAUGUUUAAUAAAACUUUUAUUUGCAUAAUUGGUUUUUAAUACCAUUAAUUUAUAUAAUUUUAUAUUUUGUAUUCUAAAUAAUUUUUUAAAAACAUAUUUAAAAAUAAUCACAGAGGGUUUUACCGACAGAAUAUAUCCGUCGGUGUUUGACAGUAGCUGCCACAGUCACCGACGAAUUUACAGACGGAUAUAUUUUGUCGGUAUUAUGGAUUCGCCGACAAUUUUACCGACAGACAUAAUCCUUUGGUAUUGUACAGCGCCUGCCACAAUGACCGACGAAUGUACAUACGGAUAUCUUUGGUCGGUAUUCCAAACAUUCACCGAUAAAUUUACCGACAGUUUGAAUUCGUCGCUCUGUCACACAAUCACCGACGGGCUAAAUCCGUUGGUAUAUUUCAAGCGAGAAACUUUUUUUUUGCGUGCAAUUUUCGUCUGUAAAACCAUUGGCAAAUUUUUUUUUGCUGACAGAUAUAGCGACGAACUAUGGUAUUACCGACGAAAUAAAAGCUGACAGACGUAUUUCGUCGGUGAGGACGUCGAUAAAUAAAUUACCGAUGAAAUCUUAAUCACAUACCGAUGAAAUAUUUAUGUCGGUAAAACUGUGAAAUCUUGUAGUGAUAUAGAGCUUUUAGGUCUUUCUAUAAAUAAAAUGUUAUGCCUUUCAUUUUCUGUGUAAUAUAGUAAACAAUACAUUGAACAUAUGAAAAACACAUAAAAUAUGAGUUAGCAUUCAAAUGCAUAGCAAUUUUUCUCUCCUAAAAAGAUUUAAUAAGUUUCUCAUUGGUAGUUAGUGUGAAUUACUAUUAAAGCCGAACACUUGGAUGACUUGUGGUUUAUGACAAUUAUACCGUGAAGUAAUUAUUCAAAGUUGAAAAGAACAUCUGAUCUUCAUGUAAUCUUUUUUAUAAACCUUAAAUAACUCUAAAUUUGUCUAACUAGAUUAUUUGAACUCCUGGAUUUGUUGGCACUCACUGCUGGCUUGAGAGGGCAACAGCCCAUGGCUAUUUUUCCACCAGAAGCAUUGUUAAUUACAAAUUUUUCUUCUUGAUUGAUGGAGUUUUUGGAUGUGUUGAAAUAAAUCAUAAAAUUAUGAUUUAACAAGUUUAGGAGUCGCCAUCUAGUAUUCUGGUCAAUAAAAAACCUGAUGAUUUGCGAGAGUCUGGGUAAGGAGACUAGUUGUGCAUGAGAAAGACCUAUCACCCCCACUACAUCCUAUCUAUGGCAAGCUGCAUUAUUGAUUGAUUGUUUUUGUAAGUUAUGUUUCCAUUCAUUGAUCUAUCUAUAGUUCAAGAAAAGAUCUUCAUCAGUAAAGAGAUCCCUUUUUUAUCGGUCUAAAACCUAACUAUUCUAAGGCCUAGAAAAUUAAUUGUGUUUUUAGAAAUUUUAGUCAAAUCUUAAUGAAUAAUUACCAACUUGCAAUGAUACCUACCAACUAAUUUUUGUAUUUUACAAAAUAUGAUAAAAAUAAAAUUUUUAUUUUUAUUAUUUUUUAUAAAUAUGCAUGAUAAUUUUUAGAAUUUGACCAUGUACUCACAUAAAUUUUUUUUUUAUUUUUUAAAUAAGUUUUUUUUAAUUUAUUUGUAUUUUUUUAGAGAUAAUGAAGAAAAAAAAUGUAUAUUUAAUUUCAGGUUAGCACCAUAUAGUGAGAAACUUGCAAAUAAUUUUAAAAUGAUACCUAAAUGCUUUCAAAAUUUUGAAAAUCAUUUUGGUUUGUCUGGUAAAAUAAGAAAAAAUUCAACAAAGAAAACUGUUGAAAUUUAUUAGGACAUGUUUACCAAGCAUGUUCUAAAAAAAAAGGCAUUUGUUUUAUAAUAUUUUGCACAACCAAACAAUGCUUUAUGCUUGGAAUGGUGGCUGCCUGGCCAAUCAUAUGAGCUGGACUUAAAAUAAAAAACUGAAAAUGUUUUAGACCAAAAGGCCUUGAAGGCCGAAUCCACUAACAAAAACGAAGUGCCCUCUUUUAUCCUGGUAAGAUCAAAACACUGAUUUAAAUGCUUUUGCUAAGAAACAAAUUUCUUCAAGUAUUAUUUAAAUAAUUUGGGUUAUGAUUACACAAGUGUAUAAACAGUGGUUCGAAUCUGUGGCCCCACUAUUUUUUCUUUUUUCUUUUUGUCUAUAAUGAAAACAAAAAGAGGUGCAUCAGUUUUUGUUUGUAAAAAAAACAAAAACCUAAAAGAAGGAAAAGAAGGUUGCAUCUUCAACCAUUUAGACACUGUUUGGCAUUAUAUUUUAAAAGUUUUUUUGGAAAAAAAUUUAAAUUUUUUUUAAUUUUUCUCUAUUUUAAAUUAAUAUAUUUUUAAUGUUUUCAGAUCAUUUUAAUAUAUUGAUAUUAAAAUUAAUUUUUUAAAAAUAAUAAAAUAUAUUAUUUUAAUAUAUUUUAAAAUAAAAAGUACUUUGAAAAAAAAUCGCUACCGCAUUCCAAAAUAUACUCUUAAUCUUUAAAAAAAAUAAAAAGAAAUGGUAGAAGCAGACAUCAGGAUUAUCCAAAAUGUUACAUUUGAUCCCCCGUAGAGAGUGUUUGGCUGUGCGUUUCAACCUGCGUUUUGUCAAAUUUUGAAUUUUUUUUUGCUAAAAUUGAGUGCGGUUUGUACUUUUUAAAUCGUUUUGAUGUGCUGAUAUUAAAAAUGAUUUUUAAAAAAUAAAAAAAAAAUCAUUGGCAUGUAUUUCGACACAAAAAGCUAUUUGAAAAGCAACCGAUACAACACUGUCAAACACACUCUAAACAACAGAUCCAGACCUAUUACAGAGAUCUUGUCCUCUUCUUUUGUCUUUCUUCUUUUACUUUUCUAGCUAUUUUUUUUUGUACGAGUUUCAGAUUCUUAUAUUAAACAAAUUUUCUUGUCCUAUUUAUUAGUUUGUCCUUUUUUCUCAUAAAAUACACAUCAAAUUAAUUCUUAAUUAUCUAUCACCAAUCAUUAAAUAAUCUUUUUAUCUCUUUCUAAAACGUAUAGUAUACUCAAAUGAUUUUUAAAUUAUAAUUGCAAUUAUUUUAUAUUAUUUCAUUGUUCAAGAAACACUGACGGAUAGUGAUUUGUUAGCAUAUGCACAGGGCUUGUCCUAUGUUAUAUCGUUAGUGUUACCAUUUCAUGCUAAUCAAUGUGAUUUACUAGCUAAUCCAGUUUUCAUGAGAAACAAAAGAUUCUGUCAAAAUUUCUUGUAUUUUUGUUUAUUUUUAUAUCAUUUUAAUGUAUUAAUACUAAAAAUAAAUUUUAAAAAAUAAAAUAAAUAUUAUUUAAAUAUAUUUUUAAAUUAAAAUAUUUUAAAAAACAACUUACCCAACAAACUCAGAAACAUAUCUAAAUAAUAAAUUUUUUUUAAAAAAAUAAUUUGAAUAUUAGCGCAUUAAAAUAAUUUAAAAAUAAAAAAAUUAUUUUUAAAAUAUAAAAAUAAAGCGGACCUAAACCGUGAUGGUGAAGUGCAGUUCUACCCAGGAAGUCCUGCCAAUUGUACAUGGCAUUACAAAUUUACAAAUUUGCAAAACUAUAAAAUCCUCCAUCGCUUUUGAAUUACAAAUCGUAAACAAUAUUGUACAAAUCCGAACCUAAAUUAGAAAAUAAAACAAGAAAUGAGAAAUUGAUAGAUGUCUUUUAAGGGUGCGGCAACUUGGUUUUUUUCAAAAGUAUUUUUUGUUUAAAAUAAAUUAUUUUUUUUAUUUUUAUUUCAUUUUUAAUAUCAAUACAAUAAAAUAAAAAAAUAUCAAUUUAAUACCUUUUAAAUUAAAUAUACUUUUAAAAUGCAACUAAAAACAGUUUAAAUAUGUUUUAACCACAAUAUUCCAACUGUCACAAAUCCUUUUAGCAUUUAACUGUCCCAACAAAAAAUAUAUUAACCGAUUGAUCCUCCCACUGAUAUGUAAUAUGAAUAUCUAUUACUUCGGGCCAAUCUAUAUUUUUACAUUAGAAAAUAAAAAUUAAAAAAAAUGGCAAGCAGGUGCAGCAGUCUCAGAAUAGUAUGGAACUAAUUAGGUGGCUUGCAGGUUAUUUUCUGUUUUGGCAUAAAAAAUAUUAAGAAAAAAAAUAUAUUUUUAAAAAUAAAAAAUAUAAUAUUCAGGUAAUUGACUCGAGUAAGUUUAAUAAAAUCUUUUAAUUUAAUAAUAUCAUUAGAAAAUAAGAUAUUGACAACAAACAAAGUAAAAUAAUAAUAAUAAUAAUAAUGAUUCAAUGCAAAAGAUGAACACUUGUCAAUAUUAUAAAAAUAUAUCUUCAUUCAUAAAAUUUCAAAAAAUUAUCGAUGAUCUUAUUUGUUAACAAAGGAAAAAAAUUAAAUGAGAAUAUGAUAAUUUUAUGGAAAGAAAAAAAAUAAAAAAACAAAAAAACAAAAAAAAGUUAAUUAUUAUUAACUUUUUCAAUUAUGAACCGAGUUAUCAGACCGAAAGCACUAUAUAUAAAAAAUCAUUAGGGUUAAGAUCAUAAGAAAACAACACAAAAAAUCCAAAAUAAAAAAAUAUAAUAAAAAUAAUGAAUGUUAAAAUUACAAUAAAAAAUAAAUCAAAAGCCAACAACAAAUUUUAAAUUUGAAAGUUAAAUUAAAAAGAAUAAAAAUAUCAAUAAAAGGAAAAAAAAUAAAAAGAACAAAGACAAAAACAAAUACACUAUAAACUUGGAUUGAAGGAUGAAACUAAAAACAAUGAAAAUUUAAAAGAUUCAAGAAAAAAAAUAAUCUUAAGAAUAAGCAUCAAAUCCUAAAUAUCAGAACAUAAUAAAAAAAAAAUGAAUAUGCAUAACUCUUCAAUGUGUUUUUUUACACUAAAAAACACUCUUAGAUUUAAAUAAAAAAAACUUAUGUACGCAUCUAAUUAAACAACCUAAUAACCAUUGUGUAAAGCAAUAAAAAAAAUUAAUCAACAGUAAACAAAAAUGAAAUUGAGAAAACUAAGAGAAAAAUAAAGAUCAAGAUAUCUAACAUCAUAAUACGAGUAAUUUACCUAGUUGUAUUUAAUGAAUUCUCCUAUCAAAAUAAAUUUAUUAUAGAAAAACACAUAAAAUUUGUAAUAGAAACUGAUAUAUACAUAAAUUUUAUUGAGAAAUAAUUUUAAAAAAAAUAAUACAAGGCUACAUAUAUGAAAAAUCUUAUAAAAAAUCAAUAUUAAAUAAUUCAUAUAAAAUUAAGAAAAAAUCACGGAUGAAUCAUACAUGCCAUUCUAAAAAUUAAACACACCCAAUAUCAUUUAAAAAUAAUAACAAUAUAAUUUAAAACAUAAAACUAAAAUUUAUUUAAGAAAAUAUACACAAAUAAUGCAUUAUUUUUUUAAAAAAACUAAAAAUUAAAAUAAAAUAAAAAAGAAACUAGGUCAGGUGCUACUGGACCUAGCUAGUCAAGCCCAACACCUGGCCCAAUAAAGCAAUGGCCCUAAUUCAGCAGACAAUGCAUUGUCAUGUCAACUUAGAAUCAGAUUAAUGUGGUGACCGGAAAAAUACAGUCCCUUAUUUUUUUCACCCAAAGUCCUAUUUUCAACCUUUUUUUUUAUUAAAAGCACUUAGAAAACACCUCGGAGACCUUGUUAAACCAAUCCAUAGCUACCAAAAAGUCAAUAAACCGCCCAAAAACCUAAAAUCCACCCAAAACAAUUCUUCUCAAGCAUAGAUAUGUUGUUUUAGGUGUUUUCAAGGUAAACAGAUACCUAAAUGUAACCCCCUAUAAUCAUAUGGAAUAUUUUGACACAAAAAUCAAUCAUUGUGGUGGUCAAAAUCUUCCCCAACGAACCAUUUUGUCUUUCUAAACCGGAAUUCAACAACUUUAUUUCUCUCAUCCCAACAGAAAAGGAGUUAAAAAAAAAUAAAGUUAGGUAUUAAAAUGUAUUGUCUUUAAAUUUAAGGAAUUGAUCUUCUAAUUUCUAAAAAAUAAAGGAGAUAAAAAUGAAUAUUUCAAUGAAAUUUUCAACUGUCCCCCAUGUUACCUAAAAUUAUCACUUCGGUCUCUUAGCUUUCAAUCCAACCCUCUCUUGUAAAAAAAGAUUUGCAAUUAAGGGUUAAUUUGGACUCAAAAUGAUUAAAUCAUGCAAAAUAAAAAUUUAAGAAUUAAAGUAAAAAUUAUAAAAAAUGAAAUGUUUCAAUCCACAUAUUGUGAGAGAUUGCAUAAUAUUUGAAAUAAUAGUAAAAGGCUGGUGCCUUUUAAUUUUAUUUGUAACUGGAUUCUCUUUUGUGCUGGUUGAAAUUACUGCUGUUACUGUGCUCUAAAUUAAAAUAUUUUCAAUCAUCAAUGUCGCACGUGUGCGGCGUCGCGGCGAAAAUCUAUUGAAGUUUUUUUCCAUUUUCUUAAAUCUACAAUGUAAAUUUAUCUAUAUCUAUGGGGAUACAAAAAAAAAAUAUUGUCUUUUAUUGGUAGAAAAUGGAAUGGGAGUCGUCACCUAGUAUUUUGGUCACUAGGAACCCUAACUGGUCUCAGAGAUCGGGUACGGGGACUGGUUGCGUAAAGGGAAGGUAUUAGCACCCCAAAUACGCCCUACCUAAGGUAAGCUGCAUUGUUUUAUUGUCUGAUAAAAUUUAAGGUGUUUUCGUGUUUUCCUAGUUGUUGGUCUGUCUAUGGUUCAAGAAAAAUCCUCCUCAGUAAGAAGGUCUUUAUCUUCUCGGGUAAAGUCCUAACCGUUCUAAUGUCUAUACCAAAACUUUAUUAUUAAUAUUUAGGAAUACGUUUUACGUAUAAAUUCGUAAUCCCAAAUACUAAAAGAAAACAAAAGAUUUUUUUAAAUUUUUGAAAUAUUGGCCUAGUUCUCAUGGCUUAAAUAAAAUGGUUAUUAAAGCCAAAAUGCAUGCUAAUACAUAUAUUGUUUUUUUGAAAAUUUCCUUUGUUGUGUAAAAAUAUGAUGUUAUAAUAUUUAUAUAUAUAUAUUGGAGAGACUAGGCCGUAUUUUAAAACAAAAAAACAAUUUUUUUGGAAAAUAUUAUUUUUUAUGCUUUGACGAAAAUUGAGUAUUUUAAUACUGAGCUUGUAUCCUUACGGUAUAAAAAUACAACCCAAUAUUAAUCCACUUUGAUAAAAAAUUGCAGUAAAAUCAACCACAUUUUUAGGGACUUUUUAGAAUUUUUUUUGAAAGCAAAAACAUUUUUUAUUCUGAAAAUCUUUGAUAUUUCGACGAAAACCGGGUAUUUUUAACACUGGUUUUGUAUCUUUGCGGUAUAAAAAUACAAACCAACAUUAAACCACUUUGAUAAAAAUAUGCAAAAAAAUCAACCAUAUUUUUUAGAUUUUUCCAAAUAUAUAUAUAUUUUUAAUUAUCAUAUUUUAUAUAUAUAUAUAUAUAUAUAUAUAUAUAUAUACAUAUAUACACACAUAUAUUAUAACAUAUUAUAAUAUAUAAUAUAUAAUAUAAAAACAAAUCGGGCUGGGCCGGCCCAAAUAAAUGGGCCGGACUCAGCCCAACAAAGAAAGGUUGGGCCGAUCUCAGCCCAGACUGGGUUGGGCCGAUCUCGGCCCAACAGGCCAUCAUGCUUCUUCUGUGACGGGAUACUGUACACAACAGUGACUGAGAUACUGUACACAAAUAGUGACGGGGUACUGUGCGCAAAUAGUAACCGGGUUACUGUACAUAAGCGCAGUAACCCGUUAAUUAAUUAGGUGGCUACUGUGCACCUGCACAGUAACAUGUUAAUUAAUUAGACCUGCAUAGUAACCGGGGGAAUUAAUUAGCCGGUUACUGUGCCCCUGCACAGUAACCAGCUAAUUAAUUUCUUACUUGCAGAACGUGCACAGUGCACGUUCUGCAUGCAAGAAGAUGAACAGGGGAAGAGUUACCUGCGACGAUGAGCUUGGGUAGAGGAGCUGACAGUGGUGCUAGUGGUGGUUUUGCUGGUGGUUGCUGACCGAAGGUUGGCUCUUCCUCUUCUCUACUGCUUCUGUGUUAUUUCUCCUCUCCUCUCUCUCUCCUGCCUUCUUUCUCCAAUUCUUCCUCCGGUUUUUUCUUCGGGUUCUCUCCUCCCUUCCCCCUUUUUUCUUCCUUUCUCUUUGUUUUCGGUUUUCUUUUCUUUGUUUUCGGUUUAUUCCUUCCUCUUUUCCCUCUCUCUUGUUUGUUCUCUCUCCUCUCCUCUCUCUCCUGCGUUCUCUUUUUUUCUCCCUCCCUCGGUCUCUCUCUAUUUAUAGGAAAAAAUGGAGCAGGUGCGCCUUCAAUCACGCAACGGCUGGUCGGCCAGUGACCCGUUCGGUGGUCUAAAGGUGUGGGGCUUCGGUGGGGACGGGGAGAGAGAGGCGGGACGGUUUUUGAAAAUGGUUUUUGUCUUCUGUUGUUGUUCAACGGGGGAAGGAGGAAGAUGAACAGUGUCGUUCAAAACGACACCGUUCUGGCCUUCCUCUUUUUUUUUUUUUUUUUUUUUUUUUUUAUGAAACGACGUCGUUUUGGAUAAAACGCGCCGUUUCAUUUAAAUGAGCCAAACUUCAAAUCAGUCCUCUAUCAUUUCUUGUUCAUUUCAAUUGUAUCCCUGCCAAAUUCUAUCUCCGCCCCCAUAGUUGGCCGCGUUUUUCACUUUAGUCCUUGGCCUCUGAUUUAUGCAAUUAAGCCCUCAAUUGAUCAAUAAACUUCCAAUUUCUUCAAUUAGGCCCCUGAACCAAAGUAAAACAGCCCCCUCUAUUUACCCGGUUUUUCCAAAUUGGUCCCUGGUUUCGGUUUUUUCAAUUAAACCCCUAAUUGGUCAUUAAACUUCAAUAUUUAUUCAAUUAAACCCCUGAUUUGACCCAAUAAAUUCCUAAAAAAUAUAUUUUGGCCCCAGAACUUAAAUUUCUUUCAAUUAAAGCCUAAAUUGACUUAAAAAUCAAUUUUCUUGCAAUCAAAUCCCCUAUAAAAUCAAUUAAAAAUCCAAUUAAGUCUAUAAACAUCCAAACUUGGGCUUUUCUCCUCAAAAUUCAAAUUUCCUUCUCAACAUGGCUCUCAUCCUUCAAGAAUAUACUGUCAAAAAUCCAAUCUUUGUAUUUUUAACCUCCUUGACCGAUUUUUCUGACCAUUUGCUGAGCGCUUCUACCUCCUGUUAUUUUUCUAACCUCCUAUUUAUUUUAUUUCAUUUAUUUGGGGACCCAAAAAUGGGUUAUAACAGAUGCCCCCUCUUUAUAAAGCUUACGGAGCAGAGGUUCUGCGCAGUAAGUUUUAUAAAGAUAAACCAAAACUGAGCUCCCGAAACUGAUCUAGUCGGAGCUCGAUUGCUCUGAAACUUUGUCCUUACAGCAAUCCUCCUUAACCCAAAAACUAUGAUCAAAGUUUAGUCAUCUCGAGAUCCUUUCUGGUGAUCUCCUUUAACCCCAAAAACUUGGAAUAUCAUCUGGCGAUUCCUUUACCCAUAACCAAAUACAAAAACACGUAUGUGGUCUCAUUAUGACGGGUGACCUGCCCGAAUGGGAAAAGGAAAGAGUGGUCUCAUUAUUAUGGGUGACCUACCCAGGGGGAAGAAUGGCCUCAUUAUUAUGGGUGACCUACCCAGGUAAAAAAAAGAUGAAGAAUGGUCUCAUUGUAUGGGUGACCUACCCAGGAAAAAUGAUGGUCUCAUUGUAUGGGCGACGAACCCAAGAAAAAUGAUGGUCUCAUUGUAUGGGUGACUAACCCAAGAAAAAUGAUGGUCUCAUUGUAUGGGUGACUGACCCAAGAAAAAUGAUGGUCUCAUUGUAUGGGUGACUAACCCAAGAAAAAUGAUGGUCUCAUUGUAAGGGUGACGGACCCAAGAAAAAUGAUGGUCUCAUUUAUGGGUGACCUACCCAAGGGGAAGAAUUCUUAGUAAACUCCAUGCUUUUCUAAGAAAUAGUUUCAAUACGAGGUCCCUUCUAGCGACCUUCCUUGAUGAAUGUCGAAGUACGAGAUCCUUUCUGGUGAUCUCAAAUAACUUGGAAUCCCAUCGGGCAAUUCCUUUUACCAAAGCUAAAACAUGAAGUUCCUUCUGGCGACCUUUAUCGAAAUACAAGAUCCCUUCUGGCGAUCUCCUUUAUCCAAACAACUUGGAAUCCCAUCUGGCGAUUCCUUUUAUACAAAAGCUGAAAUUUAAGGUCCUUUCUGGCGACCUCCAUCGAAAUAUGAGAUCCCUUCUGGCGAUCUCAACAACUUGGAAUCUCAUUUGGCGAUUCCUUUUUACCGGAUGCUAUCAAUGUCGUUCUUCCUGCUGGCAUGGUUUGAAAACCAUUAUCUUCUCUUCUUGUUGUUCUAGAAUCAACUCAAUGAUUCUUUCUUCGUCCAUAAUCUUGUUGGAAUGCGCUAAGAUCUCCUUCUGUAACGAUCCAAAAAAAAUACAUGCAAUGAUUUAUGAUUAGAUGCAAUGCAUGCAUUCGUACCUGGUUUUGAAACAUAGGCCCCAUCCUCUUCUUCUAGUUCAUAAGACUCCCUCUUAACAUGAACUUUACUUUUGAAGUCGUAUGCUGAAUUCAUCUCUCGUGUUGCCUAUCAUAUUCUUGGAGAAGAAGUCUUUGACUUUCUUCAAGUAGUCCUUUUCUCAAAAUGUAUGACUUGUAUUUGCCUCUUUGUCAUGCUUUUGUCAAAUGCUUUAGCUUGGUUUUCAAAUCUAUGGGCUUCCAACCAAUUUUAAACACGUAAAACUUUUCAAAAAACAACUUGUUUUGCCCCCAGUGUAGGGGUGUGAUCCUAGUCUGGGCUUUUAUAGAGAAGAAAUUCAUUCAGCCAAUGAUAAACUUUUUUAGUGCGUGAAGGGAUAAUGAUGAUUUUUUUUUUUUCAAAAUGCACAUUGUUAUGGUUGAUAAAGACAAUUACAGAUGAUUAUAAAGUGACCACUUAAUCAUUUAUCCAUUCAUUACGCUAUCAGAGGUAGGGAUGUACUUUAGGGUUAGCUUUUCUUAAAUUUCAUAUUAAACCAUUUUAUGAUAUAACCACUCAAACUUGUUCAAAAAGUGCAUAAUCUCAUCAUUUAUUAAAAAAAGGUAGGCUCAAAGACAAACAUAAAAUCUGGCUGAAAACAUGAGCCCUGAUUGCCAAAUAGAGAAAAUAAAAGCAAUGACAAAAGCAAAUGACAAAAGCAUGCUAAGGCAAAUAAAGUUGUUUUACAUUUUGAAAACUACGAGAAGUUCUUGGGUCAACCCGUUCUGGAAAGUCAACCGAGGCAAUGCUUCAUCUUCCUUUCCCACUUGCGUUUCCUUGUCUUCUCCUUUGAUCUCGCCUUCUUCAUUAUUGAUGAUUCUUGACCAAGGUUUUCCAACCCUUUAUCCCCUAUUACUUUUGUCAUGACCAGGCAAUGGAUUUGAAUUGAUAUUGGGUGUGUCUUCAAACGACACCCAUCCUAUCUUGAUGAGCUUCAACAACAUGUUCUUGAAAGCGUAGCACGUUUCAAGACAAUGUCCGGGAAUACCAGCAUGGUACUCGCAAGUCAACUCGGGCUUAUACCAGAUGGGGAAUGGUGGUUGUAGUGGUAAUGUAGGGAUAUGAGCUAUUUGUCCAAUGCUCAGUAGUUUGGCAUACAUUUCCUUCAAAGGCANNNNNNNNNNNNNNNNNNNNNNNNNNNNNNNNNNNNNNNNNNNNNNNNNNNNNNNNNNNNNNNNNNNNNNNNNNNNNNNNNNNNNNNNNNNNNNNNNNNNGCAGCCAUUACCUCACUUACCUCGCACUUCUUCAGGCUUGUCUUCUGAAAAUCGCUCUCGCUCACCAUGCCAAAUCUGUAAGCGUGAGGGGCAUCAGGCUUUAGAUUGUUUCAAUAGAAUGAAUUACUCAUUUCAGGGCCGACAUCCUCCUACAGAAUUAGCUGCCAUGGUUGCGGAGUCUAAUACCACUUAUCUAAAUCAAAAUCAAUGGUAUGCAGAUAGUGGUGCAAAUCUUCAUGUUACCUCCGAUGUCACUAAUCUUGCUUCCUCUCAACCAUAUGAAGGGGAUGAUUCGGUUGGGGUAGGCAACGGAACAGGUCUGCCCAUAUCCUGCAUUGGCAAUGCUUCCAUUAAAACCUUGUCUUCUACUCUUGCUUUAAAUAAUAUUGCCUACUGUCCUCAAGCUUCUGCUAACCUUCUCUCUAUCAAUAAAUUUUGUAACGAUAAUAAUGUUAUGUUUGAACUCACUGGUUCUGAUUUCUAUGUGAAGGACAUCCUGACGGGGGACACGCUUCUGACGGGACCAAGUGAUAAUGGAUUGUAUCCGAUCAACCUUCGUCAACUUUCUUCUUCCUCAUACCGUGCUCUCACAAUGACUGUUGGAGUCAAGGUUUCUUCCUCCACUUGGCAUUGUCGUCUGGGUCAUCCUUCCAUGGAUAUUCUUCAUCGUGUCAUUUCCAAUUUUUCCCUUCCAGUUAGUGAUUCCAUCAAUAAAAAGACUGUAUGUGUGUCUUGUCAACUAGGCAAAUCUAGACAAUUACCUUUCUCGGAUUCUUCAAGAGAAGCUACCGCUCCCCUUGAACUAAUCCAUUCUGAUGUUUGGUCUAAUUCAACUCCAUCUCUGAGUGGUUGUCGCUACUAUGUUAUUUUUAUUGAUGAUUUUACUCGUUUUUGUUGGAUGUUUCCUAUUUCAAAUAAAUCUGAUGUUUAUUCUACCUUUGUUAAAUUCAAGCCUUUAGUGGAAAAACAAUUUAAGUCCACCAUCCGACAAUUUCAAAGUGAUAAUAGUGGUGAAUAUUGUUCUACCCUAUUUAAACAAUUUUUUAUUAACAAUGGUAUUUUUCAUCGACUGUCAUGUCCACAUACAUCUCAACAAAAUGGUCUCGCUGAACGAAAACAUCGUCAUAUUAUAGAAAUGGGGCUUACUCUUCUUGCUCAAUCUGGUCUAUCUAAGAAAUUUUGGGUUGAUGCUUUCCUAACUGCUAUUUACAUAAUUAAUCGAUUACCUACCAAAGUUCUUGAUUAUUUAUCACCCUAUGAACGUCUUUUUAACCAUCCACCUGAUUUCACCUAUUUUCGAGCAUUUGGAUGUCAAUGUUUUCCAUGUCUUCGUCCUUACACAUCUGAUAAAUUAUCAUAUCGUAGCACACCUUGUAUCUUCAUUGGUUAUAGUCCUCAUCACAAAGGCUUUCGUUGUUUAGACCCUUCCUCCAGACGUGUCUACAUAUCUCGCAAUGUAAUUUUUGACGAAGAAAAAUUUCCAGCACAAUCCAUUCUCACAGAUCCUGUCAACUGCAUUCCCUCCUCAGGUAAGACUCCAGGUUUGUCCUUCACUCUUCCCUCACAUAUUUCCUGUUCAUCAUCUGAUCUUUCUCCUCCCUCUGCCUCUUCUUUACCACAAUCAUCAACUGCAUAUGGUUCACCCGUCCCUGCGACAUCUUCACCUGUGUUAAUUCCUCAUCCCUCUGCUGGUUCUCAGGAUAGUGCACAGCUUAAUCUUCAAGCUGCAGCUCUCUCCCUUCCGGAGUCUUCUUCUAAAAUUAUCACCAGAUCACAAACUGGUAAUCUCAAACCUCGUAGGUUUCCUGGUUUUCAUUUAUAUUCUACUCGUCACCCCCUACAAGCAUUGCAUGCAGGUUUGGUUUCUCCUGAGCCACGUACCUAUUCACAAGCGGUAUCAAUACCCGAAUGGUGUGCAGCAAUGGAUAGUGAAUUUCAGUCCUUAUUAAAGAAUGAAACUUGGUCACUGUGCUCUCUUCCUCCUGACAAGAAUGUGGUUCCUUGUAAAUGGGUUUUUAAACUCAAAAGGCGACCUGAUGGCAGUAUUGAACGUCAUAAGGCUAGGCUAGUAGCUGUUGGUUAUCUACAGAAGAGUGGGAUUGAUUUUCUUGAAACAUUCAGCCCAGUCAUCAAACCUUCAACUGUCCGCAUGGUUCUUGCUCUUGCCAUUUCUUUUCAAUGGGACAUUCGGCAGCUUGAUGUUUCUAAUGCUUUCCUUCAUGGCUUGCUAGAAGAGGAAGUGUAUAUGUCCCAGCCUAAGGGUUUCGUGGAUCCAGCACACCCCCACUUUGUCUGUAAGCUUCAUAAAUCCAUCUACGGGUUAAAACAAGCUCCUCGCGCCUGGUUCCAUCGUCUGUCCACUGCCCUGUUGGCUCUCGGUUUUCACAGUUCCCAGGUUGAUCCUUCGUUAUUUACCUAUCACUUACAGAACAUCCAUGCAUUUCUGUUAGUCUAUGUGGAUGACAUUCUCGUUACCUCUAAUGAUCAGAAUUUUGUUAGCAGUCUUAUAUCUCAACUCCAAGUUGAGUUUGCUAUGAAGGAUCUCGGGCAGUUAACAUAUUUUUUGGGCAUUCAGGCUACACGAACUUCUACUGGUUUACAUCUUCGACAAACAAGGUAUAUUAUAGAUCUUCUGGAUCNNNNNNNNNNNNNNNNNNNNNNNNNNNNNNNNNNNNNNNNNNNNNNNNNNNNNNNNNNNNNNNNNNNNNNNNNNNNNNNNNNNNNNNNNNNNNNNNNNNNNNNNNNNNNNNNNNNNNNNNNNNNNNNNNNNNNNNNNNNNNNNNNNNNNNNNNNNNNNNNNNNNNNNNNNNNNNGUCAACACCUGCAAGCACCAACCUCUGCUCAUUGGACAGCUGCCAAACAUGUGUUGCGAUAUUUAAAACAUACACUUGAUCAUGGACUCUUCUACAAACCUGGCUCCUUUGGCAUCAAUGCCUAUUGUGAUUCUGAUUGGGCUGGUGAUCCUGAUGACAGACGUUCCACUUGUGGUUAUGGUGUUUUUGUUGGACACAAUCUUAUCUCCUGGUCAGCUAAGAAACAACCAGUGGUCUCCAAGUCCAGUACUGAAGCUGAAUACCGAUGUUUGGCUCUUGUCACUGCAGAGGUGUAUUGGUUGCGAAUGCUAUUGCGUGAGCUGCAGGUUUCUCUUGCUUCUGCUCCAGUAGUAUGGUGUGAUAACAUCAGUGCCUUAGCUCUUGCCUCAAAUCCAAUAUUUCAUGCCCGAUCCAAACACAUUGAAGUGGAUUAUCACUUUGUCCGAGAAAAGGUGGCCAACAAAGACAUCCUUCUUCAACACGUUCCCACCUCUCUACAACCUGCAGAUAUAUUUACUAAGGGACAUACAGCUGACCGAUUCUGCUUUCUCCGAGAUAAACUUGCUAUAACAGAUCUCCCUGCCAGCUUAUGGGGGAAUGAUAAGGAUAAAGCUUAUGUUAAUGAUAAAGAUAAACCUCAGCAUGCAGAGGCUGCCGAAAGACAUUGAGUUCUAGUGCAAUUGUAUUACAACUUUGAUUCCUGCUUAUCCUUAGCUUCCUUUUUGUAUCAAAACACUUGUAAUUAACGAUGNNNNNNNNNNNNNNNNNNNNNNNNNNNNNNNNNNNNNNNNNNNNNNNNNNNNNNNNNNNNNNNNNNNNNNNNNNNNNNNNNNNNNNNNNNNNNNNNNNNNNNNNNNNNNNNNNNNNNNNNNNNNNNNNNNNNNNNNNNNNNNNNNNNNNNNNNNNNNNNNNNNNNNNNNNNNNNNNNNNNNNNNNNNNNNNNNNNNNNNNNNNNNNNNNNNNNNNNNNNNNNNNNNNNNNNNNNNNNNNNNNNNNNNNNNNNNNNNNNNNNNNNNNNNNNNNNNNNNNNNNNNNNNNNNNNNNNNNNNNNNNNNNNNNNNNNNNNNNNNNNNNNNNNNNNNNNNNNNNNNNNNNNNNNNNNNNNNNNNNNNNNNNNNNNNNNNNNNNNNNNNNNNNNNNNNNNNNNNNNNNNNNNNNNNNNNNNNNNNNNNNNNNNNNNNNNNNNNNNNNNNNNNNNNNNNNNNNNNNNNNNNNNNNNNNNNNNNNNNNNNNNNNNNNNNNNNNNNNNNNNNNNNNNNNNNNNNNNNNNNNNNNNNNNNNNNNNNNNNNNNNNNNNNNNNNNNNNNNNNNNNNNNNNNNNNNNNNNNNNNNNNNNNNNNNNNNNNNNNNNNNNNNNNNNNNNNNNNNNNNNNNNNNNNNNNNNNNNNNNNNNNNNNNNNNNNNNNNNNNNNNNNNNNNNNNNNNNNNNNNNNNNNNNNNNNNNNNNNNNNNNNNNNNNNNNNNNNNNNNNNNNNNNNNNNNNNNNNNNNNNNNNNNNNNNNNNNNNNNNNNNNNNNNNNNNNNNNNNNNNNNNNNNNNNNNNNNNNNNNNNNNNNNNNNNNNNNNNNNNNNNNNNNNNNNNNNNNNNNNNNNNNNNNNNNNNNNNNNNNNNNNNNNNNNNNNNNNNNNNNNNNNNNNNNNNNNNNNNNNNNNNNNNNNNNNNNNNNNNNNNNNNNNNNNNNNNNNNNNNNNNNNNNNNNNNNNNNNNNNNNNNNNNNNNNNNNNNNNNNNNNNNNNNNNNNNNNNNNNNNNNNNNNNNNNNNNNNNNNNNNNNNNNNNNNNNNNNNNNNNNNNNNNNNNNNNNNNNNNNNNNNNNNNNNNNNNNNNNNNNNNNNNNNNNNNNNNNNNNNNNNNNNNNNNNNNNNNNNNNNNNNNNNNNNNNNNNNNNNNNNNNNNNNNNNNNNNNNNNNNNNNNNNNNNNNNNNNNNNNNNNNNNNNNNNNNNNNNNNNNNNNNNNNNNNNNNNNNNNNNNNNNNNNNNNNNNNNNNNNNNNNNNNNNNNNNNNNNNNNNNNNNNNNNNNNNNNNNNNNNNNNNNNNNNNNNNNNNNNNNNNNNNNNNNNNNNNNNNNNNNNNNNNNNNNNNNNNNNNNNNNNNNNNNNNNNNNNNNNNNNNNNNNNNNNNNNNNNNNNNNNNNNNNNNNNNNNNNNNNNNNNNNNNNNNNNNNNNNNNNNNNNNNNNNNNNNNNNNNNNNNNNNNNNNNNNNNNNNNNNNNNNNNNNNNNNNNNNNNNNNNNNNNNNNNNNNNNNNNNNNNNNNNNNNNNNNNNNNNNNNNNNNNNNNNNNNNNNNNNNNNNNNNNNNNNNNNNNNNNNNNNNNNNNNNNNNNNNNNNNNNNNNNNNNNNNNNNNNNNNNNNNNNNNNNNNNNNNNNNNNNNNNNNNNNNNNNNNNNNNNNNNNNNNNNNNNNNNNNNNNNNNNNNNNNNNNNNNNNNNNNNNNNNNNNNNNNNNNNNNNNNNNNNNNNNNNNNNNNNNNNNNNNNNNNNNNNNNNNNNNNNNNNNNNNNNNNNNNNNNNNNNNNNNNNNNNNNNNNNNNNNNNNNNNNNNNNNNNNNNNNNNNNNNNNNNNNNNNNNNNNNNNNNNNNNNNNNNNNNNNNNNNNNNNNNNNNNNNNNNNNNNNNNNNNNNNNNNNNNNNNNNNNNNNNNNNNNNNNNNNNNNNNNNNNNNNNNNNNNNNNNNNNNNNNNNNNNNNNNNNNNNNNNNNNNNNNNNNNNNNNNNNNNNNNNNNNNNNNNNNNNNNNNNNNNNNNNNNNNNNNNNNNNNNNNNNNNNNNNNNNNNNNNNNNNNNNNNNNNNNNNNNNNNNNNNNNNNNNNNNNNNNNNNNNNNNNNNNNNNNNNNNNNNNNNNNNNNNNNNNNNNNNNNNNNNNNNNNNNNNNNNNNNNNNNNNNNNNNNNNNNNNNNNNNNNNNNNNNNNNNNNNNNNNNNNNNNNNNNNNNNNNNNNNNNNNNNNNNNNNNNNNNNNNNNNNNNNNNNNNNNNNNNNNNNNNNNNNNNNNNNNNNNNNNNNNNNNNNNNNNNNNNNNNNNNNNNNNNNNNNNNNNNNNNNNNNNNNNNNNNNNNNNNNNNNNNNNNNNNNNNNNNNNNNNNNNNNNNNNNNNNNNNNNNNNNNNNNNNNNNNNNNNNNNNNNNNNNNNNNNNNNNNNNNNNNNNNNNNNNNNNNNNNNNNNNNNNNNNNNNNNNNNNNNNNNNNNNNNNNNNNNNNNNNNNNNNNNNNNNNNNNNNNNNNNNNNNNNNNNNNNNNNNNNNNNNNNNNNNNNNNNNNNNNNNNNNNNNNNNNNNNNNNNNNNNNNNNNNNNNNNNNNNNNNNNNNNNNNNNNNNNNNNNNNNNNNNNNNNNNNNNNNNNNNNNNNNNNNNNNNNNNNNNNNNNNNNNNNNNNNNNNNNNNNNNNNNNNNNNNNNNNNNNNNNNNNNNNNNNNNNNNNNNNNNNNNNNNNNNNNNNNNNNNNNNNNNNNNNNNNNNNNNNNNNNNNNNNNNNNNNNNNNNNNNNNNNNNNNNNNNNNNNNNNNNNNNNNNNNNNNNNNNNNNNNNNNNNNNNNNNNNNNNNNNNNNNNNNNNNNNNNNNNUAGAAAUGCUGAGCUGACUACCAUAAUGCUCAUAGUAGGGUGCCUUGAAUGUAUUGGCGAACAAAGUCACCAUCUCCGUUUCUAUCAAAGGAGGUUGCACAUGAGUGGCCUCGUCCCUCCAUCUUUGCGCAUAAGCCUUUACUGACUCUUGGCUUCUCUUUUCCAUUGACAUAAGGCUUGUUCGAUCUGGAGCAAUUUCCAAAUUGAACUUGUAUUGCUUAAGGAAAGCCUCCACUAAAUCCUUCCAUUUCUUAAUCCUGGUAUUAUCCAGCCUCAUGUACCAACUUAGCGCCGACCCCGAUAGACUGUCUUGGAAAAAGUAGAUCAGUAACUUAUCGUCAUGAAUCACCUCAGCCAUCUUAUUGCAAUAAGAUCGAAGGUGAGUGUUUGGGCAUUCCAACCCAGUGUACCUUAUAAACUCCGGUAUCCUAAAAUCUUUUGGUACCGUGAUGUUUGGCACCAAGCAUAUUUCAGACGCUCGCAUGGGGUCAAACCAGUCAUUUCCCUCGACUGCUCUUAACCUUUCUUCCAAGGCUGAUAUCUUGUCAUUGUUCAUAAAUCCAUUGGACCUAUUAUCGGAAGGCCCAUCUACAGUGAUGUGAGCUUGAGGGGGCUGAAUGGGAAUGGCAGGCGCAAAUUGCUGCCCCGUCACUGAAUCUGCCCCCAAGUUCUGAGAUACCCCCGGGACAUGAACUGACGGUGCUCCUAUAGGUGGUUGGGUAGACGUUCCCUCCCCGUUCUUGGCUCUUAAGAGUUGCUCAAGCAGAUUGGUCAGUCGAGAAACUUCAUUUUUCACAGAUUCCAACUCGGUCUGGUAGUGCGACUCUAAGUGAGCUCUUUCUUCGUUUUCCAUUCUUGAUCUGGACCGGGUUUGGUGGACUCUGGAUGUGGGACCUAUGUUUCACGAUCUGGAAUGCAUAUGAUGAAUUAAAAACAAAAUGUGUGAUGAAAAUAUGAUGCUCAUGCAAUGUAUAUUUUAGAGCCGACUCAUGACUUUCGUAAUCCUUUAGGCAAGAUUUCUGAGUUGACCCGAUUACUGUAAAGGAGGGUUUGCCAAGUUCUUUAUCAUAGUAGCUUACCAAAACAUAUUUAGAAAGAAAGAUAGGUCAUGCCUUCUUAUAAAUAGAAGAAGCUCAUACAUUGAUAACAGAACAUGGCGUUAUACAUUGCUAUCCUUAAAAGGCAUUUCCUCUAUUAGCUAAGUCCCCAAUAAAACAGGUGAUGGCCGCCAUAUAUUCUCGAUACUUUGAAGCAUCAUUUCCCACUUGAGUAGCUUGUCGUUGCAACCUUUCCGCAUAACGGGCUGCUUGCUCGACCUGCUUCGUUAUAUGCCUUAUCUUAUCAUGGAACACAGUGUUAUCUGCAAUUAUCACUUCGUUGCUGGCUCCUAGGGCUUCAUUACUUCUUUCCAACACUCGAACCAUAUCAUCCGACCGGGCCAACUUAUCCCUUACCCUCUGCAGUUCUUCCUUUUUGAUAUCCAGCUCGGCUAUUUUGGAGUUAAUUUGGACCGUAAAGCUGUCCAUGUAGCCUUGACAUUCUUGACGCUCUUGCUUAGCCUUACUGAGCUCCUCUUCCAUCUCGAAGUAACGGCUUCUUAUCUCUUUUAACUCUUCUUCUCGCAUCUCGAUUUCCGAUUGUAAAGCCAUCAUCCUUCCUUUUGAAGACUCGGCUCUUUUCUGGUAAUCUCUCAUAUCAGACUCUGCAGCCUUUCUUGAACUUCUCUCUUCCUCCAGUUGCAUCAUAUAUUGAGCUCUGAUCCUUCUUUCCUCUUCUAUGUCGAGAUGGGCUAACCGAUUUUUCUCUUUUUCAACUUAUACUUUCUUUACAAGAAUGCUCCUUCCUUUUUUCAAGGAAUCCACCAUCUCCUUAUCGACACUCAUCUUGCCUUUGGUAGAUCUUUUAACCUUAGCCAACUCUUUUUGUGUGAGCCCGUUUUUGUUAGACAGCUCAUCAUACUCGGUUAUUCGAUUCCUUAACUCAGCCUGGACCGCUUUUGCUAUUUCUUCAGCUACCUCGGCCCUUUUCUGCCAUUCCUUUUAAGAUGUCAAUUGUUUAUCCUGUUUUUCCAACUGCUGGUNNNNNNNNNNNNNNNNNNNNNNNNNNNNNNNNNNNNNNNNNNNNNNNNNNNNNNNNNNNNNNNNNNNNNNNNNNNNNNNNNNNNNNNNNNNNNNNNNNNNAAAGAGAGUGAGUCUAGCAUGAAAGAGUUGGGGAAUCUCUCACAUUUAAGGAAAAAACUUUCUAUUUGGAAUCUCAGAGAUGUUGCAAAUGCUCAAGAUGCUUUGGGUGCCAAUUUGAAGGGUAAGAAGAAGAUUGAGGAGUUGAGGUUGACAUGGGAUGGCAAUACGGAUGACACACAACACGAGAGAUAUGUACUUGAAAAAUUGGAGCCUUCUGAAAAUGUGAAACAGCUUGUCAUUACUGGUUACGGGGGUACAACGUUUCCAGGCUGGCUCGGAAAGUCUUCUUUCUCAAAUAUGGUACAGUUGACACUUUCUGGAUGUAAGAACUGCAUCUUCUUACCACCAUUGGGGCAGCUGCCAUCUCUAGAAGAGCUCCAAAUUGAAGGAUUUGAUGAAGUCAUGGCAGUCUGCUCUGAGUUCUAUGGAAGUGACCCUUCGAUGGAGAAGCCAUUUAAAUCCCUUAAAAUAUUAAAGUUCAAGGGGAUGAAAAAAUGGCAGGAAUGGAAUACAAAUGUAGCUGGUGCUUUCCCUCAUCUUGCAAAGCUCUUGAUAGCAGGUUGUCCCGAGUUAACAAAUGGCUUGCCUAAUCACCUUCCUUGUUUAUGGAUGCUUUCUAUUCGAGAAUGUCCACAGCUUGUGGUUUCAAUUCCAGAGGCUCCCCUGCUCACCGAAAUCAAUGUAUCUGAGGGCGAUGAAAGUCGUAUAAUUGGAAUAUCCAGUCAUAGGCUUGUGCAAUAUAGACGAGAUCCCCAGCUAAAGGGAAUGGAGCAAAUGAGUCAUUUGGAUCCCUCUUCUUUCACUGAUAUCAAAAUCGAGGGAUGUAGUUCAUUUAAGUGCUGCCAGCUAGACCUUUUACCCCAGGUAUCCACACUUACCAUUGAACAUUGUCUCAAUAUCGAAUCCCUUUGUAUAGGCGAGAGACCUGUCCCUGCUCUCUGUCGUCUGACAAUCAGACACUGUCCUAAUUUGGUGUCUUUCCCCAAAGGAGGACUAGCUGCCCCAGAUUUGACAAGCCUUGUGUUAGAGGGUUGCUUAUAUUUGAAGUCUUUGCCAGAAAACAUGCAUUCCCUCCUCCCUUCCCUUGAGGAUUUGCAAUUGAUCUCACUUCCAGAAGUUGAUUCGUUUCCCGAAGGAGGUUUACCCUCCAAAUUAAACACACUUUGCAUUGUGGAUUGUAUCAAACUCAAGGUAUGUGGUUUGCAAGCACUCCCUUCUCUUUCAUGCUUCAGAUUUACUGGGAACGAUGUGGAGUCUUUUGACGAGGAGACGUUGCCCACUACUCUUACAACCCUUAAAAUCAAACGUCUGGGAAAUCUGAAGUCUCUGGAGUAUAAGGGGCUUCAUCACCUUACCUCUCUUAGGAAAUUGAGUAUCCAGAGUUGCCCUAAGCUUGAGUCCAUAUCAGAGCAGGCGCUUCCCUCCUCCCUUGAAUACCUUCAUCUCAGGACACUGGAAUCUCUGGACUAUGCUGUGCUUCAGCACAUCACCUCUCUUCGCAAAUUGAAGAUCUGGAGUUGUCCAAAGCUUGCAUCGUUGCAGGGGCUGCCAUCCUCCCUUGAAUGCCUUCAAUUAUGGGAUCAGCGAGGUCGGGACUACAAGGAGCUUCAGCACCUCACCUCUCUUCGCACAUUGAUUCUCAAGAGUCCUAAGCUGGAGUCCCUUCCAGAAGACAUGCUUCCCUCCUCCCUUGAAAACCUUGAAAUCUUGAAUCUUGAAGAUCUGGAAUAUAAGGGGCUUCGGCACCUCACCUCCCUUCGUAAAUUACGUAUCUCUAGUUCUCCCAAGCUUGAGUCCGUGCCAGGUGAGGGGCUGCCCUCCUCCCUUGUAUCUCUUCAAAUCUCAGAUCUCAGAAAUCUUAAAUCUCUGAACUAUAUGGGGCUUCAACACUUCACCUCUCUUCGCAAAUUGAUGAUCUCGCAUUCUCCUAAGCUUGAGUCCAUGCCAGAAGAAGGGCUGCCCUCCUCUCUUGAAUAUCUUAAGAUCACCGAUUGUCCUUUGCUGGCCACAAGGUGUGAAAGGGAGACGGGGGAAGAUUGGCCCAGAAUUUCUCACAUCCGCUGUAUGAGAGAUUAUAAUUAGAGGAUGAAGAAUAUGCAAUAACACUCUCCUGUCAUUUGCCUAACGUGCUCAGGAUUUUACUACAUUCUCAGCCUUGCAUCUGCUUUGUUUUAAAUUCUAUUUUUGGAGACUGGCAUUUUCACAACCACAGAUCUUCACCGCACAGCCCAUCACGACCUUAGGUAGAGAUAGGUUCCCAACAAUUUGUUCAAAAACAAAGGCGGGCAUAAACAGAUCCCAUCUUAAGCCGUGCAUAAUUUACAGUGAAUCAGCAAAUGCCAGCCCAAGAUCAUAAUUCCUGUUUUCUUAUUCUUUUCUGUUGAGGUUUAAAGUAAUUUGAGAUUCUGUAUUCAAAGCAGAGUUAUUAAGAAAUAAAAACAAGAAGAAUAAUAGUGAUCUUGCUAACAUUGUAUAUCAGUUAUUACUUGGUAAUUCACUGGGAUUUUAUGAGAUAUUUAAAAGAAAAACGUUGAUCAGAAUAUUUAGCAGUGCUUAAUACUAAAAGCAUUAUAUUCGUGAUGGCUGUAUGUUCAGGAUUAAACUCGAUAGAUGGCCUAUGCCCAGGAUGAAAUGAGGAUGAUGGCAAAGUGAAAAGAAAAGGUAAAACCUGAAAGAGAUGACUGCUGGCCAACGAUGCAGCAUUUCAGAAAUCAGGACAUCCAAAAUGAUAUAUUUGAUCCCAGUGCAAGCAACAGAUCCAGAGAUCUUGACAGAGUCGGAUGUUUGCUUGCCUGUGUUUUUAUACUUGGAACUCUGUAUUGCCACCUUUUCGCAAACUACAAGAUUUGUAAUUUGCACCAAAUUUAAUCUUUAACUUGAUUGCCGAGACAAAGCUCAAGCAGGCUUGAUUUGUAAUGCUCAUAUUCCUGAAGGAUGUUUUUCUUAAAAUAAUUAUGGAAUCGCCACUUGCAUCGUUAAAAAAACAAUAUAGCAAAAUUCUCAGUAAAAGAAAGUUGAGGCAUGAAACUCAAAAAAAAAAAAAACAACAAAAAAUAUCCAUGUCAAUCACAUGACCAUAGACAUGUAAUUUAAAUAAUCUUAUAAAAAAAAAGCAAAAAAAAACACUAAAACUAAUUCCAUAAACUUUAAAUAUUAAAAAAUAAAAUUAAAAAAAAAUUAAUUUUAUAAAAAAGACUUGAAGAAACCAAAAUCAACCCGUGCAAAUCAUGGCUCAAUAAUAAAAAAAAAAAGCUAAGUGAUGAAAUCUUAAAAAAAACCAAUAAAAAGAGAUUCAAAACAGAAUAAACAUGAGUAAAAAAUAACGAUCAAAUUCAACAUUAAAAAAAAAUCAAAUAAUGAGAAAUAAAAUCAAAACAAUAUCUAAUUAGAUGAAGGAUUAAAAAAUAUCAAAAGAAAACUUGUCAAUUUUGAUAUAAAAAUAAAAUAAAAUGAUUAGAGAUAAAUAACAAUAAAUACUAUUUUUAUAAAAUAAAAAUAAAAAACAUUAAAAAAAAUCAAUAAAAAAUAUUCAAAACAGAACAAAUAACAAUUAAAAACGUGUAAUAUAAAUGUUUACCGCACAUAACAACCAUUGAUUCCAAACAAAACUCGAAAAUAAAAAAACAGGACACCUGCAGUUAUCAGGUCCGGAACUACCUGAAAGGCAGAACUGCACAUGCCAAAUUAAUCUUACCCAUAGCAAAAUUCAAAUAUGGAAAUCAUAAAGAGAAAUAUAAUUUAAUGAUUGGUUUCAAUGGCAAGUGGAUAAGCAAAAAAUAUUCAAAUAUAGAAAUCAUAAAAUAGAGCAACGAAAGGACAAAAAUCGAUCAAAAAACCCUGACUGAAAGAAGAAACAACACACCUUCGCCUCGUGUGUUCUCCAUCGGUUUGUUCAAGAAAAAAAGGACAAGAACUGCAGCAUUACCACCUCCAUCCUCUCUCAGUAGCUUCUUCUUCUCCAAUGUGCCUACCUUUUUGGUUCUUACAUGUUUUAUGCCUCCUCUCCCUCUUCUGAAGCAUGACUACAAGUGAAGAAAACAACUCUAAUCCCACCCAAGAACAAUGCUUUAAUACUAAAUUUAAUACGAGACAAGAGAUUUAAAGUUAAAGAAAAAAGAUGAAGAAGAAAAAGCCAAAAAAAGAGAAGAAAAAGCUGAUCAAAUACUAAAACCCUAUUUUGAACAAGCAAUUAAGCUUAUAGCUUAUUAAAUAAAAUACCUAAUAAUAAUUAAAUCAAACUCAAAAAAUAAAAUCUAUUUAAUAAAUCCUAACUAAAAAUUCAAAUAAAUAAAACUAAAAUAUAAAAUAAAACUCAUUCUCUCAAUAGGUUGGAUUUCCUAUCAUUUAUAUUCUAUGAUUACGCAAAUAUGUCAAAAGAAGGUUGCACCUUCAGCCGUUUAACCUUUAAGAAGAAGUGAAAAGAAAUGGUAGAAGCAGACAUCAGGGUUAUCCAAAAUGCUCUAUUUGAUCCCCCAUCCAAGCAACAAAUCCACAGCCAUCACAGAGAUCUUGUCCACUUCUUUUGCCUUCCUUCUCUUACUUUUGUAGCUAUUUUUUUCUACUUCUUUCUACUAUCCAUUCUAGAGCUAUAGAUUCUUAUAUUGUACAGAGAAUUUGAGUCUAGUUUUUGAACAGUUCAUAAGCCUCGAUCCAUUUUGUGAAUUUUCAAGGUGGUGAUGUUAUAAUUUCAAAAAACUAUUUGCAUGCACAUAGUUAUAGAAAAUUUACCUAUCACAAUCUUUAAAUAAUCUUUUUAUCUCUUUCUAAAGACAUUUAACCAUUUAAUUUAUAAAUACGCAAAACAUGUUUAAAAACCAACUUUCACACCCUAAAAUCAACACUUGUAAUCAUUGCUUAUGCAUUUGCAAUACCAUGCCAAAGCCAAAUCAAUCUUACUCAUAGCAAGAAUGAAAACAAAAUAAAAUAAAAUAGAAACAACACCAAAAACAUCCUUUAUUCAUUAUUAAAGAUCUCCUCAUGAACAAAACAGAAGAACAAAGUGAAAAAAAUAUUGGUUUCAAUGGAAAAAUGCAUAAGCAAAAAAUAACCAAAUACGGAAAUCAUAAAGAGAGCAACGAAAGGACAAAAAUCGAUCAAAAAACCCUUACUAAAAGAAGAAACAACACACCUUCGCCUCAUGUGUUCUCCAUCGAUUUGUUCAAGAAAAAAAGAGACAAGAACUGCAGCAUCACCAUCUCUAUCCUCUCUCAGUAGCUUCUUCUUCUCCAAUGUGCCUACCUUUUUGGUUCUCACAUGUUCUAUGCCUCCUCUCCCUCUUCUAAAUCAUGACUACAAGUGAGGAAAACAACUCUAAUCCCACCCAAGAACAAUGCUCUAAUACCAAAUUUGAUACGAGACAAAAGAGAUUUAAAGUUAAAGAAGAGAGAAAAGAAAGGGAAGUCAACGAAAGAGAAGAAAAAGCUUAUCAUAUACUAAAAUCCAAACUAGAACAAGCAAUUAAGUUUAUAGUCUACUAAAUAAAAUACUCAACAAUAAUUAAAUCAAACCCAAUAAAUAAUAUCUAAUUAAUACAUUUCACCUAAAAGUUCAAAUAAAUUAAAUUAAAACAUAAGCUAAAGCUCAUUCUCUUAAUGAUUUGGACUACCUUCUAUCAUUUAUGAUCAUAUAAAUGCAUAUUUCGAGUCCAUAUCCCCACUAUUUUUUCAUCUUUGGUGGAAACAAAAAGAGGUGCAUAUGUUUUUGUUAGGCAAAUUUUUUUUUCCUGCCCUGAAAUAAGAAAAAGAAGGUUGCACCUUUAGCCUUUUAACCUUUAAGAAGAAGUGAAAAUAAAAUGUAGAAGCAGACAUCAUGAAUAUCCAAAAUGCUAUAUUUAAUCCCUGGUCCAAGCAACAGAUCCAGAGCUAUUACAGAUAUCUUGUCCACUUCUUUUGCGACCCUUCUCUUACUUUUCUAGCUAUUUUUUCCUACUUUUUUCUACUAUCCAUUCUAGAGCUUCGGAUUCUUAUAUUGUACAGAGAAUUUGAGUCUAGUUUUUUAACGGUUCAUAAACCUCGAUCCAUCAUGCAAUUUCUCAAGAUGAUGUUGUUAUAAUUUCAAAAAACUAUUUACAGAAGAUUUAUCUUCAAGGACAAGAGUUAAAUCCUUAAUAGCAACGUUUAUAUUCCCCACUUUUCAUCCAAAUUUCUUUAACAAGUAAGUCAUAUUUACUUUGUUAUUAUAUUUAUGUCAUCUAGAUUAAUACUAGUUAGGUGGUCUGUGCUACACCGCAGGCCAACGUUUUAUUUUCAUAAAAAAUAUCAAAAAAAUAUAAGACCCAUGAGCGUUGGGUUUGACUGCAACACCGGAUCUAAGAGCGUCGAGUUUGGUUGUAACGCCAAACCCAACAAUAAUAUUUAUAAUAUAAAUAAUAAUAUUUAACUUGUCUUCCUAAAUUCUUAUAUUUUUAAAUCUUUUUUAAAAAAAUUAUGGUUUUGCUACAAUAGUAUUAUUUUAAAUUUAUCAAUGAUAAUAAUAACAAUAAUGAUAAUAAUAAUAAUAAUAAUUAUUAUAAUUAUAAUUUUUAAUUUUACCCUUCAAAUCAAAUCUAUGAUUGUUUUUCAAUAUUAAUAAUAUUUGUUUUUCAAAUUUAUUAAUAAUAUUAAUUAUAAUAAAAAUAAUAACAUUUAUAAUACAAAUAAUAAUAUUUAUAAUAUUAAAACUAUUAAAUAUAAUAAAAAUAAUAAUAUUUAUAACACAAAUAAUAAUAUUUAGAAACCUAAGACCUAUUAGCGUUGGGACCUGACGCCGGACCCAAGAGAAUUGGGUCCUGACACAAGACCCAUUACUGUUGGGUCCUGACGCAGGACCCAUCAACCUUGAGUAUUGAAGCCGGACCCAAGAUAAUUAGGUCUUGAUACAGGUCCCAAGAAAGUUGAGUUGUGACGCAGGACCCAAUAGCCUUAGGUCCUGACGCCAUACCCAAGAGAAUUGGGUUUUGACACAGCAACUUGGAUGAGGCGUUCCAGCCGCAGGUUUUUUGGGUCUCGAAAGGGAUGUCUGACCCAAAUUAACAACAAUAAUGAUUGAUUUUACCCUUAAAAUCAAAUCUAUGUUUUUUUUUAUAUAUUAAUAAUAUUUAUUUUAAUUUUAAUAAUAUUAAUGAAUUGAAUAAUAUUUAUAAUAUUAAUAAUAAUAUUUAACUUGACUGCCCAAGUUUUUAUAUUUUUUAAUCUCUUUAAAAAAAAUGAUGGUUUUUCUUCGAUGGUAAUAAUAUUUUUUAAAAUUUACUAACAACAACAACAACAAUAAUAAUUUUACCCUUCAAAUCAAAUAUAUAUAUUUUUUUCAAUAUUAAUAAUAUUUUUUACAAAUUUAUUAAUUAUUAUAUUAAUUAUAAUCAAAGUAAUAAUACCCCAGGUGCGAGGGUCUGCACCCAUCACGCGGUUCUGCAGACCCAGGCUCGCGGGCCUACAGACUCGCUCUCCUGGGUCUGCAGUCAAUGCAGGGGUUUGACCCUAGCUUCCAGGGCAGACAGGCAGCCCCAACGCCAGGUGUUUGCAGCCCCACCAUACCCCACCAAAACUUGCACUGACUGUUUUCUCUCAAACCAUCAUUUCAAUGUCAAAUGCCUCCCAAUAAAAAGACAACCCCACACUCCCCCUGUAAUCUUUGCAACUCUAUGUGACAAGAGCAAUUUUGUUAUUACACUGCUUUAAUUUACAGUACUUUGUAUUUAGGUAAACAGUAACAGGAACACUAAACCUUUUUAGUAUAUUAUAUAAUAAUUUUACUGUCAGUUCUAUUUAUGUGCUUGAUAAAGUUAUUUAAUUUAGUUAUGUAAUUAUAUUUAUCCUAUACAUUUAUUAGUUGUUAUACAUGAAAUAUAUUUUAAUCAUGUCACAUUAAAUAAAACAUUAGCAUUCAUAUGCUAACAAUUGCAGCUCAAGAAGAGAAGCCGCGAAUGAUAGAGUUGUGCUUGGUUUUUCUCAAUAUAUCGUAGUCCAUUUUGGUUGUUAACGUAGUCCAUAAGCUUAAGAAGAGAAGAGAAGCUAUGUGUUUGUUAAUAUAUCAUUGCUUCUAUAAUAAUUCAUCCCUAAGCUGAUGCUGAUGCUGAUGCUGAUGCUGCCUAAGAUUAAUAGUAGAGAUGCUAUGUGUUUGUUAACGUAGUCCAUAAGCUUUUGCAAAAUAACAUUUGGGUUGGAGAAUGCUUUAUUCAUAUGUAAAAACCAUUAAAAGAUAUUAAUUUAAAUAAAAAAACAUUAAUUCAAAGCUUUUCCAUACAAAACAUACUUUGAAAUUCACUUUAUAAAUAUCAUAUUGUCGAAAUUAAUAGUGAAAGAUCUACGUACUCAACCAUGAUUUUAAAAGUUUUCCUUGACGAACAUGCCACGUCACUUAGCCAAGAAAAUACGAUGUUGCAGGGCAAUCUUUAAAACUUAUUUUUAUUUAAUUACGUGGUAAUUAAGAUAAAUACUUGUAGGAAUUCUAACAAUUUAAAUUAUGGAGAAUAAACUUAUUCAUUGUUCAAUAAACACUGUGAUUUGUUAGUAUAUGCACAGUGCUGUUUUAUGUACAGAAAAGGGAGCCAUGUUUUAGUUUAUAUAAUGCGUUUGUACCAUGUUUUCAAAAAAUUAAUAAUUUUUUUUAUUAAAAUUUAAUAUAAUUUAUAUAUUUUAAAUUGUUUUGAUAUGCUGAUAUCAAAAAUAAUUUUUAAAAUAUUAUUAAUAUACAUUUUAAUACAAAAAAUUAUUUAAAAAGCAAUGAUUACUAUACUACCAAGCACUCUCUAUUAUUACUAUUUCAUGAGAAGCUAAUUCAGUUCCCAUGAGAAGCAAAAGAUUGUGUACAAAGUUUUUUAUAAUGACAUUUUGUAUUUUAUUUUUUUGUUUUAAAAGAAAUUAAAACUUUUUAAUUUUCUUUUAAAAUAAUUUUUUUAUAUUCGAAUGUUGUUUGAAUAUAUCAAUUUUAAAAAAUAAAAAAUAUAUUAUUUAAAAAUAUUUUAAAAACAAUUGUAUUUUUGCAGAAAAACCAGCUAUAAAUUAACAUUUUUAGCCGGUGAUGGUGGCGGGCAAUCCUGCCCCUGACAGUGACGGGCAAUCCUGCCCGUCAUUUCAGUGUGACCCCAGAUGAAAACAUUUCACUUUUUUUAAUUACUGAAAAUUUAACCGUUCAUUUGCUAAUUUCUUGAAUAAUUCAAUGGAUGCUGAAAUUAAAGAUUCUUGGCUUACAAAUUUUCACUUCAAAGUGCAAAGCUAUAAAAUCCUCCAUCGAUUUUGAAUUACAAAUCAUAAGCAAUGUUGUACAAACCUAAACCUAAAUUAAAAAAUCAAACAAAUAAGUUUGGUGUUUUCUAAAAAUAUUUUUUAUUUAAAAAUAUAUCAAAAUUUAUUUUUAAAAUUUUUAUUUUAUUUUUAAUACCAACCCAUCAAAACUAUUAAAAAAUAUUAAUUUAAUAUUUUUUAAAACUAAAUAUAUUUUUAAAAUGCACCUAAAUAUAGUUUAAACCCGGACUGUCUCAAAUCCCUUAACUUAACCUUGAAUUUUUUUAGCAAUUAAUUGUCCCAACAAAAAUAUAUUAACUAAUUGAUCCUCCCACUAAUAUAUAAUAUGAAUAACUAGUACUUUUAAUAAUGCCAAUAAUAAUAAUAAUAAUAAUUAUUAUAGUGAUAUCUUUUUUAAUAAUAAAAAAUAAUAUUAUUUAUAAUAAUAAUAAUAAUAAUUUUUUAUGGCUCCUGCUUUCUACUACUCUUUUUCUCUCACAUAUUCCCACCCUCACCCUUUCUGCAAAAAUCCACCAUGGCUCUGGAGUUGAUCGGCGGAUCAAUUCUCUCUCCUGUCAUUCAGGUUGUUUUCGACAGGUUGGCAUCUCGUGAGGUCCUGGGCUUCUUCAAAAGCCACAAGCUCGAUGAUGGCCGUCGUCUGGAAAAGCUGAAUGAAACACUGAAUACUGUCAACGGACUACUCGACGAUGCGGAGGAGAAGCAGAUUACAAAUCGUGCUGUGAAGAACUGGCUUAAUGAUGUUAAACACGCUGUCUUUGAAGCUGAGGACAUAUCGGAGGAGAUUGAUUAUGAAUAUCUACGAUCCAAGGACAUUGAUGCCCCUCGACCUGACAGCAAUUGGGUAAGCAUAAGUUCUUGCACCUAUAGACCUUGCUUCCUCAUAAAAUGUUUGUAUUGAUCCCUCUAUUUGUUUGUUUUUUUUUUAAAUCCAAAAUGCUAUAUUUUUAAAAUCAAGAAUUAUUUAUAUAAAUUUUGUCAAUUAUAUAUAUAAUAAUCACCGAGAAUUAUGCACUGAUUUUUUAUUAGCACAAUUAUAAAUUCAAAUGAUAUUUUAUAUAUGAAAGGUUCAUAUCUUUGUUUUAAAUAUUAAAAAUAUAUACUUUACUUUUAAAUUGUUAAACAAUUAUUUUUGGAAAUAAAAUUAUUUUUCCAUUUUUAUUUUAGACAAAAAAUUAAUUUCGUUAUAUUUAUAAAUAUAAUAUAAUAUAAUAUAAUAAGUGCUAUGAAAAUCACUAGUGACAUUCAAUCAAUAUUUUUUUAAAACUUGAAUUUACUGCUUACAUUAAGUUAGCAUCAACAAUUGUAAAUUCUUGAAAAAGAUCUGUAGAAAAAAAAAUGUUUACAUUAAGUUAGCGUCAACAAUUUAAUGGCAUUAACUUAUUAAUUCACUAGAUGUAAAAAUCUUAAUGAUUAUGUUUUGAUAUUAUAAAAUUAUAAUGUUUUCCUGAAUUCUAUCUCACAUAUUCAGUCCACCAUGGCAGGUAAGGAAUCUGGUUCGACUUCUAAAUCCAGCUAAUAGAAGGAUGAAAGAUAUGGAAGCAGAGUUGCAAAAGAUCCUUGAGAAGCUUCAACGUUUACUUGAACACAAGGGUGAUCUGCGCCACAUAGAAUGUACUGGUGGAUGGAGACCAUUGUCAGAGAAAACAACUCCACUGGUUAAUGAAUCUCAUGUAUAUGGAAGGGACGCUGAUAAGGAAGGCAUAAUGGAGCACUUGUUGACACAACACAACACGGAUGGCUCAAAUUUAUGUGCGGUCCCUAUUGUGGGCAUGGGCGGGAUUGGUAAAACCACUCUUGCUCAGCUUGUCUACAACGACGAAAGGGUAGAUCAGUGCUUCCAACUCAAGGCCUGGGUCUGGGCUUCUCAACAAUUUGAUGUUGCCAGGAUUAUUAAGGAUAUUAUUAAGAAGAUCAAAGCAAGGACUUGCCCCACCAAAGAACCAGAUGAGUCUCUAAUGGAGGCAGUGAAAGGGAAAAAACUUCUACUUGUUCUAGAUGACGCGUGGAACAUCGAGUAGAGUGAAUGGGAUAAAUUACUGCUACCUUUGCAGUAUGUGGAGCGAGGAAGUAAGAUUGUCGUCACAACACGGGAUGAAGAUCUAGCAAAAGUCACUCAAACUGUCAUCUCCUCUCACCGCUUGAAUGUAAUAAGCGAUGAAGAUUGCUGGAAGUUGUUUGCAAGGGAUGCAUUUAGUGGUGUAAAUUCUGGAGCAGCCUCACACUUGGAAGCAUUUGGCAGAGAAAUAGUGAGAAAGUGCAAAGGUUUACCGCUGGCAGCGAAAACUCUUGGGGGUCUUUUGCACUCCGUAGGAGAUGUCAAGCAAUGGGAGAAGAUAUCCAAGAGCAGGAUGUGGGGUUUGUCGAAUGAAAACAUCCCUCCGGCUCUAACAUUGAGCUAUUAUUAUCUCCCUUCACACCUGAAACGUUGUUUUGCUUACUGCGCAAUAUUUCCCAAGGGUUAUUUAUUCGAGAAGGAUGGAUUAAUCACUGAAUGGAUGGCACAUGGUUUUUUAGUCCAGUCCAGAGGCGUUGAGGAGAUGGAAGAUAUAGGUGAAAAAUACUUUGAUGAUCUUGUCUCCAGGUCACUUUUCCAGCAAUCACUUCAUGCUCCAUCACAUUUCAGCAUGCAUGACAUCAUAAGUGAUUUAGCUGAAUACGUGUCAGGAGAAUUUUGCUUUAAGCUUGGUAUUAAUGAAUUGGGCUCUGGGUUGGAGGGUGAACAUUCAUGCACGCUUCCAGAAAGGACUCGUUAUUUAUCAAUCACUCGAGCAGCCUUGUUUCCACCAUAUACUGGGGCAGGACGUCGGAUAUUUCGUAGCAUUCAUGGAGUCCAUCAUUUGCGCGCCUUGUUUCCACUAUAUAUUUUUGGGGAAGCUGAUAUUGAGACGCUGAAUGACAUCUUGCCAAAUUUAAAGCGCUUGCGAAUGCUAUCUUUAUGUCAUCCAAAAGAUACUUCUUCUCAGUUGCUCAAUUCCAUUGGCAACUUAAAACAUUUGCGGCACUUGGACCUUUAUGGGACAUCGAUUGAAAGGUUACCUGAAAAUGUGUGCACCUUGUACUAUUUGCAAAGCUUAUUGUUAGGAGAGUGCCGACAUCUCAUGGAGUUGCCAUCCAACAUUUCCAACUUGGUCAACCUACAACAUCUUGAUAUUGAAGGGACAAAUUUGAAAGAGAUGCCACCAAAAAUGGGGAAACUCACAAAGCUUCGAACUUUGCAAUAUUACAUCGUGGGAAAAGAGAGUGGGUCUAGCAUUAAAGAGCUGGGGAAGCUCUCACAUUUAAGGAAAAAACUUUCUAUUCGGAAUCUCAGAGAUGGUGCAAGUGCUCAAGAUGCUUUGGAUGCCAAUUUAAAGGGUAAGAAGAAGAUUGAGGAGUUGAGGUUGAUAUGGGAUGGCAAUACAGAUGACACACAACAGGAGAGAGAAGUACUUGAGAAAUUGGAGCCUUCUGAAAAUGUGAAACAGCUUGCCAUUAAUGGUUACGGGGGUACAAUGUUUCCAGGCUGGCUUGGAAACUCUUCUUUCUUAAAUAUGGUAGCGUUGACUCUUUCUGGAUGUAAGAACUGCAUCUCCUUACCACCAUUGGGGCAGCUGCCAUCUCUUGAAGAGCUCCAUAUUGAAGGAUUUGAUGAUGUCGUGGCAGUUGGUUCUGAGUUCUAUGGAAGUGACCCUUCGAUGGAGAAGCCAUUUAAAUCCCUCAAAAUAUUAAAGUUUGAGGGGAUGCGAAACUGGCAGGAAUGGAAUACAGAUGUAGCUGGUGCUUUCCCUCAUCUUGCAAAGCUCUUGAUAGCAGGUUGUCCCGAGUUAACAAAUGGCUUGCCUAAUCACCUUUCUUCUUUAUUGAUACUUGAGAUUCAAGCGUGUCCACAGCUUGUGGUUUCAAUUCCAGAGGCUCCCCUGCUCACCGAAAUCAACGUAAAAGUCACUCAAACUUUCAUCCCCUCUCAGCGCUGGAAUGCACUAAGCGAUGAAGAUUGCUGGCAGGUUCUUCUUGCAAGGUAUGCAUUUUAGGGGUGCAAAUUCUUGAGCAGCCUCACACUUGGAAACAUUUGGCAGAGAAAUAGCGAGAAAGUGCAAAGGUUUACUGCUGGCUGCGAAGACCCCUGGGGGUCUUUUGCACUCUGAAGGAGAUGUCAAGCAGUAUGUGGGGUUUGUCGAAUGAAAACAUCCCUUAAGUUAAAUUAAAAAAAUAUUUUUAAACUGUAUAUUUUUUAAAAAAAUAAUACACUAGCUAGGUUUAUUAAGUUUGUCAAGCAAUGGGAGGAGAUAUAUUAAGUUACUAAAAAAAGGUGUUUAUCAUUUUGUUUGGUUGUCCAUAAGGUUUUGUUACGCAACUAUAUAAAAAUAAAAAUAAUAAAAAGCUAUUAACAAAGAAAUAAAAGUGUUUUUCUGGCCAAAGAUGCCGCACAUAUAUCAGAAAUCAGGAUAUCCGAAAUGCUACAUUUGGUCCGCUGUCCGAGCAACAGAUCCAUUCAGAGCCACAACAAAGAUAGUCGGAUGUUCACUUGGCAGCUUUUUUUCCUCAGCAUUGUUAAGCUCCCCCAACCGUUUAGAAUUGCGGUUAAAGUACUUAUUCAUCAAAAUUUUAAAUAUUUUUUUUAAAUUAAUUUUGGAUUGUUUUGAUAUCAUAAUGCUAGAAAUAAUUUUUAAAAAAUAUUAUUUUAAUAUAUUUCUUAACGAAAAACACUUUAAAAACACAUAUGUUACCACACUCUUGAACACCUCAUUCAAUCAUGUUUGUUUUUGCGUUUCAAAAACGCUUUUGAAAAAUAUUUAAAAUUUUCUAUUGUUUUAUUUACUUCGAAUAAUUUUUAUGUGUUGAUAUCAAAAAUAAUUUUAAAAAAUAAAUAAAAUAUUAUUUUGAUACAUUUCCAAGAAAACAAUUCUUUGAAAAACAACCACCACCACAUUAACAAACAUGCUUGAAAACAACUUUUUCAAAGCAUGGAACUACAAGACCAACUAUAUUAAGUUGCUUGUGAUAUUACUCCUCGUGGAACCAAAUCAAUCCAUAACUUACAAGAUUUGUCGCACGUGUGCGGUGUCGCGGUGAAUGCGUCUACUCUCAUAUGUAUCUGGAAAUCAAGAAAUAAGGAAGACAAGGAUUUCUUGUUUUUUAUCUGUGUAUAGAGGAAUGAGAGUCGCCACCUAGUAUUUUGGUUACUAGGAAUCCUAACUGGUCUCAAAGAUCGCGUAUAAGGAAUGGUUGUGUAAAAGAAAUGUAUUAGCACCCCAAAUACGCCUUACAUAAGAUAAGCUGCAUUGUUUAAUUAUUUGAUAAAAAUCUAAGGAGUUAUUAUAUUUCUAAUUGUUGGUUCGUUUAUGGUUUAAGAAAAGUUCUUCUCGGUAAGGAGGUCCUUAUCUUAUAGGGUAAAAAUUUAACUGUUCUAAUGUCUAUAAAAAAACUAUCUUUUUAAUAUUAGGAAUACAUUUUACUUAUAAAUUCGUAAUCCCAUAUACUAAAACAAAACAAAAUAUUUUUUAGAAGUUUUUUUAAAUAUUGACCCAGUUCUCAUAGCUUUAAUAAACAGGUUAUUAAAGCCAAAAUGCAUGCUAAAACAUAUUUUUGAAUUUUUUAUUAUAUGAAAAUACGAUAUGAUUUAAAAAAAAAAGACUUGGCCGUAUGCAAGAAAGCAAAACAUUUUUUUUUGUUUUAUAAUUUUCUUUUUGCAACAUUUUAGAGAAAGCUGAGUAUUUUAAUACCGGAUUUGUAUCUUUAUGAUAUAAAAAUACAAAUCAAUAUUAAGCAAAAAUUUAAUAGAAAAAUACAUGGGAAAGUCAUAGAUUUGUUUUGGACUGGGUCGGGUCUUUUGGUCCAGGCUGCAACUAUUUGACCUUGAAAACAGUGGAGCAACUCUUCAUUGUUCAUGUAAACAGUGAAGAGUGAAUUAAUUCACUCUCAACUUUUCACGCAGAAUAGUGGAGAAGGGAUCGAUGCAGGAGAACGAGAAGAAGGAGGAGGAGUAGGGCGGGGAAAGGCUGACCCGGCAGCGGUGCUGACGGUGGCGCUAGUGGUUCUUCUUCCAAACAAGGUGGUUGUGCACUGGGGAGCUGCUUCACCAGCCGACUAUUUUAUCUUCUUCUUCUCUGUGUGCUUUUCCUCUGGUUCUUCUUCCUCUCUUUUUCCUGUUUUCUUUAUCUUUGCUUCUGCACCUCCUCCUCUCUGUUUUCUUCAUUUUUCUUUCGUUCCUCUUCGGUUAUUUUUUUUCAGUUCUCUCCUCUCUGUUCGCCUAUGUUUUUCUCUAUUCUCUCCUCUCUUUCUCUUCCCUUUUUUUCUUUCUAUUUUUUUACCUCCAAAACUCCUUAAAAGUGUCGUGUCAAUCCCCUUGUCUUCCCUAUUUUUCACCUUCUGUAAUCUCUUCUUUCUCUGGUCAUGUUCCUCUCUCUAUAAUGUCUAUCCAUUUUUUUUCUUCCCCCCUGUUUCUUGAACAAUCUCCCCUUGUCCAAAAUCUUCUCUCUAAAAUCCCCCUUCUACUUCCCCUUUUAGCUUUUGUUAUUUAUAAGGGCAGGGGAUAGGCAACCACCCUACCCCUGUCCAGUCAUGAAGACAGGGUAAAGUGGCUGGGGCGGUCUCUGUGCAGGCGCCCCAGCUGCCCAGAGGGCAUGGUAUCUCUGUCUAAUCUUUAUCAUGGUAGCAGGUGAGGGGCGUGGGUUGUGCCAGGGUUUGGACAAGUGGGGAGAGAGGGGGGGAACAAAUGCUGCAAAGAAGGGGAAGAAAAACCUUUUUCCCCUGCCUUUGUGUGCUUACAGGACAAAGAUGGCAAACAGUGCCCUUAAAACGACAUUGUUUGCAUUUUUUUUAACAGGGCACUGAAAUGACGUUGUUUAGUACAAAAACGUGUCGUUUCAUUGAAAAGAAAAAAGCGCCAAAGAAGUGCUAAAUUACAAAUCCAUCCUUAAUUUUUGAUUUGUUUAAUCAAGUCCUCAAUUGCAAUUUUGAUUUUAAGAAUCAAUUCAAUUGCAUCCCUGCCAAAUUCAAUAGAUGGCCUUGAAGUUGGCCGGCUUUUUCAUUUUAGUCAUUGGUUUUGAAUUUGUGCAUUUUGACUCUUAAUUGAUCAAUAAACUUACAAUUUCUUCAAUUUGACCUCUGAUUCAGUCAAUUCAAGUUCCUCUAUUUACGUGCCUUUUCCAGUUUGGUCUUUGGUUUCGGAUGUCUUCAAUCAAGUUCCUAAUUGGCCAUAAACCUUCAAUAUUUAUGCAAUUAAGCCUAUGAUUUGACCAAAUCAACUCUUAACAAUUAUAAUUUGACCUCUAAACUUUAAUUUCUUUCAAUUAAAGCUCAAAUUAACUUAAAGUUUAAUUGAGUCCAUAAACAUUUAAUUUUAGACUUUUCUUUUUCAAAUUGAAUUUUUUUUAUCAACAACGCUCUCAUCAGUAAAAAAAUAUAUUGUCAAAUUUCAAUCUUUGUAUUUUUGAACCUCCUCAACCAAUUUUUGGCUAUUUUCUAGGUGCUCUGGAAUCCUUUUAUCACUGCUAUUUGUAUUUUCUUUUUUCUUGUACGGGGACCUAAAAAUGGGUUACAACAAGAUUUAUUGCAACUCUUGCUUACUUUCAAUUCUAUAACCUAUACUUGCUUUCAAAUUCCUUUCACUAUAAAAUUUUUAUAUGAAAGAAUUAUUUCAACUUUAAAGAUUCACGGUUAAAUAAUAUUCUAAAAAUGUGUAUUGUCCGCGUUUGCCAUUCAAAGUUAGUAUCUCAGCUCACUAUUUUCGAGUUCUGGUUCUGCAUAAUAGAGGAGCAUGAGAUUCUUAAAGCCAGCGUCUAGCGUUAACAGAGCAUAGAUAAUUGGGUUUUCGAGACAAAUGAAAUGACAAGUCGACGUCAAAGGAAGAUUGUUGGUUAAUUCGAUGGUUUACCAGAUGGCUUCAUAUCAAUCUAUGAUCACCGGCUCAAUCAAAUCCAUCAUUUUAAUAAAACCCAAUUCAAAUCAAGAUAUAAAUUGAUCCUAGAGCUGAAAUGAAUUUAAUAACUAUGUUUUAUUUUUUUUCUUAGAGUUUAUUUAUUUAUUAUUGUGAUAAUAGUUAUUUUUUAAUUUUUUGUUAACAUCAGUAUUUUAAAAUAAUAUAAAAAAAUUAUUAUUUUUAAAUAUUUUUACACCACAAAAAUAAAUUUGUGCUAAAAUGUUGUUUUUCUUUUUAAAAUCCUUUUCCUUCAGAAGAUUUGAGGAACGACUUGAUAGAGUGAUGCUCGGAGGACCAAUAUAAAAUACUUGGAAAGAAAUGGAGAAAUUAAAAUUAAUAUUUGGGUCUUUGAGGUCAAGGUUCCCAGCUGGGCUUUCCUAUUAAUUAGAUCAAUGUAUUGACAUUAACAUUAACAAAUACUAAAAAACAUGUUAGAAAAGUACCGUAGCUUUCCUUACACGUUUUUUUUUAAUUUUUUAAUUUUUUUUUUUUUGUUUUUUUCUCAAGUUUGUCUUUUUUUAUCUGUCUUUUUGUGUUGUUUUUAAAUUUUGCUAAAAUCUAGUUUUGAAUUGAUGAAUCACAGAGUUGAUUUGUUAGGUCAGACCGAGUUUAAUAAUAUUGUUUGAAACAACACUUUUUUAAUAAAUAGAGUUUAAUAACAUUGUUUGGAACAACACUUCUUUAACGAAUUAAACUAAGGCUCUUGACCUCAAACCUUAAUCAUGGAGUAUCAAUUUGGCUUCAAUAGUUAAGAAGCAUAUUUUUGAGGAAAAAAUGAACUCUUAUUUGACUUGUCUAAGCCAACUAAUAUUCCAACUCAUCUAAGAAUUAGUUGAUGCGAUAUUUCAAAGGUUGAUAAGCUUAGAUGCCAUGUGGUGAUGCAAUAUUUCAACUGACCUCAAUUCAUUUGAUUUCGCUUUGGUCUUUUACGCUUUGAAAAUAAAUGAAAGGUGAAGAAGUCUUCAAAUAUGUGUGACAAAUUAAACCUACCCCCUUCGACUGCGAGCCCUAGCAAGUUGAAACGCUACUUAAUUUAAAUGAAUUAAUAAUUAAGAGGGAGUCUUCCAAAAUCAGAUGAAGUUUUUCCGCAAAGCCUAACCCAUUUUUUAUUGGGCAGGCUUGCAUGUGGAAUGAAUUUUCCAAAAUCUUCAUGUUCAUACUCAUAAAGAGAGAACAACCUAUAAAUAUUUAACAUAAUAAUAAUAAUAAUAAUAAUAAUAAGGGAACUGACAUAUCUCUCAAUUUUCACAUAAUUCUCUACUAGACCCACAAACAAAAACGAUUCCUAAUUUAAUCCCACAAUAUCUAUCAAACACUACCAUUAAGUUUAUGACAAAGAAAAAAAGGUCGUUUGAAGAGAGAUAGGCCCUCUUUUUUAUGAUUGUAAAGGCAAAAACUUUAAGGCAAGGGUUGAUUGUGUAUUUUUCAAUAGAUGAUGGAUACAAUUAUUAAUUUUUUUUCUAGAAUUCAAUUGAGAAUAUAUUGGUUGAUGGUUAGGGGAUAAUUAGAAUAUAACCCACAAAUUAAUCUUGAAAUUUAAAAGCAUAAUUAAAUGGAUUCAUCAAUUAAUUACCAUUACCAGGUUUGUUCUUGUCCUCGGGACAGCCUUCCAACAUCAGGAUGUUAUGGAUGUGUGUGAUCGAUUCUUCAAUUCCUAUAAGUAACAUGACUUUUUAAUUUAUUUUAAUUUUAACAAUAUAUAUGAGCAAUAAUAUCAUGGAUAAUUUGGAUCUUAUAAUUCAGGGCCUUCUCUUAAAUUUUCUCAAUCAAAACUUUAAAUUCCUUUCAAAACAUAUAUUUUUUUUUAAUCCAAAACAUACAAUUUGAGUGGAAUCUAUAAUCAAAUAUGAACGGAAAGAUUUAGUCAAGCAUGGCACCAUGAGGCUUGACUUAGCAUCGAUCCUUAAUUCAUUGACACAUUCACUACUCAAUUACCAAUGUCUGGAUCAAUGUUUGAAAUCCAGAAAAUUAUUUCAACAAUAGAUGAAUUGCACUGGCAAUGAUCACAAGUCAAGUCAAGAUGAUAUUUUUAAAUCCAUCAACUGUUAAUAUUUUGAAAUCCAUCAGUUGGCAAAAUGGGCUGAAGAGGGACUUAAUCACAUAAAUUAAAAAUUAGAGGACCAAAUGGAAAAGGUUGGGAACUCAAUUUGCAUCAAUGGAGAGCCUAAUUGAACAAAAGAAUGACAAUUUAGGACCAAAUUAAAGAAAUAUAUUAAGUAUUGUGACAAACUUGCAAAAUAAUUAAGUUUAGAAAUUUAAUUGAACUUUUAAUGGGUCUUAUUAAUUUAGUUAACAGCUUAAACCAAAGUAAAAUUAAGUUUGAAAGUUAAUUUAAUUAAAAUUAAAAGGAUUAAUUAAAUUCAAUGAUUUCAUUAAAAAUUUAAUAAGUUUAAUUAACUUAAUUAAAGGAAAAUUAAGUUCAAUUUAGCCGAAAGGCUACAUUCGGUCCUUAUCCGAGCAACAGAUCCAUUCGGAGCCACAACGAAGAUAGUCGGAUGUUUGCUUUCUUCUAUUGUCAUAUUCGGAACUCUGCCUUGCCACCACUUGACAGCCUUUUUCCCUUGCAUUGCCACCUCUGCCUUGCCAACACUUGACAGCCUUUUUCCCUUGCAUUGUUAUAUUUUGUCCCAUUUAAAAAAUUAUCUGAUAACAUGGUGUAAACCGUGUUUUUAAAAAAAUCAAAACUUUUUUUAUUUUCUAAACUUAAUAUAUUUUUUAUGUUUUAAAUCGUUUUGAUGUACUGAUGUCAAAAAUAAUUUUUAAAAAAUAAAAAAACAUUAUUGGCAUGUAUUUCGGCACGAAAAGUUAUUUGAAAAACAACCGCAACCACACUACCAAGUAGAAUUGCGGGUUCUUCGUUAAAAUAUAAAUAUUUUUUAUUAAGAUUAAUUUUUUUUAUAAUUUUGGAUUGUUUUGAUGUUUUGAAGUUAGAAAUAAAUUUUAAAACAUAAAAAAUAUUAUUUUGAUUCUUUACUUUAAAUAAUUUAUUUUUUUAGAUUAUUGUGAUAUGAUAAUAUCAAAAAUAAAUUUUAAAAAUUAAAAAAAUAUUAUUUUAAUUAAAAAAUAUUUUAAAAAAUAAAAAAUAACUUUGAAACAACUCGUUUUUCAAAGCUGGUUGUGAUAUUACUCCUCGUAGAACCAAAUCAAUCCAUAAGUUACGAGAUUUAUUGCAACUCUUACUUACUUUUCAAUUCCACAACGUAUGCUUGGUUUCAGGGCAAAUGAGACGACAAGUCGUCGUCAAAGGAAGAAUGUUUGUUAAUUCGAUAAUUGACCAGAUAGCUUCAUAUCAAUCUAUGAUCAUCGGUUCAAUCAAAUCUAUCAUUUUAAUAAAACCCAAUUCAUAUAAAUUGAUCCAGAGUUGAAAUAAAUUUAAUAACUAUUUUUUAAUUUUUUUCUUGAGUGGAUAAUGGGUUUCUUAAAAAAAAAAAAUUAAAAAUUAAAAUAAUAUUAUUUAAAAAAAAUUAUUUUUAACAUUAACCUAUUAAAACAAUAUAAAAAAUUAAUUAAAAAAUCAAUUUACUCUUAAAUAAUUUUACACAACAAAAGUAAGAAAAUGAUAACUUCGCCACUUAUCACGGUUGCUUUUCUUGGCCGACAAAAAAAAUCUGUGCUCAUAAAUUUUGUUUUUCUUUUUUAAAUCCUUUUCCUUGAGAAGAUUUGAGGAACGACUCGGUAGAGUGGAAGAGUGAUGCAAUAUAAAAUACUUGGAAAGAAAUUGAGAAAUUAAAAUUAAUAUUUGGCUCUUUGAGGUCAAGGUUCCCAGCUGUCUCCCUUGAUCCUUGCUGCCUAUGCAAAUUCCUGUGGGCUUCCUACCCGAGAUCAUGAAGAUGGAGCGUGUGGAAACGAAGUCAAUUUGUAUUUUUAAAAAUUUUAAUUUUUUUAAUUAAAAUUAAAAUUUUUUAAUGUUUUGAAUCAUUUUAGUAUACUGAUCUCAAAAAUAAUUUACUAAUAAAACUUUUAGGAUAUUUUUUACCCAAAACAUGCACUUCGGCUAGUUUUGAUAUUUCUUUUGGGUUUUUAAUUUUUUUGAGUAGUUUUUGUGUUUAUUUAAGGAGUAUUAAAUAUUUUGGAGAGAUAGAUUACUUAAAAGAUAAAAUAUUUACUAAUAAAACUUUGAAUUAAAAUCUUAUGUGAUGGCUCUAUUCGUUUCUUUCUUGUUUUGAUUCAAUUGCAUAAAAAACUGAGCAAGAAAUGCCUAGUUAGUUUAAAGUGUUUGCUCACUUUAAAAGACUAUUCGAAGGUUACUCUCACUCGAGCUUAGAAACUGUCUUUUCUGACUGGCAUCUUUGCCUAAAGCUUGACCAGAACUUGUAAGGGUAUCCGAUGAAUUGUAUAGUGAUAAUUUGGAAAUGAAAGGACUAAAGUGAUAAUCUGGGGUCAAUAGUUUCGAGUGGCAGAGCUGUGAAGUCAACUGAGAACCCGCGUACUUACUUUGAUUUUUCUUUCCUUUUCCAUUCGUUAAACGUCUUAUUCUCUUCACUAUCUUCUUCUCUACAAUUCUCUGCUUCUGCUUCCUUCCAAUUCUCUGCAAAGAUCCCAUCAUGGCUGUGGAGUACAUUGGACGAUCAAUUCUCUUUGCUGUCAUUGAGGUUCUGGGCGAGAAGUUGACCACUCCUGAGAUUCUGGGCUUCUUCAAAAGCCACAAGCUCAAUGAUGGUCUUCUCGGAAAGUUGAAAGAAACACUGAAUACUCUCAACGGACUUCUCGACGACGCGGAGGAGAAGCAGAUUACCAAGCCUGCUGUGCAGAGGUGGCUUAAUGAUGCUAGACAUGCUGUGUAUGAAGCUGAGGACUUAAUGGAGGAGAUUGAAUAUGAACAUCUACGAUCCAAGGAUAUUAAAGCUGCCUCUCGACGAGUUAGGAAUCGGGUAAGCAUAUGUUUUUGCCUUUCUCGUAUAAUGUUAGUAUCGAUCUCUCUGAUUUUUACAAGCACAAUUCGAAAUUGUAAAAUAUCAGAAAAUUUCAUAUCUUUUCUUGAAAUAUUUCAUGCAAACAACACCCCUCACUCAAUGAUGCUAAUUUAUCUCAUGCAACUAAUCCUAUGAUACUCUCCUGCAACCACUACUCAUUAUUAUUCCAACAAAUUCCAACCACUGCUUGGCCCAGCUGUCAACUUAAUUAAAACAUGUUCAAUCUAGAAUUUAAAUUAAAUUUGUUUUUUUAAAAAAAAAAAAUCAAAGUUGACCCAUUCAAUUUUUUUUUUUAAAUUAGCACAAUAAAUUUAAAUAUUGGUAUAAUAACACCGUUUGAAAAAAAAAAUAAAAUAACAUACUUUCACAUUUUCGAAUAGCAACAUUUAGUAAUUGUUAUUCUUCUGAAGCGCGACGAAGUUAAAGUUCAAUCAUCUGGCUCAAUUGGUCGGUCGAUUGGAUUCAGUUGUAUUAACUAGUUGACCAUUUUACAUAAAAACCAUAAUUUUAUGAAUUUUUUCUUCCAAAUAUUAAUUAUGAGUCAAAAUAUACAUGUGUUCAACAUGUAGACUAAAAAAUAGAUUCCAAUUAAAAUUUUAAAAUUUUUUUUAUUCACACAGUAGUUGUUAUCUAUUUUUCAAUGUCAAUGAUCUAGAAAGACUUGUGAUAACAAGUGAUCCUAAGUAUCCAUGUGUGUCUAUCAUAACUAAAUAAGAAUCUGCCCUAAACAAAUUACGUGUAUGAUCUAAAAAAUACAUUUAUGGACUGAUGAGAUAGUUUAAGGUUUAAGAGGGGAUCUGGUUCCGCAAAACCAAAAUAACGACUAAAAAUGCUAUAACUUUUGAUUUGACUGUUGGAUCGCACUCAAACUUUUAUAGGAGUUUUUGAAAACCAUCUUCCCUAUUGUAGCCACUGUGUCGCUAUGUAGACCAUCAAAUAUCUAGAUAUCAAAAAUCUCAUCAAGGCCCAUUGAUUUUGAUAUUUUUGAGAUUUUUCUUAUUAUUUUCGGAAUCGGUCGACCAAUUUCACUAACCAUUAUAAACAAAUCAAUCAUUUGAGUCAGAUGAUUGAAGUUUCACCUUGUCGCUUUUUAAAAGCACAACAUUUAGUAAAUAUUGUUAUUCGGAAGUGCGACAACUAUCUUAUCAUGCUUAGAAAUAAUAAAAUUUAGUAAAUGUUGCUUUUCUUAAAUGUGAUAAGGUGAAAAUAUCCUAUUUUUCAAAAGCUUUUUCAAACGAUAUCAUUGCAUUGCAUCACUUUUUUAUGCUUACUGUGAUAAUUACUGAAUUUAUCUUUCAAAUUUUAGUAACCUGUAGGGUUAAUUCACCAUCCUAUCAUCUCAUUAGAAUCUUGGUUAGACUUAAUUUUUUUUUUCAAAAAAUAAUCUCAUUUUAAUUUUUUUAAAAUUUUUUUUAUAAAAAACAUCGUUGCAGCUGUGUAAACUUACUCGGUACCAAGACAUGGGACGAGUUUAAUAAUUUUAGUAUUUAUUUGUUCCUAAAUUCUAUCUCAUAUAUAUGGAUAUGUUCCGCCAUUGCAGGUAAGGAAUUUGUUUCCAAUUCUUAAUCCAGCUAAUAAAAGGAUGAAAGAGAUGGAAGCAGGGUUACAAAAGAUCUAUGAGAAGCUUGAACGUUUAGUUAAACACAAGGGUGAUCUGCGCCACAUAGAAGGUAAUGGUGGAGGGAGACCAUUGUCAGAGAAAACAACUCCUGUGGUUGAUGAAUCUCAUGUAUAUGGAAGGGAAGCUGAUAAGGAAGCCAUAAUGAAGUACUUGUUGACAAAAAACAAUACAAAUGGCGCAAAUGUAGGUGUGAUUCCUAUUGUGGGCAUGGGAGGGGUUGGUAAAACCACUCUUGCUCAGCUUAUCUACAAAGACAGAAGGGUAGAUAAGUGCUUCGAGCUCAAAGCCUGGGUCUGGGCUUCUCAACAAUUUGACGUCACCAGGAUAGUUGAUGAUAUUCUUAAGAAGAUCAACGCAGGUACUUGCGGCACCAAAGAACCAGAUGAAUCUCUAAUGGAGGCAGUGAAAGGGAAAAAACUUCUACUUGUUCUAGAUGAUGCGUGGAACAUUGUGUACAAUGAAUGGGUUAAAUUACUGCUGCCUUUGCAGUAUGCGGAGCCUGGAAGUAAGAUUGUCGUGACAACACGGAAUGAAGAUGUAGCAAAAGUCACGCAAACUGUCAUCCCUUCUCACCAUUUGAAGGGAAUUAGCGAUGAAGAUUGCUGGCAGUUGUUUGCAAGGCAUGCAUUUAGCGGUGCAAAUUCUGGAGCAGUCUCGCACUUGGAAACAUUUGGCAGAGAAAUAGCGAGAAAGUGCAAAGGUUUACCGCUGGCAGCGAAAACUCUUGGGGGUCUUUUGCACUCUGUAGGAGAUGUCAAGCAAUGGGAGAAGAUAUCCAAGAGCAGGAUGUGGGGUUUAUCGAAUGAAAACAUCCCUCCAGCUCUAACAUUGAGCUAUUAUUAUCUCCCUUCACACCUGAAACGUUGUUUUGCUUAUUGUGCAAUAUUUCCCAAGGGUUAUGUAUUUGAGAAGAAUCAAGUAAUCACUUCAUGGAUGGCACAAGGUUUUUUAGUCCAGUCCAGAGGCGUUGAGGAGAUGGAAGAAAUAGGUGACAAAUACUUCAAUGACCUUGUCUCCAGGUCAUUGUUUCAGCAAUCACUUUACGCCCCAUCAUAUUUCAGCAUGCACGACCUCACAAGUGAUCUAGCUGAAUACAUGUCAGGAGAAUUCUGCUUUAAAUUUGUUAUGGAUGGAGAAUCGGGCUCUGGGUUGGAGGGUGAAAAUUCAUGCACGCUUCCAGAAAGCACUCGUCAUUUAUCAAUCACUUCAACACUAUAUGAUGGGGUCUCUAAGAUAUUUCCUCGCAUUCAUGGAGUCCAACAUUUGCGCACCUUGUCUCCACUAACCUACGUGGGGGGGAUUGAUAGUGAGGUGCUGAAUGACAUGUUGACAAAUCUUAAGCGCUUGCGAACGCUAUCUUUAUAUCGGUGGAGCUAUAAAUCUUCUCGGUUGCCCAAUUCCAUCGGCAACUUGAAACAUUUGCGGCACUUGGACCUUUCUCAGACAUUAAUUAAACGGUUGCCCGAAAGUGUGAGCACCUUGUACUAUUUGCAAACUCUAUUGUUAAGAGAGUGUCGACAUCUCAUGGAGUUGCCAUCCAACAUUUCGAACUUGGUCGACUUACAACAUCUUGAUAUUGAAGGGACAAAUUUGAAAGAGAUGCCACCAAAAAUGGGGAAACUCACAAAGCUUCGAACUUUGCAAUAUUACAUUGUGGGAAAAGAGAGUGGGUCUAGCAUGAAAGAGCUGGGGAAGCUCUCACAUAUAAGGAAAAAACUUUCUAUUCGGAAUCUCAGAGAUGUUGCAAAUGCUCAAGAUGCUUUGGAUGCUAAUUUGAAGGGUAAGAAGAAGAUUGAGAAGCUGAGGUUGAUAUGGG
This 112528-nucleotide long non-coding RNA is filed under the name Populus trichocarpa (black cottonwood). Its description in RNAcentral is "long non-coding RNA (PTRI_LNC003737)". The stretch from base 3785 to 3875 matches the Rfam family "MIR478 microRNA precursor family". The record is from RNAcentral. Lineage: Eukaryota; Viridiplantae; Streptophyta; Magnoliopsida; Malpighiales; Salicaceae.